AAUCAUUUUUCAGAUGAUUUGCAUGUAACUAAAGUGCCGGAAAAUUCAUUUUUCAGAUGAUUUGCAUGUAACUAAAGUACAGGAAAAUACUGAAAAAGAGGCGCAACGCCCUUGUGUUUAUUUAUGUUGGGCAUGCAUGCCUUGGUAGAAGGUAGGUACGCAACUUACAUCAUCGUACUGAGCCCGUGCCACGACUUAUUUAUGCUACUCCCGCGUACUGACAAACUUACACACACAUACAAGUUCAGCUCUCAAAUGGCACGGGCUCCAGCUCACACAUUCACUUAACAACAGCGGCCUUGCCGCCUCAGAGCGCGGCGGUUGCCAUCCUCAGGAACGCCUCCACGGCUUCGUCGCCGCGCCCGCGGUCACCACGGCGGCGGUCCCCGCGCUCAUGCUCCUGCUGCUGCUCGGGUCCGGCGACGAAGCCCUCGUCCUGCUGAUCCUUGGCGCGGAACACCUCCUGCACCUCCCUCGCGGGCCUGCCGAAGGCGAGCUCCUGGGCGGGGUCGUCCAGCUUGGCGAUCACGUUGUUCCUCCCGGCGAGCCACACCCGCUCGUUCCUCUCGGCGUUGAUCUCGAAGCACACCACCUGGAGGUUGCUGCUGCCGCGGGACGAGGCGAUCUCCACCACCGGGUGGCCGGGGGGCACCACGAACGCCGAGCCGCGCGACACCCGCGCGCGGACCGUCUCGUACCUCUGCUGGUCCUGCUCCUCCUCCGACUCGGAGCCGGACCCGCGUCGGCGUUGCUGCCGCCGGUCGUCCUCCUCUUCCUCGCUCCUCCACCUGCCCUUGCCGUGCUCUUGCUCGCGGCGCUCGCUGUCGCGGCCGAGGUGCGGGCAGACGAUCUCCACCUCGCCCUCGCCUUCCAGCACGACGGCGAGCUUGAACGACUGGGUGUUCAGGUAGGGCGCGGUCAUAGAACCCUGCAGAUCGACACAUGCAUGCGUGUAAGCAACAGUUGAGUGACAAAUCACGAUAUCAAGUGCCAUCGCCGGUCGACGAGACGAGGAGCCUAAUUAUUAAGCGUGGUGACGUACCGGCGUGAUGUUGGCCACGGCGACGCGGACGUCGUGUUGGGCGAGGGCGUGGAAGCUACGGGCGUCGGCCUCGUAGAGGCGGCCAUGGCGGUUGGCGAUCUUGGGGCGCUGCUCCAGGAGGUUGAAGGUGUCGCGCGAGUCGCCGCGGAACGGGGGGAGAGGCCAGUGGUGGCCCUGGUCACCCUCGGACGCCUGGCGACGCAGCUCGCGGAGCUGCUCCUCUGACGCGCGGACGAUGGAGAUGGACUUCUCCUCCUCCUCCUUGCCUUGGCGGCUGCCCAAGAGACUACCCAGCCGCUCAUCCGAGGUCUGCACGUUCACGUCCAUGUCCAUGGAUGUAAUUGUGUAAAUGGAUUGAGUGAAGAAACAAGAGAAAUUUAUCUAUUAAUUCGUGCAUGCAUGUAAGUUGGUACGUACCUUUAACGCCGCUGUGAGCACGCGUUUGCUCAAACUAGCGAGGAGAGGCUUGGCCGAGAAAUACUGCAUGGGGUAUCCACGUGUCAGUCAGCCAGUCAGUGCAUUGUCGGCCAGGAUAUCUACAUGGGGGAUUCGAGCGGCAUCAACUUCUUAAUUACCUGGAACUUGCCGGGGACGGAGAUGGUGUGGAGAAUCUUGGCGAUGACCAGCUUCCUCCGGCCGUCGGUGUUGGCCAGGUGCAUGAUGGACCCCGCCGGCGCCACGAUCACAUCGCCUUGCCUGACGGUGUAGGACCGCUUCUCGCCGUUCUCGAUCACCGUCAGCACCCCCUCGCCUGCAUGCAUGCAUGCGCACGUUAAUUAUCAUCGAUCGGCACUCUGGCAGAUGCAUGCUGCAUGCAACAGUGCGUGUACAAGAUGGACAGUACCUUGAGCGACGUAGCCGACGCCGUCUGCGUCCGUGAGUCCCGGCACGACGAACGCGCGCGGGUUCACCUCCAUGAUGGCGACACGGUAGUUCCUGAUGCCCCGGAGGAGCCUGGACACUUCGUCGAACGGGCGAAGGGCCUUGACGAACCCGUGGUCGCUCCGGAUGAUGCGGCGGAAGCUGCGCGGGCCGAACACGUACGGCCGCCGGCCAUCCCCGUGCUCCUCAUCACGCUCUCCCUCGCCGCGCCGCCCACGUCCACGGCCCUGCUCCUCCUCACGCUCUCCCUGGCCGCGCCGCCCACGGCCACGGCCCUGCUCCUCCUCACGCUCCCCCUCGCCGUGCCGGCCAUGCCCGCGGCCCUGCUCCUCCUGCUCGUGCCUUCCGUGCUGCUGCUGGUCGUCCCGGCACUCCUGCACGCACCGGGCAUGAGAGUACCGCGGCCGGUCCUGCUGGCACCGCUGCACGCACCGCUGAAGCGAGCGCCCACCGCGCCUGUCCUCCUCCUCGUCAUGGGAGGCCGAAACAGCCGCGGCGAAGAGAAGGCUUGUGCCCAGGAGGAAGAGGAGAGGGAUGGUUGCUCUGCCUCUGGUCGCCAUGGUUGAACUAGCUAGCUCUGUGUGUGUGACUGUGCCGGGAUGUGGAGAUUGUGGCACCGUAUUUGUAGCGCGCGCGCCGCUGUACGUGGCGCGGUGGCGCGGCUACGUGGAGGCGAGCUGCGUGCCAGCGGGGAGGCGGGUGGCCACGUCGCGCGGCCGUGCUUAUCGCGCCACCGGCGAGGUGCGGGCCAGCUUGGGCGUCGCUUGUCGGGGCGUGCUCUUGCUCGCGGCGGGCGGCGCCGAGCGACGGAGCUGCUUGAGUGGAUUGCGGUGCGGUGCUUCGUACAGAGCACCUAGACGCUCUACGGACAACCCGACGAGAGCGUCCCGUGACUCCAGUAAGAGACGUACGCACUGCCUACCCGGCCUCUAAACAGAGCCUCCCCACGAGAAACUUUUUAUGUAAAAGAAAAAAAACAUUUCUUCUAGACUUUAUUAAAAAAGAGACCAACCAAAGGGUUAAUCCUCAUUAGCUUUUUUUCCUAAGAAAACUCCGCGAACACCUUGCGUCGAAGCCGAGGCAUGAACUCGGGUUGGCUGCAGCUAGGCCCCUUCUUCUUCUUCUUGGCUUUUGAAGUGAUAGUUUCCUUCUAAUCUAAAUCAUUACUCUAGGUGCUUGGAUCUCAACGUUUAAAUACAUUCCUAUUGACGUCACUCUAGUAUCUUCCCGCAAAAAAGGUUUAGUUAAAUAGUCAUUUUAAGAAGCAUUCUUUUUUUUGUUUAACAAACUAGGGCGUCAGUGGCACCAAAUUUUCAUUCGGCUGAACUGCACCAGGCAGCUAAAAGUACAAAGUGUUAAACAUGAUGCAUGCCACGUCAGGUGAUCUAACCAGGAGGUAUUCGCAUAGUAUAGAUAGAGAUAGAUUCGGUUGUUAAGCAGUUCAAAUAUCUCACAAUUGUAACUAUCUCUAUCUCCUCUUUCCCAAGUAAACUCUUCUGGAAAAUCUCUCUGUAACGAUCGUAUGGUGGUCGCGCCCCUCCUAUAUAACAUGAACCACGUCUCUUGAGAGAGGUAAGACGUUUUCCGCUAUCGCACAUGGUAGUCAGAGCCUUCCUUUUCCCAUCUGAAACUUCUGUCGAAUCCAUCUAUCCUAGCCAUGUCUUCCUCCUCCUCCGGUGCCUUCUCUCCCAAACUCAAUAGCCAGGUCACAGAGAAGUUGUCUCGCACGAACUAUGUGCUAUGGCGCACGCAGAUCACACCUCAACUGCGCGGCGCCGGCGUCUACGGCUACGUCGACGGCGCCACACCGGAGCCUGCAAAGCUCCUGAUCACCACCAAAGUGGACAAGGAGACUUCAUCGUCCAACCCUCUCCACCCUAUAUGGGUCCGGGAGGAUCAGCAGGUCCUUGGCUUCCUGCUGGCCAACCUCACAAAGGAGGUCUUGGUCACGGUGACCACGGUCACCACGGCGAGCGCGCUCUGGACGACGCUUGCUGCCAUGUUCUUGUCACACUCGGCGAGCCGCAUCAACAACAUCCCCACCUCCCUCAUCAACGCAUAGAAGGGCAAUCUCUCGGUUGCUUCUUACUUUGCUGCUAUGCGGGGGUAUGCAGAUGAGCUCGCCGCGGCGGGCAAGGCUAUCCAGGAUGAUGAGCUUGUCUCCUACAUCAUCCAUGGGUUAGAUGCGGAUUACCAACCUCUGGUGUCUGCCCUCGACGCUCGUAUCACCCUCGUCACGCUCGACGAGCUCUUCGCCAUGCUCUCCAACUUCGACCAACGCAUGGCCCAGUACCAUGGGUCCGGCGGCGGCGGCUUCAAGUCUUCAGCCAACAUGGCGUCUCGUGGACGGGGCGGCGGCUCCCGUUCAGGCGGCACUCCCCGCAACAAGGGGCGAUCUGGCAGCGGCGGCGACAGCGGCCGCGGCUCCUCCCCUCAGCGCGCGGGCGGCAGUGGCCGUCGUCGCGGUCGUGGCGGCAGCAAAAGGACGCGUCCCGACACUCCAAGGUGCCAGAUCUGCGGGAAACCUGUCCACACAACAAAAGAUUGCUGGUACAUGUAUGAGGAUGAUGAUGAUGAUGAUGAUGACUCCCAAGAUGAUGACAAGGUUGCUGCGGCUGCUGAUGGGUCCUAUGUGUUGGGGAUCGUAGCAGAAAUUUAAAAUUUUCUACGCAUCACCAAGAUCAAUCUAUGGAGUAAUCUAGCAACGAGGGGAAGGAGAGUGCAUCUACAUACCCUUGUAGAUCGCUAAGCGGAAGCGUUCAAGUGAACGGGGUUGAUGGAGUCGUACUCGUCGUGAUCCAAAUCACCGAUGAUCCUAGCGCCGAACGGACGGCACCUCCGCGUUCAACACACGAACGGUUGGGAGACGUCUCCUCCUUCUUGAUCCAGCAAGGUGAGAGGAGAAGGUGAAGGAAAACUCUGACAGCACGACGACGUGGUGGUGAUGGAGCUCGUGGUUCUUCGGCAGGGCUUCGCCAAGCACUACGAAGGAGGAUGAGGUGUUGGAGGAGGAAGAGGGCUGCGCCAGGGGAAGGGUGCGGCUGCCCUCUCUCUCCCUCACUAUAUAUAGGGGAAGGGAGGAGGGGGAGGUGCCCUAGGGUUCCCUAGGGGAGGGGCGGCGGCCACAGGGGAAACCCUAGAUGGGUUUGGGCGCCCCUACCCCCUAGGAAACUUGCCCCCCAAGCCGGGAGGGGCGGCUGCCCUAGGGGUGGCGCCCCCACCUCUCCUGGUUACGUGAGAUGGGGUGGGAGGGGCGCUCAGCCCCUUAGUGGGCUGAUGUGCCCUCUCCUCUUGGCCCAUAAGGCCCCCCAACGCUUGCCGGGGCCUCCGAAACCCCUUUCGGACACGCUGGUCAUCACCUGGUACCCCCGGAACAAUUCCGGACUCCAAUACCCUUCGUCCAAUAUACCGAUCUUCACCUCCGGACCAUUCCGGAGCUCCUCGUCAUGUCCGGGAUCUCAUCCGGGACUCCGAACAAUCUUCGGUAACCACAUACUAUUUCCCAUAACAACUCUAGCGUCACCGAACCUUAAGUGUGUAGACCCUACAGGUUCGGGAACCAUGCAGACAUGACCGAGACAACUCUACGGCCAAUAACCAACAGCGAGAUCUGGAUACCCAUGUUGGCUCCCACAUGUUCCACGAUGAUCUCAUCGGAUGAACCACGAUGUUGAGGAUUCAAUCAAUCCCGUAUACAAUUCCCUUUGUGCAGCGGUAUUAUACUUGCCCGAGAUUCGAUCGUCGGUAUCCGAUACCUUGUUCAAUCUCGUUACCGGCAAGUCUCUUUACUCGUUCCGUAACACAUCAUCCCGUGAUCAACUCCUUGGUCACAUUGUGCACAUUACGAUGAUGUCCUACCGAGUGGGCCCAGAGAUACCUUUCCGUUACACGGAGUGACAAAUCCCAGUCUCGAUUCGUGCCAACCCAACAGACACUUUCGGAGACACCUGUAGUGUACCUUUUAUAGCCAUCCAGUUACGUUGUGACGUUUGGCACACCCAAAGCACUCCUACGGUAUCCGGGAGUUGCACAAUCUCAUGGUCUAAGGAAAUGAUACUUGACAUUAGAAAAGCUUUAGCAAACGAACUACACGAUCUUGUGCUAGGCUUAGGAUUGGGUCUUGUCCAUCACAUCAUUCUCCUAAUGAUGUGAUCCCGUUAUCAACGGCAUCCAAUGUCCAUGGUCAGGAAACCGUAACCAUCUUAUUGAUCAACGAGCUAGUCAACUAGAGGCUUACUAGGGACAUGGUGUUGUCUAUGUAUCCACACAUGUAUCUGAGUUUCCUAUCAAUACAAUUCUAGCAUGGAUAAUAAACGAUUAUCAUGAACAAGGAAAUAUAAUAAUAACCAAUUUAUUAUUGCCUCUAGGGCAUAUUUCCAACAGUCUCCCACUUGCACUAGAGUCAAUAAUCUAGUUCACAUCGCCAUGUGAUUAACACUCACAGGUCACAUCGUCAUGUGACCAACAUCCAAGAGUCUACUAGACUCAGUGAUCUAGUUCACAUCACUAUGUGAUAAACACUCAAAGAGUUCUGGGUUUGAUCAUGUUAUGCUUGUGAGAGAGGUUGUAGUCAACGGGUCUUGCCAUAUUCAGAUCCCUAUGUAUUUCGCAAAACUUUAUGUCAUAUCAUAGAUGCUGCUACCAUGUUCCACUUGGAGCUAUUCCAAAUUGUUGCUCCAUUAUACGUAUCCGGUAUCUCUACUCAGAGCUAUCCGGAUAGGUGUUAAGCUUGCAUCGACGUAACUCUUUACGUUGAACUCUUUAUCACCUCCAUAACCGAGAAACAUUUCCUUAUUCUUCUAAGGAUAAUUUUGACCGCUAUCUGGUGAUCCAGUCCUAGAUCACCUUUGUACCCUCUUGCCAGACAUGUGGCAAGGCACACAUCAGGUGUGGUACUCAGCAUGGCAUACCGUAUAGAGCCUAUGACAAGAGCAUAGGGGACGACCUUCGUCCUUCCUCUUUCUUCUGCCGUGGUCAAGCUUUGAGUCUUACUCAACUUUACACCUUACAACUCAGGUAAGAACCCCUUCUUUGACUGAUCUAUUUUGAACUCCUUCAAAAACAUGUCAAGGUGUGCGUUCUUUGAAAGUAUCAUCAGGCGUCUUGAUCUAUCUCUAUAGAUCUUGAUGCCCAAUUUGUAAGCAGCUUUAUCCAGGUCUUCCUUUGAAAAACACUCUUCAAACAACCGUUUAUGCUUUCCAGAAAUUCUACAUUAUUUCGGAUCUACAAUAUGUCAUCCACAUAUACUUAUCAGAAAUGUUGUAGUGCUCCCACUCACUUUCUUGUAAAUACAAGUUUCUAGCAAACAUUGUAUAAACCUAAAAGCUUUGAUCACUCCAUCAAAACAUAUAUUCCGAUUCCGAGAUGCUUGCUCUAGUCCAUAGAAGGAUUGCUGGAGCCAGCAUACCUUUUAGCAUCCUUAGGAUCGACAAAACUUUGAUUGUAUCACAUACAACUUUUCUUACGAAAACUGGUAAGAAAACUUGUUUUGACAUCCAUCUGUAAGAUUUCAUAAUCGAAAAAUACAGCUAAUGCUAACAUGAUUCCGACGGACUUAAGCAUCGCUACGGGUGAGAAAUUCUCAUCGUAGUCAACUCCUUGAACUUGUGAAAAGACUCUUUCCCACAAGUUGAGCUUCAUAGACGGUAACAAUACCGCCCACGUCCGUCUUCUUCUUAAAGAUCCAUUUAUCUCAAUGGCUUGCCGAUCAGCGGGCAAGUCCACCAAAGUCCAUACUUUGUUCUGAUAUACGGAUCCUAUCUCGGAUUUCAUUGCUUCUAACCAUUUGUCGGAACACGGGCCCACCAUCGCUUCUCCAUAGCUCGUAGGUUCAUUGUUGUCUAACAACAUGAUAUCAAAGACAUGAUUACCGUACCACUUAGGAGUAGUACAUAUCCUUGUCGACCUACGAGGUUCGAUAGCAACUUGAUCCAAAGCUUCAUGAUCACUAUCAUUAACUUCCUAUUCAACAGACAUAGGCGCCACAGAAAACAUCUUUUUGUGUUGCAUCACUCUCUGGUUGAAGUAAAGGUUCGACAACCUCAUCAAGUUCUAUCUUCCUCCUACUCAAUUCUUUCGAGAGAAACUCCUUCUCGAGAAAGGACCCGUUCUUAGCGACAAACAAUUUGCCCUCGGAUCUGAGAUAGAAGGUAUACCCAACUGUCACCCUUGGGUAUCCUAUGAAGAUGUGUUUGUCCGCUUUGGGUUCGAGCUUCUCCGGCUGAAGCCUUAAGCAUCGCAGCCCCAAACAUUAAGAAACGACAACUUUGGUUUCUUGCCAAACCAUAUUCUUACGACGUUGUCUCAACGGACUUAGAUGGUGUCCUAUCUAAAGUGAAUGUAGUUGUCUCUAAUGCAUAACCUCAAAAUGAAAACCGUAGAUCGGUAAGAGACAUCAUAGAUCGCACCAUAUCUCAUAAGGUUCGUUUAUGACGUCCGGACACACCAUUACCCUGUGGUGUUCCAGGUGGCUUCAACUGUGAAACAAUUCCACAAUGUCUUAAGUGUUUGCCAAACUCAUAACUCAGAAAUUCUCAUUGAUCAGAUCAUAGGAAUUUGAUCUUCUUGCUAUGAUGAUUCUUAACUUCACUCUGAAAUCGCUUGAACUUUUCAAACAUUUCAGACCUGUGCUUCAUUAAGUAAAUAUACCUAUAUCUACUCAAAUCGUCAGUGAAGAUGAGAAAAUAGCGAUAUCCACCGCACGCUUCAAUUCUCAUUGGAUCACACACAUCUGCAUGUAUGAUUUCCAACAAGUCACUUGCCCGUUUCAUUGUACCUGAAGACGGGGUCUUAGUCAUCCUGCCCAUGAGGCAUGGCUCGCAUGUGUCAAGCGAUUCAAAAUCAAGUGACUCCAAACAUCCAUCGAUAUGGAGUUUCUUCAUGCAUCUUACGCCAAUAUGACCUAAGUGGCAGUGCCACAAGAAAGUGGUACUAUCAUUAUUAACUCUACAUCUUUUUGGCGUGAACAUGUGUAUCACCACGACCGAGAUUCAAUGAACCAUUCACAUAGGGUGCAUGACCAUGAAAGGUAUCAUUCAUGUAAACAGAAUAACCAUUAUUCUCUAACUUAAAUGAAUGACCGUAUUGCAAUGAACAUGAUCUAAUCAUAUUCAUGCUCAACGUAGACACCUGAUAACAUUUAUCUAGGUUCAAUACUAAUCCCGAAGGCAGAUGGAGCGUGCGAUGGUGAUCUCAUCAACUUUGGAAACACUUCGAACACACAUCGUCACCUCGCCCUCAGCCAGUCUCCGUUUAGUCCGUAGCUUUUGCUUCAAGUCACCAAUAAUAGUAACUGAACCGGUACCCAAUACCCAGGUGCUACCAGGAGUACUAGUGAGGUACACAUUAAUAACACGUAUAAAUUUUGUUGAAGUUUCUAGCCUUCUUAUCUACCAUGCAUUUGGGGUAAUUCCGCUACCAGUGACCGUUCCCCUUACAAUAGAAGCACUUAGUCUCGGGUUUGGGUUCGACCUUGGGUUCCUUCACUAGAGCGGCAACUGGUUUGCCAUCCAUGAAGUUUCCCUUCUAGCCCUUGCCCUUCUUGAAACCAGUGGUCUUGUUAAACCAUCAACACUUGAUGCUCCUUCUUUGAUUUCUACCUUUUGCGGUCUUAAGCACCACGAACAGCUCCGGGAUCAACUCCAUCCCUUGCAUGUCAUAGUUCAUCACGAAGAUCUAGUAGCUUAGUGAUAUUGGCUAGAGAACUCUAUCAAUCACUAUCUUAUCUGGAAGUUUAACUCCCACUUGAUUUAAGUGAUUGUAGCACCCAGACAUUCUGAGCACAUGCUCAUUAGCUGAGCUAUUCUCCUCCAUCUUGUUGGCAAAAGAACUUGUCAGAGGUCUCACAACUCUCAACACGGGCAUGAGCCUGAAAUCCCAAUUUCAGCUCUUGGAACAUCUCAUAUGUUCUAUGGCAUUCAAAACAUCAUUGGAAUCCCGAUUCUAAGCCGUAAAGUAUGGUGCACUAAACUAUCAUGUAGUCAUCAGGAUGUGUCUAUCAGGUGUUCACAACAUCCACAGACGAUGUUGUAGGGGUUUGCACAUCAAGCGGUGCAUCAAAGACGUAAGCCUUCUAUGUAGCAGUGAGGACACUCCUCGGACUACGGACCCAGCUGCAUCAUUGCUUACAAUAUCUUUCAACUUGGUCUUUCUCUAGGAACGUAUUGAAAUAGGGAGCUACAACAUGAGCUAUUUAUCUACAACAUAUUUGCGAAGACAAUUUAGACUAUGUUCAUGAUAACUGAGUUCAUCUAAUCAAAUUAUUUAAUGAACUCCCACUCAGAUAGACAUCCCUCUAGUCAUCUAAGUGAAACAUGAUCCGAAUCGACUAGGCCGUGUCUGAUCAUCACGUGAGACGGACUAGUCAUCAACGGUGAACAUCUCAUGUUGAUCGUAUCUUCUAUACGACUCAUGUUCGACCUUUCGGUCUUCCGUGUUCCGAGGCCAUGUCUGUGCAUGCUAGACUCGUCAAGUCAACCUAAGUGUAUUGCGUGUGUAAAUCUGGCUUACACCCGUUGUAUUCGAACGUUAGAAUCUAUCACACCCGAUCAUCACGUGGUGCUUCGAAACAACGAACCUUCACAACGGUGCAUAGUUAGGGGGAACACUUUCUUGAAAUUAUUACGAGGGAUCAUCUUAUUUAAGCUACCGUCGUUCUAAGCAAAUAAGAUGUAAAACAUGAUAAACAUCACAUGCAAUCAAAUAGUGACAUGAUAUGGCCAAUAUCAUUUUGCUCCUUUUGAUCUCCAUAUUCGGGGCUCCAUGAUCAUCGUUGUCACCGGCAUGACACCAUGAUCUCCAUCAUCGUGUCUUCUUGAAGUUGUCUCGUCAUCUAUUACUUCUACUACUAUGGCUAACGCUUUAGCAAUAAAGUAAAGUAAUUACAUGACGUUUAUGUUGACACGCAUGUCAUAGAUAAAUUAAGACAACUCCUAUGGCUCCUGCCGGUUGUCAUACUCAUCGACAUGCAAGUCGUGAUUCCUAUUACAAGAACAUGAUCAAUCUCAUACAUCACAUAUAUCAUUCAUCACAUCCUUUUGGCCAUAUCACAUCACAAGGCAUAUGCUGCAAAAACAAGUUAGACGGCCUCUAAUUGUUGUUGCAAGUUUUUACGUGGCUGCUAUAGGUUUCUAGCAAGAACGUUUCUUACCUAUGCGAAAACCACAACGUGAUAUGCCAAUUUCUAUUUACCCUUCAUAAGGACCCUUUUCAUCGAAUCCAAUCCGACUAAAGUGGGAGAGAUAGACACCCGCUAGCCACCUUAUGCAACUAGUGCAUGUCAGUCGGUGGAACCAGUCUCACGUAAGAGUACGUGUAAGGUCGGUCCGGGCCGCUUCAUCCCAUGAUGCCGCCAAAUCAAGAUAAGACUAGUAACGACAAGUAAAUUGACAAUAUCGAUGCCCACAACUACUUUGUGUUCUACUCAUGCAUAGAAACUACGCAUAAACCUGGCUCUGAUACCACUGUUGGGGAUCGUAGCAGAAAUUUAAAAUUUUCUACGCAUCACCAAGAUCAAUCUAUGGAGUAAUCUAGCAACGAGGGGAAGGAGAGUGCAUCUACAUACCCUUGUAGAUCGCUAAGCGGAAGCGUUCAAGUGAACGGGGUUGAUGGAGUCGUACUUGUCGUGGUCCAAAUCACCGAUGAUCCUAGCGCCGAACAGACGGCACCUCCGCGUUCAACACACGUACGGUUGGGAGACGUCUCCUCCUUCUUGAUCCAGCAAGGUGAGAGGAGAAGUUGAGGGAAAACUCCGACAGCACGACGGUGUGGUGGUGAUGGAGCUCGUGGUUCUCCGGCAGGGCUUCGCCAAGCACUACGGAGGAGGAUGAGGUGUUGGAGGAGGAAGAGGGCUGCGCCAGGGGAAGGGUGCGACUUCCCUCUCUCUCCCUCACUAUAUAUAGGGGAAGGGAGGAGGGGGAGGCGCCCUAGGGUUCCCUAGGGGAGGGGCGGCGGCCACAGGGGAAACCCUAGAUGGGUUUGGGCGCCCCCACCCCCUAGGAAACUUGCCCCCAAGCCGGGAGGGGCGGCUGCCCUAGGGGUGGCGCCCCCACCUCUCCUGGUUACGUGAGAUGGGGUGGGAGGGGCGCUCAGCCCCUUAGUGGGCUGAUGUGCCCUCUCCCCUUGGCCCAUAAGCCCCCCCCAACGCUUGCCGGGGCCUUCGAAACCCCUUUUGGACACGCUGGUCAUCACCUGGUACCCUCGGAACAAUUCCGGACUCCAAUACCCUUCGUCCAAUAUACUGAUAUUCACCUACGGACCAUUCCGAAGCUCCUCGUCAUGUCCGGGAUCUCAUCCGGGACUCUGAACAACCUUCGGUAACCACAUACUAUUUCCCAUAACAACUCUAGCGUCACCGAACCUUAAGUGUGUAGACCCUACGGGUUCGGGAACCAUGCAGACAUGACCGAGACAACUCUCCGGCCAAUAACUAACAGCGGGAUUUGGAUACCCAUGUUGGCUCCCACAUGUUCCACGAUGAUCUCAUCGGAUGAACCACGAUGUCGAGGAUUCAAUCAAUCCCGUAUACAAUUCCCUUUGUGCAGCGGUAUUGUACUUGCCCGAGAUUCGAUCGUCGGUAUCCGAUACCUUGUUCAAUCUUGUUACCGGCAAGUCUCUUUACUCGUUCCGUAACACAUCAUCCCAUGAUCAACUCCUUGGUCACAUUGUGCACAUUAUGAUGAUGUCCUACCGAGUGGGCCCAGAGACACCUCUUCGUUACACGGAGUGACAAAUCCCAGUCUCGAUUCGUGCCAACCCAACAGACACUUUCGGAGACACCUGUAGUGUACCUUUAUAGCCACCCAGUUACGUUGUGACGUUUGGCACACCCAAAGCACUCCUACGGUAUCCGGGAGUUGCACAAUCUCAUGGUCUAAGGAAAUGAUACUUGACAUUAGAAAAGCUUUAGCAAACGAACUACACGAUCUUGUGCUAGGCUUAAGAUUGGGUCUUGUCCAUCACAUCAUUCUCCUAGUGAUGUGAUCCCGUUAUCAACGACAUCCAGUGUCCAUGGUCAGGAAACCGUAACCAUCUUAUUGAUCAAUGAGCUAGUCAACUAAAGGCUUACUAGGGACAUGGUGUUGUCUAUGUAUCCACACAUGUAUCUGAGUUUCCUAUCAAUACAAUUCUAGGAUGGAUAAUAAACGAUUAUCAUGAACAAGGAAAUAUAAUAAUAACCAAUUUAUUAUUGCCUCUAGGGCAUAUUUCCAACACUAUGGCGUUGAUACAAAUUGGUACGUCGAUAGUGGGGUCACAAACCACAUCACCAAUGAGCUCGAGAAGGUAACCAUGAAGGAGAAAUACCGCGGCGAGGAUCAAAUCCAUACUGCUAGCAGAGAAGGUAUAAGUAUACGUCACUUUGGUCACUCAAUAUUUCGUACCCCUAGACGUAAACUUCAUCUUAAGAAAAUUUUGCAUGUCCCUAGUGCACAUAAAAAUCUUCUUUCUGUUCAUGAAUUGCCAUUGAUAAUCAUGUUUUUCUCGAGUUUCACCCUUAUUUCUUUUUUUAUCAAGGAUCAGGCAACGAGGGAAAUUCUCUAUCGAGGUAGAUGUGUUCGAGGGCUCUACCCGUUGAUUCCGGAGUUUAGAAGAUUCAAUAAACAAGCUUAUGGUGCUAUCAAGCUUACGUCCACACGAUGGCACGAUCGUUUAGGACAUGCUUCUUUUUCUUUAGUUGAAAAGUUUCUUAGGAAAAAUAAGCUCCCGUUUGUUGGUGAGUGUCAUGUUGAAACUAUUUAUGAUUCAUGUCAACGAGCUAAAAUUCAUCAAUUGCCAUAUCCUAUUUCUACUAGUGUUUCUACCAAACCUUUACAACUCAUUAUUUCUGAUGUUUGGGGUCCAGCCCCCAACUCUGUUGGUAGACAUACUUAUUAUGUGAGUUUCAUUGAUGAUUACAGUAAAUUCUCUUGGAUCUAUCUUCUGAAAAGAAGAUCAGAUGUGUUUCAAGUUUUCCAAAAUUUUCAAGCUCUUGUUGAACGCAAGUUUGACAGCAAAAUCAUUGCUGUUCAAUCAGAUUGGGGAGGGGAGUAUGAAAAGUUGAACUCCUUCUUCCAAAAUCUUGGCAUCUCUCACCACGUAUCAUGCCCACAUGCUCACCAGCAAAACGGUUCAGCUGAACGUAAGCAUAAACACAUUGUUGAGGUCGGCCUUACUCUUUUGGCAGGAGCCUCCAUGCCUCUCAAGUUUUGGGAUGAAGCAUUCCUCACGGACGUUCACAUUAUCAACAUGCUACCCAGUCAUGUCAUUAAUAAUGAAACUCCGGUAGAACGCCUUCUUCACACCAAACCUGACUAUAAAUCUCUUCGUGUCUUUGGGUGUGCAUGUUGGCCAAAUCUUUGUCCUUACAACAAUCGCAAACUCAUGUUUCGAUGAAAACAGUGUGUCUUCCUAGGGUAUAGUGCUCAGCAUAAGGGCGUCAAGUGUCUAGAUGUCUCCACUGGUCGUGUUUACAUCUCAUGUGACAUUGUAUUUGAUGAAACAAAAUUUCCGUUCGCUGAUCUCCACCCUAAUGCUGGCGCACUUCUUCGAAAAUAAAUCCUCCUUUUGCCUCCUCAUCUUACUAGUUUUGAUCAAGGGGGACAAAAUAUUGAUGAUCAAUUAUUGACUAACUCAUCUAAUGAUCUGCAUGAGUUUUGUGUUGAUGAAACAGGAGAAAAUCGCGAGAAAAAUGCUGCUGAAAAUAAUUCGGAUGGGCCAUAUUUCAUGUGUUCCACUGGAGGAGACAGAUCCUCCUCGGGAUCCGCCUAGGUGCAGUGGAUCAGAUCCACCUCGGGAUCGCCGCCCUUGACGAGGCAGGCACAGGCGAGCGCGCAACAGCCUCCCCAGAUUCGCGCAACGCCGGUUCCACGGGUGACACACGGGCUUCAUUGGCUGGCUGUGCCGGAUGUCCCGUCCCGAGCCAAUCGCCACUUGCCACCUGGCAGGCUCCGGGUGGCCCAGGAGGUGCACGGUACGCCACCCAACCUGUGAUGUACAAGCAGCGCGAAGACACGCGGUCCAGGGAGGGCGCGGGACUUGGCACCGGUCCGACCGGCGUGGAAACCCGAGUGAAUGCGCCAUCAUCACGCGAUGAUGAGUCGCACGCCUGCACUCUGGGAUCUUCUGCGGCUACUCCAGGCACCCCACUUCACUCUUCAGCCGCAGAAAAUCCGAUGUUGCUGGGUGGCGCUGCUGGAUCAAGAUCCUCCUCGAAGUCCGGUGCUGCGAAUGAUUUGAGAUCUGCUGGAUCUUCUGUGCCAACAGAGAUGAUUGCUCAGUAGCCACGCCGCACACGUCUGCAACAAGGGGUAAUUCAACCUGGCAACUACAAGCAUAUAACCAAGUAUGGUAUGGUUUGUUCCAUAGGUGAACCGGAUGAACCUAACACUCUUGAAGCAGCAUUGUGUGAUGAGAGGUGGAAAAAAGCUAUGAAUGAAGAGUACAUGGCAUUGAAGAGAAACAAAACAUGGCACUUGGUUCCCCCACAACAAGGUAAAAAUUUGAUUGAUUGCAAGUGGGUUUUCAGGAUUAAAAGAAAAGCUGAUGGAACCAUUGAUUGUUAUAAGUCUAGGCUGGUAGCAAAAGGUUUUAAACAGAGAUAUGGAUAGACUAUGAGGACGCCUUCAGUCCAGUGGUAAAGGCUGCCACCAUUCGUCUUGUCCUGUCUAUUGUUGUUUCUAGAGGAUGGAGCCUCAGACAGCUUGAUGUUCAUAACGCGUUUCUCCAUGGUGUUCUGGAAGAGGAAGUGUACAUGAAACAACCUCCCGGGUUUGAGAGUAAGAAUGCUCCUUCGUAUGUGUGCAAUCUGGAUAAAGCACUAUAUGGGUUAAAGCAGGCUCCAAGGGCAUGGUAUGCUCGCCUCUAUCAGAAAACGCAAGCACUUGGUUUCGUUCCAUCUAAAUCUGACACAUCAUUGUUCAUCUACAACAAGUCCAACACAUGCAUAUUUGUUCUCAUAUAUGUUGAUGAUAUUAUUGUAACUAGCUCAUCUGAUGAAACAUUCAGAGGACUUCUUAAGGAUUUGAGUGCAGACUUUGCUCUAAAGGAUCUUGGUGACUUGCAUUACUUUCUUGGGAUUGAGGUGAAGCAGCACAAAGAUGGACUUCUCCUCUCUCAAGAAAAGUAUGCAACUGAUUUGGUUAAGAAGGCUGGGUUACAAGGAUGUAAACCCCCAUCUACUCCGUUAUCCAGCUCGGAAAAAUUAUCUCUUGCAGAAGGUGAGCUCUUGAAUCAAGAGGACAACACCAAAUACAGAAGUCUGGUAGGAGCUCUUCAGUAUCUCACACUCACCAGACCUAAUAUAUCCUUUGCUGUUAACAAAGUCUGCCAGUUUCUUCAUGCACCUACCAAUGUUCAUUUGACAGCUGCAAAACGUAUAGUUCAAUACGUGAAGCACACUCUGAACUUAGGACUGAACUUCAGCAAAUCACCCUUUACUCUUGUCAGUGCAUUCUCUGACUCUGAUUGGGCAGGUUAUCUUGAUGAUAGGUGCUCUACUGGUGGUUUUGUAGUAUUCUUUGGACCAAAUUUGAUAUCAUGGUGUGCACAUAAACAGGCUACCGUAUCCAGGUGAAGCACAGAGGCAGAAUACAAGGCAUUGGCAAAUGCCACAGCUGAGAUAAUAUGGGUUCAGUCCAUGCUGAAGGAACUUGGUGUACAAAGUAAACAAGCUCCCUGCUUAUGGUGUGACAACCUUGGUGCUACGUAUCUCUCUGCAAAUCCAGUGUUCCAUGCCAGGACAAAGAAUAUAGAGAUAGACUUUCAUUUUGUCAGAGAAAGAGUUGCUCAGAAACAACUUGACAUUCGCUUUGUGCAUUCCAAAGACCAACUUGCAGAUGGAUUCACAAAGCCUUUGCCUACAAGAAGUUUUGAAGACUUCAAGCAUAAUCUCAACUUGAUGAAGUUGUGAUUAAGGGAGGGUGUUAAACAUGAUGCAUGUCACGUCAGGUGAUCUAACCAGGAGGUAUUCGCAUAGUAUAGAUAGAGGUAGAUUCGGUUGUUAAGCAGUUCAAAUAUCUCACAAUUGUAACUAUCCCUAUCUCCUCUGUCCCAAGUAAACUCUCCUGGAAAAUCUCUCUAUAACGAUCUCUCUAUAACGAUCGUAGGGUGGUCGCGCCCCCUCCUAUAUAACAUGAACCACGUCCCUCGAGAGAGGUAAGACGUUUUCCACUAUCGCGCACAAAGUUGUGGAGAUGUACAUGUUGUAGAGUAGACAUUACAAGGCAUUCACGUGUAGAGUGAUCUGAACUUGAACAUGUGUUGAUAGGUUGAUUUAGGCUACGCCUAAGCACCUGUUCUAUACAAUUGUGAGCCACUUGAUUGGGCUCUCUUGGGAUAUGGGAAACCUGCUGUGAAGAGCAUGAAAUGGCUCCAAAGUAACCAGCUAGAUAAGCCCCGACAUUCCAGUGGAGGAGAGGAUGAUCAAGACUUCUUACUACUGUUGUUUUGGCUAGAACAUGGUUGCCCGUCAAGAACAUUGGCAUGUUGAUGUGCAGAAGUUGUGCAAGUUUUGCCGUCAUGAGGAGAGCUUUUGCUUCCGCUUGAAACACCGAGGAUUCUUGUAAAGUCGAAGCCUGUAUCAUGAUGUGCCACUUUCUUUCAUUAGAGUUAUCUCGGAUGUGGAUCUCUUUUCCUGUAGCUUCUUGUUCUUCCGAUCCAGGGAUUGUCUUGCAUUUUCAAGAUGCAUCUAUAAAAAUCACAACCCCUUCAAACAAUCUCUCAGAUUUAAUUGUAGAGCCUUGCGGACAAAGUUCAAGAUUGUUGAUUAGAGCCUGUGCAUGAAUGAAGAUUUGGUAAGGAGAUCCAUUCUUUCUCUGGAAAAGAAAAUCAUUCCUGGAUUUCCAUGUGCAUCGCAUAAAAGUGAAGAUAUUUGGCAGAGAAGCAUAAGUAUGGUUCAUGUUCAGUAAAGUCAGGAUUAUCUGAGUUAAGGUAUUGUAGUGAAGAUAUUUGGCAGAGAAGCAUAAGUAUGAUUCAUGUUCAGUAAAGUCAGGAUUAUCUUAGUUAAGGUGUUAAACUGUAUAGUGUUGUGAUCUAGGAGGCUGUUAGUAUUUGUACUUAUCUCCUGUAAUAACUUCUAUAAUAUAUGCCCUAGCUGCACCCAUAUAUAAACAUCCCAAGACCACCGUAUUGUUUGUGCUGAUACAAUCUCUCUUUCUCUCGUUUCACAUGGUAUCAGGCCAUCACGCGUAAUCACACGAUGGGAUCUCCUACUGCCUCCGCUUCCUCCUCCGCCGCCCUGACCACCCGUUCCCUGCCCGCCUCCUUCGACGGGCCGCCUGCCUCUGUCGUCCCUCCUCCCUCAGCUAGCCUCAUCACCGCCAAGCUCACCACUGCCAACUUCCUUCUAUGGAGGGCUCAGGUUCUUCCUCCCCUGUGCAUCAUCGGAGCUACGAGCUACGUCGACGGCACCCUUCCAGCCCCUGCAAAGCUCCUGGACCCUGAUGACAAGGGGGUGCGCGCUCCCAAUCCGGAGUAUGCCAACUGGUACCGCCAGCACCAGAUCAUCCUCAACUAUGUCCUUGCCUCUCUCUCCGAUGAAGUCCUGCAGCAGGUGCAUCUGUUUGACACUUCUCCGGCCAUCUGGGCGCAUGUCAUGGAGAUGUACAACAUUCAUUACCGUUCUAGUAUCGUCGAGAUCAAACUGGACAUGGCGGCCUUACGGAAGGGCAAUCUCUCCAUGGCGGACUACUUCGCCAAGAUCCGCGCCAACGCCGAUCAGCUUGCUGCCAUCGGCCGCGCCAUGCAUGAUGAGGACAUCAUCACCGCUGUCAUCACCGGCCUCGACAGCGACGAGCCGCUCAUCACCGCUUCCACAACUGGUCUUGACGGCAUGUCUCUUGGGGAAUUUUAUUCCCAUGCCACCGCCUUCAAACGCUGAUGCGAGUACAACGCCGCUCGCCUUCAUCUUCAAUCCGGCGGCUCCUCCGUCAACUACGUCGCCCGGGACAAGAACGGCAACAACAACACCACCAACCGGGGCAAGGGCAACUACUGCGGCAAGGGUCGCGGCAACUCCGUUGAUCACGGCGACUACUGUCGUGGUUCUAACUCUGACAGUGAUGUAGGGGGGUAUGUAUGGAGAGGCUAGAUCUUAGCUAUGGAGGAGUUGUAAGCACACGAGGAUUACGAGUUCAGGCCCUUCUCGGAGGAAGUAACAGCCCUACGUCUCGGUGCCCGGAGGCAGUCGACUGAAUUAUGUGUGUAUGAAUAACAGGGGUGCGAACCCUUGAUACUGAGGAGGGGGUGGCUUAUAUAGAGUUCGCCAGGCCCCUCCAGCCCUUAGUAAUGCAGGGUUUAAAGUACAUUAAGACUGGGGGUUACUGGUAAUGCCCCUAAUAAAGUGCCACGAUGACCAUAAAAGCUACUUAAUGACCGACCGUUUGCGUGCAGGGUGACUUUAGAUCUCCUGGCAGUCGAGUGGUUGGAUCUUCGUCGAGUGAUUGCUUCGUGGUCGAGUGUCUCGAAUCCGUCGAGUGGGAUACCUCCAAGUCGAUUGAAAGGUGACUUCUUCUAGGGAUGUCCUUGGGUAGGGUACUUAGGACAGGUCCAUGCCCCUACCCUAGGUGCAUAGCUUCAUCAUUAGCCCCCGAAUGGAUCGAGGUUCGAGUGGGGAAGGAGUUGGGGAUCUUUCCGACUGGUUCUUCAUGUUAUAUGAACGUCUUGUUUUGGAUCAAUUGUGACGGAUGACGUCGUCAACUUCUUUCAGUCGCCUUGAUCCAUUCUUGGCCUCUUGUCGAGUGAAUUUCUUUACUUGUGACGGUGUGAAAGGGAUCUUCUGUUUGACGAGUUGUUCUGCGGCCCGCGGAUUUUGCGGGAUUUGAAUUUCGGGAAGCGCGCGAGACGGGGGCGGCCGCAGUAAUCGGAUGGGAUAGGACGGAAGCUCCUCGAUCCCCGCGCCACCCUUUUCGCCAUGUACCGCGCGCGUGCCUGUUGCGGGAUUUGACGGGAUUGCCUGGGCCUACUAGUCAGCCACUCAGAAGCGACCUCUUAUAAGCUGCCGGCUCGGGACCCCCGAACAGUGCGCCUUCACUUUUCCCCCUUCCUUCACAAGAUCCUCCGCCACCUCUGCUCUCACCUUGGCACCGUAGGUCUGUUCGAGCUUCGCCGGCGACGAUGGUGAAGGAGAAGACGUCGGCUCUGGAGCGCGCGAAGAAGGCGGCGGUGCAGGGGAAGGGGAAGAAGUCUGCUCGGGGCGGAUCUUCCUCGAGGACUGCUCUGCUCAAGGAUUGGAUCCAGGGCGACUGGAUGCCGUCGGUGAUUCGGCAGGAUGAUCUCGAUGACCUGGUCAAGGGGGGAUUCAUUCCCCACGAAUCUGCGCGCCUCCCGGGGAAAGAAGUCGAAUCCCAGCCUCUUGAUGGUGAGUGCGUCCUCCUCACCACCCAUAUCGAUCGUGGAUUCUCUCUGCCUCCUCAUCCUUUUUUCCGGAGCUUCUUGAACUUCUUCGGAGCGCACUCCAUCACUUUACUCCUAAUUCUAUUGUAUAUCUUGUUGCUUUCGUUUCCUUGUGUGAAAACUUCUUGGGUUGCCGCCCCCAUUGGGGACUCUUCAAGCACAUCUUCACUUGCCGCUCUCAGUCGGUCAAGAAGGCCAAGUCGAGUGACGAACGGACGCAGGUGAUCCAGCUGUGCGGGGGCCUGGCGAUACAGAUGAGGGGAAAAGUUCCUUUCCGUCUAUCACUUUUCCCGAGUUAGUCCGUGGGUGGCAGUCGACUUGGUUUUACUGUAAAGACCAGGUGACCCUAGGACAGUCAACUGGGCUCCCCCCUUUUUCUCUGAAUCGAGCACAAAAACCUGCCUCUCUGAAUGUGACGCCAGAGGAAAAGGCGCAAGUCAAGGUGCUGGUCGGUCGAUUGGUUCAGCUUGUCCGCGAGGGUGUGACUGGCAUGGACUUGUUGGAAGUCUUCCUUCGGAGGCGCAUCCAACCGCUUCAGGCUCAUGACCACCCGAUGUGGCUGUACUCGGGUCUCGAAGACACCACUUGGAUUCACCUAGAGGAGGUCACUGACGAGAUGUUGGAAGGGUGGCUGUCGAGUAUCAUAGGGAACAAGGACAACCCCCAAGGAGCCAGGAGGAUUCCUCCACUCGACCAAACGUACGAAGUGGACAAGGUCUGACCUUGCGUUUCUGACUGUGAUCUUGCUUUCUUUAUUUGUUCUCUUUGGAUCAGUCGAUUGACUUUUGUCUUGUUUGUUGUCCUCUAGGCCACUACUGAGAUGUACUCGACACCCAAUGGAGCACAGGAGCAGGCCGAGGAAGGAGAGGCGAGCGGAGGCGAAAGUGGAGACGAGAGAGAAGAGUGGGAAUCUGACGGCGAAGGAGAGGGGGAUGACGACGACGACUCCAGUGAAGAGGAGGAGGAAGAAGUCGAACCUCCUCGCUCGGAACGGCGAUCCAAGCUUACACACGACCCUGCGCGGGAACGUGGUAAGGCGACUGUCCUUGUUGGGCAGUCGUCGAAGCGCCCUCGGACCUCAUCUCCAGCACCGAUAGAAAAAGCUCCCAAGCACCCACGCGCGACGCCGUCCAAGCCGCCCAAGGCUCUGCCCAAGAUGAAGAUGACUGUCCCCACCAUUUCUGGGUAAUAGUAGAAUUUGUUUUCCUUUGUCGAACGUGACGGACUCUUGGUCGACUCAUUGAAUAAGCUGACUGACUUUCGAAAUUUGCAGUGCUGCCACCUCGGAGAUCUCCACCAAGGACGAUGAUCAGGAGAUGGAAGACGCUGUUACCUCCAACCCCGGUACGAUUACUGAUGCUCUGCUUUUAGUCGACUGACGAUUUCUUAUAAUUCUGGUCGAUUGGAUUUUUCUUGUAGCUCCUCCUCAUGUCAUUGACCUCCCUGAUGAUGAUGACGAAGUGCUGCUGAGGGCGUGAAGGAACAGGAGGGCGCCGGCUGGCAAGACCCCACAAACUACCCCGACGCCUGAGGCCGCAGUCCGGGAGGGUGGUGAUACCACUCGGGCUUCUGUGACCUUCGUUGAACCUCUGACGAGUGUCCGGCCUUCAACGUCGACUGCAAAUCCGCCUUCGCUUUUUGCCACACACCACGUCCCUGAGGACCAAGUGGGUGCCGCUAAAGAGGCUAUAUGCCAGGCGGGGAUCAUGAUGGAGCAAGUGAAGGUGGUUCGGGAAGCCAGCCAAGCAGCUUAUGACGCAAGUUCAGCUCUUCAGAGCAAUGUCCAGGUCAGUCGAUUCACCGCUUGUUCUAUUAGGAUAUGCUAUCUGAAGAAUCUCUUUUCCGAAGAUCUUUAUAUCUGUACACCCACUGGGUGUGUCUAUUAAUCUUUUUGACGAGUGGGGGCAUGCUAAGUGCACCCACUGGGUGUAGUCCCGGAGACUACGGUGGACUGCUGGCAGUCGACUGUAGUCUUUAUAUUGUGUUGCUUUAGCUGAACUUCUUCACUCAGUCUGGUCAGGCCAUGUCGAAUGGAACUGUACACGGUCGACUGCGGGCAGUCAAUUUUUUUUGGUCGAACCAGUGGGGGCACGCUGAGUGCACCCACUGGGUGUAGUCCCCGAGACUACUGUCGAAUGUUUUUGAUUCGGCUGUAGUCUUAGAAACGCCAUCAUUGUCUCUUGGUUACUCGGAAGCAACUUAUCUUGGAUGUCUGUCGACUGAUUUUUUGCAGAAAUCCUGCAAACUUGUGGCUCGCUACACUGAGUUGGAGAACAAACAGAUCCAGCUGAACCUUGACUUGAAGCUUGCUCAGGAGAACUUGCAGAAGGCGAGGGACGAAGCAAAAGGUAUGGCUGGUGAGCUUUUGUCGACUGUACUUUCUUUCUGGCCGUCCUCGAUGUUGAUCUCACUUGCUGUUUCGCAGACAAAAUGGAGGAGGCUCUGAAGAAGAAGGAUCAAGACCUUGACGAAGCGCAGAAGGAGGCCCUGAACAAAACGAAGCUUGCUGAAGAAAAACUGGCUUCAGUCGGUACUCUUGAAAAGGAAAACUCCAGGCUGAAAACUGCUCUCGACGCAGCUAAUCGAGAGGCCAGCUGUCUGAAGAAUGGCAAUAUAGCUCUGAAUGACAAGGCAAGUGAACUGGCAGGGAAGAGGAACGAUCUGGAGGCUUAUCUCGGUGGACUCGCCAAGAAGCUGUUCGUCAUGCUCGAGGGUAAUUACUCCGGCCCGACUAACUUGCAGUUACCAAACCUGCGUAGAGCCACUGACUUAUCCUUGAAUUGUGUUUACAGAAUUCUGCCAGAACUUCGAAGAGGAUACUAGUCGAGUGGAGACAGACUUGGACCCCAUCAAUUCUCCAGUGAAGGAUGAGGCUACUAUGAACGUGCUCCGACUGGAAUCUCAUGUUGCCGGCGUUGUUGACUAUCUUGCUCGGUUGAAGGUUGCGAUGUCGCAGAUCGACACGUCGCUCUGGCCUAGGACGACGCUUCAGAAUGACCUCGAGUCCCUGAUGACUCGACUGAAUGAAGUCCCAGGUCGAGUGGCGGAAUGGAAGUAAUCUUCUGCUAGAUGUGGCGCUGACGUCGCUCUGUCUCUGGUCCGCGUCCACCGCAAGGAGGCGCAAGAAGAAAAGUUUGCCGCCAUCCAAGUUGCCAAUACCAGGAAGCACAACUUUCAAGACUUCAUGGAGACUUUCAUUGCUGCUGCCACUCGCAUUGCAGACGGGAUCGACUUGGACGAGUUCGUCGCCCCUUCCAGUCCUCCGCCUGAGCAAUAAAGACUUUUAUGCUUCACUUUAACUUUGCCUCGGAAUGCCGAGUGGAUUUUGUAACCGUUAAACUCUGUCGAGCUGGAGGCUCGAGUACUUUGAUCUGCGGUCUAGGACCUUUGGAUCUUAUCUGAACUUGAUUUAUCGUUGAAUAUCUUCAUGAAUUAUCUGUCGAGUGGAACUUGUUCUUCACUCAAAAUAACUUUGUAUUUGUGGUGCAGCUCCGAAGGAGAAGGUAGCAGUCGAUUUGCACCUCGUCGUCCUUGCGGAUUGGGAUGUGUUCCGUACUUAGGCGAGCACUGGGCUGCAGCUAAGCCUCCGAGUGGAAGGUCUGCUCUCCACUCGGUAGGAUUUUAAAAACUUAGGCGAGUACUGGACUGCAGCUAAGCCCCCGAGUGGGAGGUCUGCUCUCCACUCGGUAGGAUUUUUUCAAACUUAGGCGAGUACUGGACUGCAGCUAAGCCCUCGAGUGGGAGGUCUGCUCUCCACUCGGUAGGAUUUUUUCAAACUUAGGCGAGUACUGGACUGCAGCUAAGCUCCCGAGUGGGAGGUAUGCUCUCCACUCGGUAAGAUUUUUUCAAACUUAGGCGAGUACUGGACUGCAGCUAAGCCCCCGAGNNNNNNNNNNNNNNNNNNNNNNNNNNNNNNNNNNNNNNNNNNNNNNNNNNNNNNNNNNNNNNNNNNNNNNNNNNNNNNNNNNNNNNNNNNNNNNNNNNNNNNNNNNNNNNNNNNNNNNNNNNNNNNNNNNNNNNNNNNNNNNNNNNNNNNNNNNNNNNNNNNNNNNNNNNNNNNNNNNNNNNNNNNNNNNNNNNNNNNNNNNNNNNNNNNNNNNNNNNNNNNNNNNNNNNNNNNNNNNNNNNNNNNNNNNNNNNNNNNNNNNNNNNNNNNNNNNNNNNNNNNNNNNNNNNNNNNNNNNNNNNNNNNNNNNNNNNNNNNNNNNNNNNNNNNNNNNNNNNNNNNNNNNNNNNNNNNNNNNNNNNNNNNNNNNNNNNNNNNNNNNNNNNNNNNNNNNNCGAGCACUGGGCUGCAGUUAAGCCUCCGAGUGGGAGUCUGGCUCACCACUCAGUAGGAUUUUUAAACACUUAGGUGAGCACUGGGCUACAGCUAAGCCUCCGAGUGGGAGGUUUGCUCUCCACUCGGUAGGAUUUUAAAACACUUAGGCGAGCACUGGGCUGCAGCUAAGCCUCCGAGUGGGAGUCCGGCUCGCCACUCGGUAGGAUUUUUAAACACUUAGGCGAGCACUGGGCUGCAGCUAAGCCUCCGAGUGGGAGUCUGCCUCACCACUCGGUUGGAUUUUUAAACACUUAGGCGAGCACUGGGCUGCAGCUAAGCCUCCGAGUGGGUGUCUGGCUCACCACUCGGUAGGAUUUUUAAACACUUAGGCGAGCACUGGGCUGCAGCUAAGCCUCGAGUGGGAGUCUAGCUCACCACUCGGUAGGAUUUUUAAACACUUAGGCGAGCACUAGGCUGCAGCUAAGCCUCCGAGUGGGAGUCUGGCUCACCACUCGGUAGGAUUUUUUUUACAAACUUAGGCGAAACGGAUUUGCAGCUAAGCCACCCACUGGGGGAUUUCACACGCAAACAAAAGCGACAACAAUUAUACGAAAAUUUGUAACACUCUUGUCUUUGAUAAAUAGACUACAGAAGUUUUUCUUAUUACAUCUCAUCCGAGUGAGAAUUCAAGUGUAAAAGGGGCGGAGCAGUUCUGCAUUCCAAGCUCGUGGCUCAUCGAUCUGGCGAUCGACAUUGUAAAGGUGAUACGCUCCAUUGUGGAGGACUCUGGUGACGAUGAAGGGACCUUCCCAAGUAGGAGCGAGCUUGGGUGGUUUCUGUUGAUCCACUUGGAGGACCAAAUCUCCUUCUUGGAAGGCUCGACUCUUCACAUUCCUGGCAUGGAAUCGACGCAAGUCUUGCUGAUAAAUGGUCGAUCGGAUCAUAGCCAUUUCUCUUUCUUCUUCCAGGAGGUCGACUGCAUCUUGUCGGGCUUGUUCUGCUUCAUCUUCAAUAUAAAGCUCGACUCGGGGUGCAUUGUGAAGUAGAUCACUCGGCAGGACUGCUUCCGCUCCGUAAACCAGAAAGAACGGAGUUCUUCCAGUCGACCGAUUCGGGGUGGUCCUCAAUCCCCACAGAACUGAUGGAAGCUCAUCGACCCAAGCGCCUGCUGCGUGCUUGAGAUCACGCAUUAGCUGAGGCUUUAGUCCUUUGAGAAUCAGACCAUUUUCCCUUUCUGCUUGUCCAUUCGACUGGGGGUGGGCGACCGAUGCGUAGUCGACUUGUGUGCCUUGAGAGGCGCAAAAAGCUCUGAACUUGUCUGAAUCAAAGUUUGACCCAUUGUCGGUGAUGAUGCUAUGCGGGACUCCAUAUCUGAAUGUUAACUCUCUGACAAAACUGAUAGCAGUGCAAGCAUCAAGAUUCUUGAUAGGCUUAGCUUCAAUCCAUUUGGUAAACUUGUCGACUGCCACAAGCACAUGUGUGAAACCGCUCCUGCCUGUUCUCAAUGGGCCAACCAUGUCCAAUCCCCAAAGAGCGAAGGGCCAGACGAGUGGAAUGGUCUUCAGGGCUGAUGCAGGCUUGUGCGACAUGUUGGAGUAGAACUGGCACCCUUCACACUUGUCGACUAUCUCUUUUGCCAUUUCAUUUGCUCUUGGCCAGUAAAAUCCCGCUCGGUAUGCUUUAGCCACAAUGGUCCGAGAGGACGCAUGAUGACCACAGGUCCCCGAGUGGAUAUCAUCAAGGAUUAUCUGACCUUCUUCUGGUGUUAUACACUUCUGACCGACUCCAGUCGCGCUUUCUCUAUACAACUGUCCCUUUAUGACUGUAAAGGCCUUGGAUCGACGGAUGAUCUGUCGAGCCUCUUCUUCGUCCUCCGGGAGUUCCUUUCUCAGGAUAUACGCGAUGUACGGUAUCGUCCAGUCGGGGGUGAUUGCCAAAACUUCCAUGAUUAGGUCGACCACUGCCGGAAUUUCAACUUCAGUCGGAUCUAUGGCACUCUUUGGCUGCGGGGCUUCAUCUGUAAAAGGAUCUUCUUGGACUGAUGGCGAGUGGAUGUGUUCCAAAAACACAUUGCUGGGGAUGGCUUCUCUCUUGGAGCCUAUCUUUGCCAAAUCAUCAGCCGCUUGAUUUUUCAGUCGGGGGAUGUGAUGAAGCUCUAACCCCUCGAAUUUCUUCUCUAACUUUCUCACUUCAUCGCAAUAACCAGUCAUAGCUGGACUUCUGACGUCCCACUCUUUCAUCACCUGAUUAACCACCAAAUCUGAGUCGCCAUAGACCAUGAGGCGACGGACGUCGAGUGAAAUGGCCAUGCACAACCCAUACAAAAGUGCUUCAUAUUCUGCUUCGUUAUUGGAGGAAUCGAAGUGAAUCUGGAGAACAUAUCUGAGCUUAUCUCCUCGGGAAGAAACCAAUACUACCCCAGCACCGGAACCAUUCAACAUCUUAGAUCCAUCGAAGAACAUGGUCCAGUGCUCCGAGUGAACUUGAGUCGGAAGUUGCUGUUCGAUCCACUCGGCGAUGAAAUCUGCAAUUGCUUGGGACUUGAUAGCUUUCUUUGCCUCAAACUUGAUAUCUAGGGGAAGAAGUUCAAUCGCCCAUUUGGCCACUCGACCAGUUGCAUCUCUGUUGUGCAAAAUCUCUGGUAGUGGAGCGUCACUGACGACUGUAAUGGAAUGAUCAGAGAAGUAAUGUGCAACCUUCUUCGUGGUCAUAUAAAUCCCAUAUACAAGCUUCUGGUAAUGAGGAUAUCUUUGCUUUGAAGGAGUCAAAACUUCAGAAACAUAAUAUACUGGGCACUGAACUUUGAAGGCCUUUCUUUCUUCUUCCCGCUCGACCGUAAGUACUGUACUGACAACUUGUCCUGUGGCUGCAAUGUAAAUCAGCAAAGGCUCCUUGCUGAUUGGGGCAGCAAGCACCGGCUGGGUGGAGAGCAGAGCUUUGAGCUCUGUAAAUGCUGAAUCAGCUUCUGGAGUCCACUCGAACUUGUCGGACUUCUUCAUCAGUCGGUAAAGAGGCAAUGCCUUUUCACCAAGGCGAGAGAUGAAUCGACUUAAAGCGGCCAAGCAUCCUGUAAGCUUCUGGACGUCAUGCACACGCACAGGACGUUUCAUCCGGAGUAUAGUACCAAUUUUUUCAGGAUUGGCGUCGAUUCCCCGUUCGGAAAUGAGAAAACUGAGUAACUUCCCACCUGGAACUCCGAAUGUGCACUUUGACGGAUUGAGCUUGAUAUCAUACCUCCUGAGGUUGGCAAAGGUUUCAGCAAGGUCAGUCAGCAGGUCGGAACCCUUCCGUGACUUGACCACAAUAUCAUCCAUGUAUGCCUCCACAUUCUGACUAAUUUGAGUGAGCAAACACUUCUGAAUCAUCCUCAUGAACGUGGCUCCGGCAUUCUUGAGGCCAAACGGCAUGGUGACAUAACAGAAGCACCCGAAUGGAGUGAUGAAAGCUGUUUUGAUCUCGUCGGGCCCGUACAGACGGAUCUGAUGGUACCCGGAAUAGGCGUCUAGAAAAGACAAACGCUCACAUCCCGCAGUUGAGUCGACUAUCUGGUCGAUGCGGGGGAGAGGAAAAUGAUCUUUCGGGCAGGCCCGAUUGAUAUGCUUGAAAUCAAUGCACAUGCGAAGUGACUUGUCCUUCUUGGGGACCAUGACAACAUUGGCGAGCCACUCGGAGUGGUAAAUUUCUCGGAUGAACUCCGCUGCUAAGAGCCGAGCCACCUCCUCGCCAAUGGCCUUCCUCUUCUAUACGGCGGACCGUCGAAGAUGUUCUUUCACAGGUUUAAAUUUUGGGUCGACUCGUAGACGGUGCUCAGCCAGCCCCCUGGGAACUCCAGGCAUGUCAGCAGGCUUCCAUGCAAAGAUGUCCCAGUUCUCACGGAGGAACUGGAUGAGCGCUUCUUCCUAUUUGGAGUCGACCGUCGUUGAGAUGUGAGUCGGAGCAGCGUUUGGAUCGGUCGGGUGAAUGUGAACUGCCUUCGUUUCACCGAACGACUGAAAAGCUGAUUCUGAAGCAGGCUUCUUAGCUCAUAGCAACUCACUCGGAUCUGCAGUCUUCUGAUACUCUUGCAGCUUGACCACUGCCAUCUGAGCGUUAGCAAUCUUUGAGCCUUUCUGAAAACACUCUUCUGCUUUCUUUCGAUUGCCUGUAACAGUGAUCACACCUUUGGGACCAGGCACUUCAAUUUGAGAUACACAUAACAUGGUCGAGCCAUGAAGCGUGCAUAAGCUGGCCUGCCCAAAAUAGCGUGAUAAGCACUUUGGAAAUCCACAACUUCGAAUGUCAACUUUUCCUUGCGGUAAUUCUUGGGAUCACCGAAAACCACAUCAAGAGCAAUUUGGCCUGCAAGUCGCUUGCAUGUUCCUUCAAAUGUGGUGACAAACACUCGGGAGAGAUCCUCCCAAGUGUAAAUGCUGCUGGGUGCUAACUGAUUCAGCCACGCUCUGGCCGAGCCUUCUAACAUGAGAGGCAGGUGCUUCAUGGCUACCUCAUCAUUCCCACCGCCAAUCUGGACAGCCACUCGGUAAUCUUCGAGCCAAGUAUCGGGCUUGAACUCACCGGUGAACUUACUAACUCCAGUCGCCAACCUGAAGUUGGGAGGAAUUACAGCGGCUCUGAUGGCUCGACUGAAACACUCCGGCCCUGAAACAUGUACUCUGCUACUGGUAGGCGCAUCUCUGUCGUGGCCUUCUCGGUGAGCUCUAUUCCUGUCGACCAAACCUUGAACGAGAAUGGAUCUCGCAUCAAAGCCUUGUUCCCUGGGGUCGACUGGAAUUCUCCGCCCAACACUAUGAGGGCGUCUGUCAACCUGCUGUCGAGGCACAUAUGAUCCACUCCUCGGGGGAGGGGUUGGCACUCGACAUCGAUCAUCACAAUCGAAUCGGUGAUCAUACUGCUCAUUCCUUCUGUACUGAUCACGCCGGUCUCCAUGUCCCUCACGCCUCGGAGGCGAUCUUGGGCUAUGAGCCGACUGGACUGUAUCUGCUGCAACGGAUCGACUGUGGAUCCUGUUCCGCGACUGAGAAACAGCGGAAUUCUGGUCUCCCGCUGCCCGGAGCAACGCUCUGAUUUGCAACAAGCCUCUGCUAGCCUCUGACUGGGAGGGCUGAAUCGACUCUGCUAUACGGGCCGCAGCCGCCAAAUUCUAAAUCCGAGUACGAUAUACCUGCUGGGGCGGAAAGAGUUGACGUCGACUGGAUUUUGGAGCCCGUUGACGCGCUCGCUCGUCGAGUAUUCGCUGGAGAUUCUCCAGUCGAGUGCGCUCGGCCAAGUUAGCCAAGCACGCAUCCUCCAAGGCUCGGGCCUCGGGGGUUUCUCCAACGAUAGGAGUGUGGAGUGCAUCCAUGUUCCGGCGGCGAAGCUCCUCCCGCUGCAACGACGUGAGAGGCUCGGGGAGAUACACCUCGUGAGGACGCGACAGGUCGCCCCAUCCACGCCUCCGUAAGUGCGGGGGAAACCAGGAGGACUGUGUGGCCCAUCGAUCACCAGAACCUCUGCAGCUGGGUCACUGCUGUCGCAUUCGGAUGCGGUCUCUGCGGAGCCAGUCGACAGGUCGAACAUGCCGUAGAGGGAUUCGUCGGGCUCGAUUGCCGCGACUUGUGGGGUGGCCGACUGGCGGGCCACCGCAUGCCUCACCCACCUCUGAAGCCUCGACUGACCGGAGCGCUUGCACCAGCGAGAAACAGGGCGGGGAGAUGCCACAAGAGCCGACCGAUACUGGGUCGACGGCUGCCGCAGGAGGACACCACGGACGCAUGCGCGAAAGUGCGUCGCCCCGCAGACGGGGAGCACGUCGACGUCGAGUGGAGCCUCCUGAAGCCAAGUGGAGUCAUCGGCGAUGAACGUGAGCGCGCCGAGACGGAUCUCGCGGCCCUCCACCAAAGCUCCGCCCGAAACCAUGAUCAAGGAGAUCGGAAAAAAUCGCAACUUCUCCAACUAGGCGCUAAGACUCCUAGCCCCACGGUGGGCGCCAACUGUCGUGGUUCUAACUCUGACAGUGAUGUAGGGGGUAUGUAUGGAGAGGCUAGAUCUUAGCUAUGGAGGAGUUGUAAGCACACGAGGAUUAAGAGUUCAGGCCCUUCUCAGAGGAAGUAACAGCCCUACGUCUCGGUGCCCGGAGGCAGUCGACUGAAUUAUGUGUAUAUGAAUAACAGGGGCGCGAACCCUUGAUACUGAGGAGGGGGGUGGCUUAUAUAGAGUUCGCUAGGCCCCUCCAGCCCUCAGUAAUGCAGGGUUUAAAGUACAUUAAGACUGGGGGUUACUGGUAACGCCCCUAAUAAAGUGCCAUGAUGACCAUAAAAGCUACUUAAUGACCGACCGUUUGCAUGCAGGGUGACUUUAGAUCUCCUGGCAGUCGAGUGGUUGGAUCUUGGUCGAGUGAUUGCUUCGUGGUCGAGUGUCUCGAAUCCGUCGAGUGGGAUACCUCCAAGUCGAUUGAAAGGUGACUUCUUCUAGGGAUGUCCUUGGGUAGGGUACUUAGGACAGGUCCAUGCCCCUACCCUAGGUACAUAGCUUCAUCAGCUACAACAACAACUCCCGUGGUGGUGAUCGCGGGAAUCGUGGCGGUGGCGGCGCGCGUCAGCAAGGCGACUUUGGUGGCAACUGCGGUGGUGAUCGCGGUGACUAUGGCGACCGCAGUGACAACCACGUCCAGUGUCAGCUCUGCUGAGGCCCUGGGCAUUACGCCUAGGAGUGCGGCCAGCGCUACAACCAUGCCUUCCAGCCCCAACAGUCCAAGAUGGCUGGCCUUGCUGCUGCUUCCCCUCCGUCCAUACUAGGUGCUCCUUCCUGGUUCACCGUCACCGGGGCCACUGACCACAUCACGGGCAAUCUGGAUCGCCUCACGAUCCGAGAGAAGUACCAAGGCAGGGAUCACAUCCACACAGCCGACCAUUCAGGUUUGCACGCAGCUCAUCAUGGUCAUGCAAUUCUUCCUACUCCUACUGCAAAUAUCAAACUUCGUAAUAUCCUGCAUGUCCCUAAUGCCGACAAGAACCUUCUUUCUGUUAAUCGUCUUGCCAUUGAUAAUUGUGCUUAUCUGACGUAUUACCCUACUCAUUUUCUUAUGAAGGAUUUGAUCACCAACGGGGUUCUACUUCAAGGCAGAUGUGAAAAUGGGCUCUAUCCCAUUCGUCCAUCACUUUAAUUAUCGUGAUCUGUCUUUGGUUAGGCUAUCAGCUGAAGAUUGGCAUGCAAGACUUGGCCAUCCAUCCACUCAAGUUGUUUAGCAUGUUUUAUCAUCAAAUAAACUAGCUUCUUCUAGUCGGUCUAUGACCCAUGUGUGUAAUGCAUGUCAACAAGGCAAAGCACACCAGCUAGCCUUCCUAGAUCAUCAAGUGUUUCUUCCUUUCCUUUAUAACUUAUUUUUCGGAUGUGUGGGGGCCCACCAAAACAUCAUCUGGUGGGUUCCAGUACUAUGUCUCAUUCAUUGAUGAUUAUAGUAAGUUUGUGUGGAUUUAUCUUCUCAAGAGAAAAUAUGAUGUGUUUGAUGUUUUUCGUGACUUUCUUGCUCAUGUUGAACUCCUCUCCCAUAAGAUCCUAUGCGUUCAAUCUGAUUGGGGUGGGGAGUACAAAAAGCUUAGCAACACGUUUUUUCAUCAACUUGGCAUUAUGCAUCAGGUAUCCUGCCCACACACACAUCAGCAAAAUGGUUCCGCUAAAAGGAAGCACCGUCAUAUUGUUGACAUGGUGUUGUCUCUAUUAUCACAUGCGUCUAUGCCUCUACGGUUUUGGGAUGAGGCUUAUCCUUCAGCAUGUUAUCUUAUUAAUCGACUUCCUAGUCGUGUCAUUGGCAACUUUAGUCCUAUGGAAAAAUUGUUUCACACCAAACCAGACUAUACGUCGUUUCAUACAUUUGGUUGUGCUUGUUGGCCAAACUUCUGUCCCUACAACACUCACAAACUUGCUUUUCGAUGUCAAUAGUGUGUGUUCAUCGGGUAUAGCAUUCGCCACAAAGGGUAUAAAUGUCUCCAUUUGCCCACAGCCCGUGUUUACAUCUCUCGCGAUGUCACGCUUGAUGAGAAUUUAUUCUGUUUGCCAGCUCUUCUGUCUCCCCCAUACCACCUCCCAUUACAGAACGUACCAUUCUAUUAUUUCUGCAUGACCACAUGAAUUAUGGCACCUUUGUUCUGCAUACUAAUCUGGAUGCAGGACCCUCUACGACGCAGAAGAUCCCAGGUGCACCACCCCCUGGAUCCCAGGAGGAUCUUGGCACAGGAUCUGGAGCGGAUCCGGCCUCGGAUCGUGAGACAACCGACGACAACGACACGGGAUCCCCUUUGACAGGCGACCACGGGGCGUCGCUCCGCCCAUUGGCUCACGUGGCGAUCUCGGGUGGCACGGUCACCUCCCCACUCCCAAUGCCCGCCCCGUCCCCCUAAGUGGCGGGGCCUACCUCUGGCCUGGUCGCCUCAGCCCUCGACCCACCAUAGGCUACAGCCCACGUGCCCCCCCUAUCCGGUGGGCCGACCUCCCUCAGCGGCGGGCUCGACUGUGUCGCCUGGUUCCUCCUCGGGAUCCCAGCUGGAUAUGUCAGCUGGGCCUGCAGGCGUUGCAGGAUCCCAGGUUGAUCCGAUCACUGGCCCCACUGCAUGUGCUCCUGGAUCUUCUAUGCUGCCUGGAUCUACUGCACCACCUGUCCAUGGAAUGGUGACACGUACACGUGAUCAUACUCGCAAGGUCACGCACGGUACGGAUGGUACAAUCAACUAUGAUCUGUCUCGGCGUGCGCUUCUGGUCUCCAGGGAACCUACUGAUCAUCGUGAGGCCAUGGCGUCUCCUACUUGGCGUGCUGCUUUGUAGUUCGAGCUUGAUGCACUCCAUCACAAUGGCACCUGGACUUUGGUUCCACCACCACCUAAUGCCAAUGUGAUCGACUGCAAAUGGGUUUUCAAAUUCAAGCACAAGGCAGAUGGCUCUAUUGACCGUCACAAGGCUCGUCUUGUCGUGAAGGGGUUCAAGCAACGGUAUGGUCUCGACUAUGAUGACACAUUCAGUCCAAUUUUCAAACCUAUUACUAUUCGACUGAUUCUCUCUAUUGCCGUUUCUCGAAGCUAGUGUCUGGGACAGUUGGAUGUUCAGAAUGCCUUUCUUCAUGGAGUCCUUCAGGAAGAGGUGUACACGCGACAACCUCCUGGCUUUGUGGAUCCUUCUGCUCCAUGCUACCUGUGUAAGAUGAGGAAAGAUAUCUAUGGACUCAAACAGGUCCCUCGAGCCUGGUUCUCCAGGUUAAGCUCUCGGCUCCUCCAACUAGGUUUCUUGGCGUCCAAGGCAGAGACGUCCUUGUUUGUUUUUCACCAUGUUCAUGCUUAUCUAUGUGGAUGACAUCAUUGUGGCCAGCUCCUCGCCUACCGCAACCACCAAGUUACUUGCUGAUCUUCAUGCCACGUUUGCCCUCAAGGAUCAUGGUCCCUUGCAUUUUUUUCUUGGGGUUGAGGUGAAGUCUUCGCCAAGGGGGAUUGUGCUCUCUCAACAGAAGUACAUUGGCGACAUUCUUCACCGUGCUAACAUGGAAAAUUGUAAGGUUUCCACUACCCCCAUGUCCUUGAGUGAGAAAAUCAGCAAGGAUAGCGGGGCACCACUCUCUCAGGAUGACAGUACCAAACAUCGCAGUUUGGUUGGAGCACUUCAGUAUCUGACACUAACUAGACCAGACAUUUCUUUUGUUGUGAAUCGUGUUUGUCAGUUUCUUCAUGCCCCGACAACUGCACACCUCUCGGCAGCUGUUGGGGAUAUAACUAUUGGGUAUAACCCGCCCAGGAGGGGCCGGGUCAUACCACUGACGGUUCAUAAUGACAAGGCCCAUGAAGAUGUUGAAGAUGGCGGUUCACGAAGCAGGCUCAUUGAAAGCCCAAGACCCAAAGGCGACUUGGGACCCACGAGUGUAAACUGCCAUACGUUAACUUGUACAUUAAGGAAAGUGUAUGUUCUGUCACCGAGCCGGACAUGUUGUGUAUGAGCCGACCGGGACCCUGUAGGCCGCCGGGCAUCAACCUACGUAUAUAAAGGGGUGACCCGGCGGCGGUUCAGGGCAAGAAACAAGAGAUCGAAAGCUAGGUCAAGCGUAUUCGCUCUCUGGUAAUCGAAACCUAAGCAAUACCACCUCAAACUAGUUUAGGCCUUUACCUUCACCGCAAGGGGCCGGACCAGUAUAAACUCUCUGUGUCCUUUGACCCGUUUAACCCCUUUAAGAUAACCUAGUUGCGACGGCUCCACGACUAAGUCCUUCUGCUAGGACAUCUGCCGUGACAAUUCCACGACAGUUGGCGCCCACCGUGGGGCCAGCGCACGAUGGUUUCGAGUUCUUACAGGGCAACUUCGAAGGGAUCAAGGGAUACACUGUGGGCCAGAUGACCAAGAGUCGUCGUGGCAAGCUCUACAACGACGAUGAAGGCUGUGGCCCCGAGGCCGGCUCAAUUGAGUACGGGUACCGGGUCCCCUUCGGCGGAAUCCAUGUCUUCAUCGGCAAGAUCAGCGAACCGGGCCCUGAGCCGGACACCUGCACCAACAUCAUCGAGAUGGCUCAGCGUGCACGACCCACCCGGUUUCAACCUGCCGUGAAGCACGCCUUUGUUGGAUUUAUCCAUGGGGCGGAAUUUGAGGAAGAUCUGUGUCUAGCGGUGAGAUGGUCAUCUAUUCUGAUGGUGAGUCGUCCAUGGGCAAGACUGAUUCGUUGUAUCAACUGCAAGACGGCCGGCUUAGGGGCUAUUCUGAUGGUGAGAGUAUUCCGGACCCCUACAAGCCAUCGAACAGGGUUGCGAUCUUCAUGGCUGGCACACAUCCGGUGCUUGGUUCAACAACCGCUGCGGCUAUGACCUCCAUUUCAAUGGCUGCGACGGCGGCUGGUGCUAGCGGCUCUGCGCACCCACCGGCUCAAGUUUUCAUAGAAUUGUUAGAAGUUCUGACAACUCUGAUGGGGGUGGAAGUAACCUCAGACAACCAGGAGCAGCACAAGGUGGACGUGGCUAAGCUGCGAGAUGAGAUAGCUCAAACCAAGGAAGAACUGACGGCUGAGAACGCUAGGAUGGUUGCAGAACGGGCAGUCUUGGAUGCUCGGGCGCAGCGGAUCCAACGGGAUUCCUUCCGGCUCAUGUUGGAUCAGAAUGCUUCAAAUGAUGUCAUGAGGAGGAGACACCAGAGUCAUCUACCCCGGGUUUAUGAGCCAAGGAACCUCUUCAAUACACCUGGAGCAGGGACCAGUGACCCGCUGGUGGUAAACCGGACGGUUGAGGCGCCUGGGGCUGGAGCGCCGGUUCAGCCACGCACAAUGGGAUCUCCACAUGUGAAUAAUACCCCGCCUCAGCAUGUCUUAACGCCAUCAGGUCAUUAUUCUAACCCUUUGGACAAUAUGAUUGUUGCGGCAACACGAUUGGCGACUUUACCGGUUGAAGGCGAGUCUCCAACGGCGAUUGAAAUGCGAAGGGCCAGAGAACUUCUUCAGACAACAUUGGAGUAGCAAGCGGCUUAUUCUUAUAGUCGCGAGCGGAUUCACUCAACCCCUCGUCCAAGCCGGAGUUACAGCAGGCACAUUGACUCACCGACAGUUUCAAGCAGUGAACAGCGUCGUAACUAGCCUCAUGGACAUGACCCAACGCGCGGUGAUGCCCAUGCUCAGACUCUAUUGGAUCAGGGCAGAGCGCGUUGUGAGGCCUAGCUGGCGGCUCAGCAAGCGACUCAUCAAUAUUCUCCGGUUUAUCCGACAACUUCGAUGGAGGCAGGCGUGACCUCUAGAACCUUGUGUAUGCCAUGUUUAGUGUCGGCUCUGCAUAAUGAUUGUUUGCCCAAGGAUUUCAAGGGUCCUCGUAAGGUGCCUAACUACACGGCAGAUCAACCCCCUAAAGGUUGGGUUGAAAGUUAUGAGAUGGUAAUGGAGCUGCUGGAUGUUGGCGAUGCUGCAUGUGCUAAGUAUUUUACUAUGAUGUUGGAUGGGACGGCUCAUACUUGGUUGAAAGGGUUGCCUGCCAACUCCAUUGGAUCAGGGGCCGAGUUCAAAACCCGGUUUAUCUAAAGACACAUGCAAGUAGCCUAUGUCAAUUGUGGAUUUGAACUCCUGUGUCCAAGAAGAGGGCGAGUCAACAACCCAUUGGGUGCGCCGGGUCUCAGCCAUCCUGCACUCAUCGGAUCAUAUCAAUGCCGGUUCAGCAGUCCUAAUGUUGGAGAAAAACUACCCUUUUAUGCCUCUUAAGCAGAAGCUGGGGCAGCUCAAACGCCACUGAAGUUACAUGGGGGAGCUAAUGGCGGCUCUGGUCAAGUAUGCUGACUCUGAUAGUCAUUUUAUAUCAUCUUUUGGUACUAACCUGUUGACAUAGUGCCAAGUGCCAGUUGUUGUUUUCUGCAUUGUUUUUUACAUCACAGGAAAUCAAUACCAAAUGGAGUCCAAAUGCAACUAAACUUUUUGGAGAUUUUUUUUGGACCAGAAGACAUCCAGUGCGCCGAAGAAGCACUCUCGGUGCACUUGGGGGUUGCUCCGAGGGGAGCACAACCCACCAGGGCGCGCCUUGAGGCCCAGGCGCACCCUGGUGGGUUGUGCCCACCUCGAGUGCCCCCCGGACCGCCUCUAUAAAUACCCCAAUAUUCCAGAAACCCCAGGAGAGUCGACGGAAAUCAAUUCCAGCCGCUGCAGAGUCCAGAACCACCAGAUCCAAUCUUGACACCAUCACAGAGGGUUCACCACUUCCAUUGGUGCCUCUCAGAUGAUGCGUGAGUAGUUCUUUGUAGACCUUCGGGUCGUAGUUAGUAGCUAGAUGGCUUCCUCUCUCUCUCUCUCUCUCUCUCUCUCUCUCUCUCUCUCUUUUGAUUAUAAAUACAAUGGUCUCUUGGAGAUCCAUAUGAUGUAACUCUUUUUAUGGUGUGUUUGUUGGGAUCGGAUGAACUUUGAGUUUAUGAUCUGAUCUAUCUUUUUAUCCAUGAAAGUUAUUUGAGUCUUCUUUGAUCUCUUAUAUGCAUGAUUGCUUAUAGCCUCAUAUUUUUUCUCCGAUAUUUGGGUUUUGUUUGGCCAACUUGAUCUAUUUAUCUUGCAAUGGGAAGAGAUGCUUUGUAGUGGGUUCGAUCUUACGGUGCUUGAUGCCAGUGACGGAAGGGGAUAAAAUGGUGGGGUCUAUUUCUACAUAAAUAGAUCUUGUCUACAUCAUGUCAUCGUUCUUAUUGCAUUACUCCGUUUCUCCAUGAACUUAAUGCACUAGAUGCAUGCUGGAUAACGGUCGAUGUGUGGAGUAAUAUUAGUAGAUGCAGGCAGGAGUAAGUCUACUAAUCUUGGACGUGAUGCCUAUAUAAUGAUCAUUCCAUGGAUAUCAUCAUGAUUAUUUGAAGUUCUAUCAAUUGCCAAACAGUAAUUUGUUUACCCACUAGUGAAACCUAUGGCCCCUAGGUCUCUUUCUCAUAUUAUUUGCCUUUGUGAUCUAUUUUCCUUUGCUUUUAUUUUUAGAUCUAUUAAACCAAAAAUACAAAAAAUACCUUGCUGCAAUUUAUUAUUAUUUAAUUUAUCUCGCAUUCCCGCGAUCCAAUCUAUCAUAUUUUUAUCACGUCCAUUUGCCAAUUUCUAACGCCGCUACCCGAAAGGGAUUGACAACCCCAUUUACAUGCCGGGUUGCAAGUAUUUGUUAUUUGUGUGCAGGUGCUGUUUAGAUAGUGUUGCUUGGUUCUCCUACUGGUUCGAUAACCUUGAUUUCAUCACUGAGGGAAAUACCUACCGCCUCUAUGUUGCAUCAUCCCUUCCUCUUUGGGGAAAUACCGACGUAGCUUCAAGCCGCAUCAAAGGAAUUUUUGGCGCCGUUGCCGGGGAGGAUCUUCAACAUAUACCAGGUUCCUAAUCACAAAUCUCAUCUCCUCGCAAUUUACAUUAUUUGCCAUUUGCCUCUCGUUUUCCUCUCCCCCACUUCACAAAAAUUUGUCGUUUAUUCGCCUUCUUUUUCGUUCGCCGUUUUCUCGUCAGAUCUAUCCUUUGCUUGCAAUCAUGAGUGAUUUUGGUAUGGCACCAACAGAUGAUGGCCUAACUCCUAAGAUUGGACGAACGGUUAAUCUGGAUGCUAAAACUUUUAUCUUGGGGCAAGGGAAUGUUAUGGGAAAAGAACGUAUCCAAGAAUUUUUCAAUUGUGUCGGGAAUCUAAGUCUAGAUGAUGCUCCUAUAGUUAGGACUACUAGUUCUUACGCGGAUGCUAUUUCAGCACUAGUUCUGAAACUUGAAAGCAAAUUUAUCUGUACUCAUCCUAGUUUGCAAAGAUUAUUUUUUUAGAUUCCUGUUAUAAAGAAUCCCAAAGCUAAAACGUUGCCCACUCUCGUUCUUAUGAAUGAUGUAACAUCCCAAAUUUUCAAUUUGGAAUGUUAUACAUUAGAUCAUCUAUGCAUAUCAUAUUUUAUUUUGCAUUUUGGUUGAUCCUAGAAAUUUUUACGCAACUCAAGGACACACGGAGAGAGUUGGGAAAUUCUUUAUUUUCAUAUUUGAGUUUUCUCAAAUUUUGAGAAUAGGAUCAUUUGAUUUAAAUUAUUUUAUCAUCAAUUAUUUCUAUUACAAAAAUAUGAGAGAGGGAAUAAAAUGACUUUCCCAAAAUAAAGAAAUAUUGAGGAUUUAAUAAAAAAAUCAAAUAAAAUUUUAUUUCGGAGUUUUUGUUAUUUUAUUUGAAUUUAGGAAAAAAAUGUGCAUUUUUCAAAAUUGCAUUUAGGCCCCAAAUAAAUGUUCACCUUGUGCGGCUUGAUUUUAGAAGCGCAGGAAAAUUUAUUUCGGGAUUUUUGGAGUCCGUUUAGUGUUUCUCUUUAUUUUUUUUCUGCGCGUAAAAAAAAGAACCGACCUAGGGGCCGUGUCCGACCCGGACUCCCGGCCCGCUAGGCUUUAUAAGCCGGGGGGGAGGCCCAGCUGAGCCAAACCCUAGCCCCAGCCCCGCCCGAGCCGCCGCCACCGCCCCGUCGCCGCCGCCCGCCGCCCCAUCGCCGGAGCCGGACGCCGCCGCCGCCGACCCGCCGCCCGAGGUUCGCCUCGCCUCGAAAUCCGCGACGCCGUUUUAUUUGUUUCUUUUUGAAAAAGCGUUCGGUUUUUCGUCGGUUUUUUUAGUUUCGGUAUUUUUAUAGAUCGGUUUUCCGAUUUAUUUAAAUAGGGAGCGUUCGUCCGUUCGUUCGUUCUAGGGAACUUUCGUCGUUUUUCUUUUUCUGGGAUUAAAUCCAAGUUUUUUCUGAUCGCGAUUCGUGAUCCGAUAUUCGUUUUAGUAUAACUUUUCGCUCGUUUAUCGGAAUCAGGCGAUUCAAGCGCUUGGAGUUUCGUCUCGAAACCCUCUAUCCGUUUAACCAACUUAAACAAGUUUUUGCUACUGUAAAAUUUGACUUAGAUCCAGAUUAGUAAAACGAAGUUGUUUUCUUUCGCCGUUUGAUUUUCGUUGCUUUGUUCGAUUUGAUUCUUUUUGCCAACCGGAGUUCUUAAGUUGAACCUUCUGGUUAGAUCUCUUAUUUGAGUUUUAGCUGUGCAUUAGAUGAGUACUUAUUGUAUGCUUGUUUGUUUGUCUGUGAUAGAAUACCCGGAGUGCGCCGCUUGUUACUUCGAAUCUCUAGGUUUCGUGGAUCAUCAGCAAGGCAAGUAACACUUUGAUCAUACCUUUUCUACUACCCAGUUUUAUUGCAUUAGAUCAAUCCUCACACAUUGCAUGAUUAGGAUCUAAUUAAAUUGUGGGAUGGGAAGUAGUUGAGGUAGUACCUAUUACCUGUUUUAUUAUCAAACCUUUGGGAGUUACUUCUACGUUUGCCAUUAUGCUAUGCUAUGCUAGUAGACGUGGAUUGGGUGAGUGAUAUUCAUGACAGAUGUGAGUUUGUUUAUUAAUGGUUUAUCUAAGGUGGCAACUUAAACACACAUCUGGGUGGAUUGAGGUACCUGGGUAUUCCAGGAUUGCCUGUUUCUUUUGGACCGCCACCCAGGCUCAAAGGGAUCAUGGGAUUAUUCAUACUAGAAACUUCCAUGUGCAGCCACAAGCCAUUAUGGGCUCUGGCAUAGUUGAAUAAGUCGUGCGAACUCUUACAGGGUAGACUAGCAGAUGUAGGGGAAAGUAGGUGUAACGGUCUAUCCAUCGUAAGGUGCUAGCGCUUCUGAAAGACUGUGUCUCGAUCGUCCGUCUUCUCAAACACCAUGAAGUGCGAGAAACCAAAUAGAGGCGAUCGAGUCUUGUGGGGAAAAGUGCGCAAACCUCUGCAGAGUGUAAUAAACUAAUCAUGAUUAGCCGUGUCCCCGGUUAUGGACAUCUUGAGUAUCUAGUACCUGGAUUAUCAUGUGAAUCUCAACAUGUUACUCUAAAUUAAUUUGGUGGGUUUUGUUAAUGAUAUUUUUAAUUGGGAUUGAGGAUGCUGUCAACCAUUCUCAAUGUUUAACAACUACCAUGAUAGUUACAUAAAUUUAUUCCUUUGUAGUAGGGAAAAAUUGGCUUUACGCAAGACUGUAACCAUAGAGCUUUCCACCAGCCAAAUAUGCAUAUAGUAUAGUUGUUUCACUCCAUUACUCUCUAUGUGUUACCUUGCCAGCAUAUUCCAUGUGCUGACCCGUUUCGGGCUGCAACGUUAAUGUUGCAGACUUUUCACGAUGAUUAAGGAGUUUUUAGGUCGUGGUUCUAUACUCAGUGAUGCCGUUGGAGUUGAUGGACUCACUUAUCUUUCAAGCCUUCCGUUGUUAUCGUUAUUAGAUGGCCUUAGGCCAUAUUUAUUGUAAUAAGUUCUCUUUUGAGACACUCGAUGUAAUAAGUGUGUGAUUGCAACUCUGUUAUAAAUCCCCCGAGUACUGUGUGGUGUCAGCAUUACUGAUCCAGGGAUGACACCGGAGCACAGAGAUCAGACUGUUUGAGGUCUGGUUGCUACAGAGAUGGUAUCAGAGCACACACUGACUGUAGGACACGACCACUAAGCUAAAAGACCUAGAUCACUAUCCACUCUCUUCUCAUCUGACCUCUCAUCUUUUCUACUCUUUUAGGAUGGCGGAUGCAAGGAACAAGUUCACGCAACCGGAUGAAGAUACACCCUUUGGACGUCACUUGAAGGAAGUCACUAGAUACCUGAACAUAGGAGUACCAAGCUUCACCGGAACCUACAACGCCACUUUACCUGAAGAAGAGCGUUGGAUGAUUCAAGUUCAAGUUCCAGGAAGGACGUUCAUGCCAGUCACUGAGCCCAUAGAGUUUUCUUUCGAUGCACCAACUUGGAGUCUAGGAAAGAGCAUGGCAGCUCACAUCGCCAUGGGACGCAUUGGAGAAGUCUACCGCAAUGAUCUCAAGGAUACUAUCUACCAGAUUUGUGGGCGCCGAGAUGAGCACUGGGAGAUGAUUAGCACCAGAAGGGAUAGAUCCAUUGCAGCUUUUAUCCAGGAAUUAAACCAGCACAUUCGACGAUAGGAGAAUCAGAUGUGCGCCGACAUGAUAGAUCUAAAGAAGGCAAGGACAAGAAUCAAGGAACUGGAGGAAGAACUCAAGGCUACACGUGAAGAUUAUGAAGAGGAAAUUGAGUAUUGGUGGAUAAGAAUGCCGACCUAACUAUGAAGCUAGCGAUAUUUAUGGGAGACCCUACACCAGUAGAUGAAGACGAAGAACCCAAGGAGAUUAGCCCGGAAGACUACAUCAUCAUCGACGACACAGACCCGGACCCAGACGAAAGCGAUGAUGACUAUGUUGAUGAAGCUGGAGCAGAUAUCAUGGAGUCUGCAACCGAAGAAUAUUUCUAGUAGACCACCUCAUCAGUAGUAGUAGUCCACCAUGUAAAUAUAGUAGUCCGAGCACUUUUGCGAUAGUUAGAUCGAUUGCAUGCCCUUGUUUGAUUGAAUGAAGUGAAUUGUUUGCUUUUGCCUCAUGUGCAUAUGGGUAGUGUUUUCUCUUUAGACCCCCUCUAUUCUUACAUCUCAUCUUUUCUAAACCCUCAGAUACCUCCGAGACGUGACCCCGAAUUUACCUUUCCACCUGAGCUCACCCAGUUGAUCCAGCAGCAGAACACAUUGAUGCAGUUGCUAGUCCAGAAUCAGAACCAGGGGAACAACAACAACAACCCACCACCACCACCACCUGUUGAUCACUUAGCCCGAUUUCUUAGGCUGAAUCCGCCGGUGUUUUCCAGUAGCACCGAGCCGAUAGUAGUAGAUGAUUGGCUCCACAAGACAGCUAGAGAGUUGACCACAGCAGGAUGUACGGAUGCGGAGAAGGUGAAGUUUGCCGCGCAUCAGCUUGAAGGACCCGUAGCAUCAUGGUGGGAGAAUUUCACAGCCACUUUCCAUGUCGACACUGUCACAUGGGACCAGUUUCAGCAGGCCUUUCGUACUGCCCAUGUUUCAACAGGAGCUAUGGCCAUGAAGAAGCGUGAGUUUCGCAACUUGCGCCAGGGAGGACGGAUAGUUGGCCAGUAUGUGGAGGACUUUAGUAAGUUAGCAUGUUAUGCCCCAGAUGACGUUGCUACGGAUGCAGCUAAGCAGGAGAAGUUUCUGGAAGGACUGAAUGAUGAGUUGAGCAUGCAGUUGAUGGUAGAAACCUUCAACAACUACCAGGAGUUGGUAGACCGUGCUCUUAUGAUUGAAGGCAAGCAACAGCAAAUUGAGAACCGCAAGAGGAAGUAUGGACAAGGGAAGUACAAUUCAGGAGCUCAGCAGAAGCCACAUUUUACCCCUAGACCGGGAGGACAUUUUCAGCAUACCCAUGGAGGAGGUAGCUCGCACAAUCACAAUGGCACCAAGAAUGGUAAUGGCAAUGGAGGAAGCAACGACCAGAAUCGCACCAACCCAUCAACCCCAGCCAAGAAGGACCUGAGCCAAGUCACUUGCUUUAAGUGUCAGAAGACCAGACAUUAUGCCAAUGAAUGUCCUGAAGGCCAAAAUGGCAAUGGAAGUUCUGGGAAGAAGCCGAACCCUUUCAACAGGGGACAGGUGAACCACGUUAACAUGGAGGAGGUUGAAGAGCAGCCAGAUGCCGUAAUCGGUAAGUUUUUGGUUAAGUCAUUUACUGCACUCGUUCUUUUUGAUAUUGGUUCAUCGCAUUCAUACAUAUCAAGGGGAUUUGUGGAUAAGUAUAACCUGCCCACUAAGGUUCUUAGAACACCUAUGCUAGUAAGCUCAGCAGGAGCGGAGUAUAUGGCCAGUCAAGGAUGUUUUCAAGUGCCAUUGAGUAUAGGUAGGCAUGUGUUUCCCUCGGAUUUGAUCAUUUUGGAAUCACAAGGAUUGGAUGUAAUUCUAGGUAUGGAUUGGCUGUCGAUGUACGGAGGAAACAUUGAUUGCUCCAGUAAGACAAUUUUGCUUACCACCCCAGAAGGGAGAAGGAUCAAGUAUGUAUCCCGGCAUGUGCCCAAGAGGACUCUAGUAAAUUGUUUAACAGGAGUAGUGCAGGAGGAAGUACCAGUGGUAAGGGAUUUCCCUGAAAUAUUUCCAGAAGAGUUGCCAGGCAUGCCACUGGAUAGAGAUAUUGAGUUUUUGAUUGAACUAUUUCCAGGCACCGGGCCAAUAUCGAAGAGACCAUAUAUGAUGCCAGCAAAGGAUUUGGUGGAAAUUAAGAAGCAGAUUAAGGAGUUAUUGAAUAAAGGAUAUAUUCACCCAAGUUCUUCGCCUUGGGGAUCGCUAGUACUUCUAGUAGAGAAGAAGGAUGGAUCGUUAAGGAUGGUUGUUGAUUAUCGAGGAUUGAAUGAAGUAAUGAUCAAGAACAAGUACCCACUACCAAUGAUCAAUGAUCUGUUUGAUCGAUUGCAAGGAGCUAAGGUAUUUUCCAAUAUCGAUCUACGAUCAGACCACUAGUUGAAGAUUCAAGAACAGGAUAUUCCUAAGACAGCUUUUACCAGUAGGUAUGGGUUGUACGAGUAUACCGUUAUGUCAUUUGGUCUGACUAACGCACCUGCCUAUUUUAUGAACAUGAUGAACAAAGUGUUUAUGAAGUUCUUGGAUAAGUUCGUCGUGGUGUUCAUUGAUGAUAUCCUGGUUUACUCGAAGAAUGAAGAAGAGCAUAAGGAACAUUUGCGAUUGGUACUUGAAAAGCUCAGAGAACAUUAGUUGUAUGCCAAGUUCAGGAAAUGUGAGUUUUGGCUGAAGGAAGUAGGAUUUCUUGGACACGUUAUAUCCGGAGAAGGAAUAUCAGUUGAUCCCACAAAAGUUGAUACCGUGACCAAGUGGGAAGCACCAACCACGGUUGGAGAGAUCCGGAGUUUUCUUGGACUCACAGGAUACUACCGGAGAUUCAUUGAGAAUUUCUCAAAGAUUGCGAAGCCUAUGACGGAGUUAUUAAAGAAGGAUACCAAGUUCAAAUGGACUGAGGAAUGUGAGGGUAGUUUCCAGGAGUUGAAGAAACACUUGGUUACUUCACUAGUGUUGAUUUUGCCAGAUCAGACCAAGGACUAUGAGGUGUAUUGUGACGCUUCACGUCAAGGACUUGGAGCAGUGCUUAUGCAGGAAGGGAGAGUUGUUUCAUAUGCCUCAAGACAACUGAAGCCUCAUGAGUUGAAUUAUUCUACGCAUGAUUUGGAGUUAGCAGCUGUAGUGCAUGCAUUGAAAACAUGGAGACAUUUCCUCAUUGGAAACCAUUGUGAGGUGUACAUGGAUCAUAAGAGUUUGAAAUACAUUUUCACACAGAAGGAGUUAAACCUCAGACAAAGGAGAUGGUUGGAGCUCAUCAAGGAUUAUGAUAUGAGAUUGCAUUACCAUCCCGGAAAGGCUAAUGUAGUAGCUGAUGCAUUAAGCCGUAAGAGCCAUGUCAAUACAUUAAUGACGAGAGAAAUACCAAGGGAGUUAGCCGAAAAUCUUCAUGAACUAUGUUUGGAAAUAGCUCCGAGAGGCUAUGUAGCAGCAUGGGAGAUUCAGUCAACUUUGAUGGAUAGAAUCAGAGAAGCUCAGAAGACUGACAAGGAGAUUGCCUCUAUUAAGGAGAAACUGAGCAAAGGAAAGGCUAAAGGAUUUCGUGAGGAUGAGCACGACACCCUAUGGUUUGAAGACCAUGUUUACGUGCCCAAUGACCCAGAGAUCAGGAAGUUGAUACUACAAGAGGCACAUGAUUCACCAUAUUCGAUUCAUCCAGGAAAUACCAAGAUGUAUUUGGAUUUGAAAGAUAUUUUCUGGUGGACCGGAAUGAAGAAGGAUAUUGUGGAGUAUGUAGCAGUUUAUGAUGUAUGUCAGAGAGUAAAGGCAGAGCAUCAGAAGCCAGCAGGAUUGCUACAACCAUUGCCGAUACCCGAAUGGGAGUGGGAUAAGUUAGGCAUGGAUUUUAUCACGGGAUUACCCAGGACUCGUUCAGGCUAUGACUCGAUUUGGGUUGUAGUUGAUCGGUUGAUGAAAGUAGCUCAUUUCAUCCCGGUAAAGACCACUUACACCAGUGCUAAGUUGGUAAAGAUAUACAUGACAAGGAUCGUAUGUUUGCAUGGAGUUCCGAGGAGUAUCGUAUCAGAUAGAGGAACCCAGUUUACCUCAAAGUUCUGGAAGGAGUUGCAUGAAACUUUGGGUACCAGGCUAGAAUUCGGUACAGCUUUUCAUCCACAGACAGAUGGACAGACCGAGAGAGUCAAUCAGAUUUUGGAGGAUAUGCUGAGAGCUUGUGCGCUAGAUUACGGAUCUAGUUGGGACGAUAAUUUGCCAUAUGCGGAAUUCUCUUACAACAACAGUUACCAAACCAGUUUAAAGAUGGCCCCUUUCGAAGCCUUGUACGGAAGGAGGUGCAGGACACCAUUGUCAUGGGAUGAAGUUGGAGACCACCAGUUGUUUGGACCUGACUUGAUUAAGGAGUCUGAACAGAAGGUGAAAUUGAUUCGCGAUAGGCUCAAGAUAGACUAGUCCAGGCAGAAGAGUUAUGCAGAUUCUAAAUGCAAGGAGACAGUUUAUGAAGUCGGAGAUGGAGCUUAUCUUCGAGUGUCUCCACUUCGGGGAACAAAGCGUUUUGGAGUUAAAGGAAAGUUAGCGCCACGAUUUGUAGGACCAUAUCGAGUUUUGGAGCGUAUGGGAGAAGUGGCCUACAAGUUGGAAUUGCCCGAAGGAUUGUCAGGAGUUCAUGAUGUGUUCCACGUUUCUCAGUUGAAGAAGUGUCAUGUGGAGAUGGCUGACAUACCCUUGAGAGACAUAGUGCCAUUGGAAGCAAUUCAGUUGGAUAAUGAUUUGACCUAUGAGGAGAAACCAAUUAAGAUUCUCGAGUUUGCCAGCCGAGUCACUCGCAGCAAGGUUAUCAAGUUUUGCAAAGUUCAGUGGAGCAACCACACGGAGGACGAAGCCACCUGGGAACGAGAGGAAGAUUUGCUCAAUGACCACCCUCACCUAUUUUCUAGCCAACCCGAAUCUCGAGGGCGAGAUUCAUCUUAAGGGGGGUAGGUUUGUAACAUCCCAAAUUUUCAAUUUGGAAUGUUAUACAUUAGAUCAUCUAUGCAUAUCAUAUUUUAUUUUGCAUUUUGGUUGAUCCUAGAAAUUUCUACGCAACUCAAGGACCCACAGAGAGAGUUCGGAAAUUCUUUAUUUUCAUAUUUGAGUUUCUCAAAUUUUGAGAAUAGGAUCAUUUGAUUUAAAUUAUUUUAUCAUCAAUUAUUUCUAUUACAAAAAUAUGAGAGAGGGAAUAAAAUGACUUUCCCAAAAUAAAGAAAUAUUUAGGAUUUAAUAAAAAAAUCAAAUAAGAUUUUAUUUUAGAGUUUUUCGUUAUUUUAUUUGAAUUUAGGAAAAAAAUGUGCGUUUUUCAAAAUUGCAUUUAGGCCCCAAAUAAAUGUUCACCUUGUGCGGCUUGAUUUUAGAAGCCCGGGAAAAUUUAUUUCGGGAUUUUUGGAGUCCGUUUAGUAUUUCUUUUUAUUUUUCUUUUGCACGUAAAAAAUAACGAACCGACCUAGGGGCCAUGUCCGACCCGGACUCCNNNNNNNNNNNNNNNNNNNNNNNNNNNNNNNNNNNNNNNNNNNNNNNNNNNNNNNNNNNNNNNNNNNNNNNNNNNNNNNNNNNNNNNNNNNNNNNNNNNNNNNNNNNNNNNNNNNNNNNNNNNNNNNNNNNNNNNNNNNNNNNNNNNNNNNNNNNNNNNNNNNNNNNNNNNNNNNNNNNNNNNNNNNNNNNNNNNNNNNNNNNNNNNNNNNNNNNNNNNNNNNNNNNNNNNNNNNNNNNNNNNNNNNNNNNNNNNNNNNNNNNNNNNNNNNNNNNNNNNNNNNNNNNNNNNNNNNNNNNNNNNNNNNNNNNNNNNNNNNNNNNNNNNNNNNNNNNNNNNNNNNNNNNNNNNNNNNNNNNNNNNNNNNNNNNNNNNNNNNNNNNNNNNNNNNNNNNNNNNNNNNNNNNNNNNNNNNNNNNNNNNNNNNNNNNNNNNNNNNNNNNNNNNNNNNNNNNNNNNNNNNNNNNNNNNNNNNNNNNNNNNNNNNNNNNNNNNNNNNNNNNNNNNNNNNNNNNNNNNNNNNNNNNNNNNNNNNNNNNNNNGACCCGCCGCCCGAGGUUCGCCUUGCCUCGAAAUCCGCGACGCUAUUUUUUUUUGAAAAACCGUUCGGUUUUUCCGUCGGUUUUUUGUUGGUUUUUUUAGUUUCGGUUUUUUUAUAGAUCGGUUUUCUGAUUUAUUUAAAUAGCGAGCGUUCGUCCGUUCAUUCGUUCUAGCGAACGUUCAUCGUUUUUCUUUUACUCGGAUUAAAUCCACGAUUUUUCUGAUCGCGAUUCCUGAUCCGAUUUUCGUUUUAGUAUAACUUUUCGCUUGUUUAUCGGAAUCAGGCGAUUCAAGCGCCUGGAGUUUCGUCUCAAAACCCUCUAUCCGUUUAACCAACUUAAACAAGUUUUUGCUACUGUAAAAUUUGACUUAGAUCCAGAUUAGUAGAACGAAGUUGUUUUCUUUCGCUGUUUGAUUUUCGUUGCUUUGUUCGAUUAGAUUCUUUUUGCCAACCGGAGUUCUUAAGUCGAACCUUCUGGUUAGAUCUCUUAUUUGAGUUUUACCCGUGCAUUAGAUGAGUACUUAUUGUAUUCUUGUUUGUUUGUCUGUGAUAGAAUACCCGGAGUGCGCCGCUUGUUACUUCGAAUCUCUAGGUUUCGCGGAUCAUCAACAAGGCAAGUAAGACUUUGAUCAUACCUUUUCUACUACCCAGUUUUAUUGCAUUAGAUCAAUCCUCACACAUUGCAUGAUUAGGAUCUAAUUAAAUUGUGGGAUGGGAAGUAGUUGAGGUAGUACCUAUUACCUGUUUUAUUAUCAAACCUUUGGGAGUUACUUCUACGUUUGCCAUUAUGCUAUGCUAUGCUAGUAGACAUGGAUUGGGUGAGUGAUAUUCAUGACAGAUGUGAGUUUGUUUAUUAAUGGUUUAUCUAAGGUGGCAACUUAAACACACAUUCGGGUGGAUUAAGGUACCUGGGUAUUCCAGGAUUGCCUGUUUCUUUUGGACCGCCACCCAGGCUCAAAGGGAUCAUGGGAUUAUUCAUACUAGAAACUUCCGUGUGCAGCCACAAGCCAUUAUGGGCUCUGGCGUAGUUGAAUAAGUCGUGCGAACUCUUACAUGGUAGACUAGCAGAUGUAGGGGAAAGUAGGUGUAACGGUCUAUCCAUCGUAAGGUGCUAGCGCUUCUGAAAGACUGUGUCUCGGUCAUCCGUCUUUUCAAACACCAUGAAGUGCGAGAAACCAAACGGAGGCGAUCGAGUCUUGUGGGGAAAAGUGCGCAAACCUCUGCAGAGUGUAAUAAACUAAUCAUGAUUAGUCGUGUCCCCGGUUAUGGACAUCUUGAGUAUCUAGUACCUGGAUUAUCAUGUGAAUCUCAACAUGUUACUCUAAAUUAAUUUUGUUGGGUUUUGUUAAUGAUAUUUUUAAUUGGGAUUGAGGAUGUUGUCAACCAUUCUCAAUGUUUAACAACUACCAUGAUAGUUAAAUAAAUUUAUUCCUUUGUAGUAGGGAAAAAUCGGCUUUACGCAAAACUGUAACCAUAGAGCUUUCCACCAGCCAAAUAUGCAUAUAGUAUAGUUGUUUCAUUCCAUUACUCUCUAUGUGUUACCUUGCUAGCAUAUUCCAUGUGCUGACCCGUUUCGGGCUGCAACGUUAAUGUUGCAGACUUUUCAAACGACGAUUAAGGAGUUUUUAGGUUGUGGUUCUAUACUCAGUGAUGCCGUUGGAGUUGAUGGACUCACUUAUCUUCCAAGCCUUCCGUUGUUAUCGUUAUUAGAUGGCCUUAGGCCAUAUUUAUUGUAAUAAGUUCUCUUUUAGACACUCGAUGUAAUAAGUGUGUGAUUGCAACUCUGUUAUAAAUCCUCCGAGUACUGUGUGGUGUCAGCAUUACUGAUCCAAGGAUGACACCGGAGCACAGAGAUCAGACUGUUUGAGGUCUGGUCGCUACAAAUGAAUUUGACUACAUAAUACGGGAAGCUAGGGAAAUCUUUGAUUUUUAUGGUAUGAAUCAUGAUAAGCCCGUGAUAGAUGAAAUUCUUUACAAUAGUGAUUAUGCGUUAAGACAUUUGCUUGGGGAUAAUAAAAUCUUUGAUGAAAAUCUUAUAAAGGAAGUCCCCAUUCUAGAUGUAAUCCAACAAGUUUUCAAUAAUGUUAAUCAACAUUAUUCUUGGAUUGUUGCCUGAAAUCAAAGGGGUUAUGAUGGGAAACUUAAUAAUGCUAAAGUUUCUAUGGAUAAUAUGUUUUAUGUUGUCUUUACAAAACCUCAUGACAAGAAUACCUCUAAGGAAAUUGAUACGUCUCCAAUGUAUCUAUAAUUUUUAAUUGUUCCAUUUUGUUAUAUUAUCAAUCUUGGAUGCUUUAUAAUCAUUUUAUAUCAUUUUUUGGUACUAACCUAUUGACAUAGUGCCAAGUGCCAGUUGUUGUUUUCUGCAUGUUUUUUACAUCGCAGGAAAUCAAUACCUGUAGGGGAACGUAGUAAUAAUUCAAAAUUUUCCUACAUGUCACCAAGAACAAUCCAGGAGAUACUAGCAAUGAGAGAGAGGGAGUGCAUCUUCAUACCCUUGAAGAUCGCUAAGCAGAAGCAUAACAAGAACGCGGUUGAUGGAGUCAUACUCGCGGCGAUUCAAAUCGCGAAAGAUCUGAUCCAAGCGCCGAACGGACGGAGCCUCCGCGUUCAACACACGUACAACCUGGGGACAUCUACUCCUUCUUGAUCCAGCAAGGGGAUAGGAGAAGUUGAGGGAGAGCUCCGGCACCACGAUGGCAUGGUGGAGCUUGCGGUUCUCCGGCAGGGCUUCGCCAAGCACUACAAAGGAGGAGGAGGUGUUGGAGGGUGGAGGUCUGCGCCAGGGGAAGGGGUGCGGCUACCCUCCCACCCCCACCUAUUUAUAGGGUGAAGGGGAGAGGGGGCCGGCCCCCCUACAUGCAUCUAGAGGGGGGGGGGCGGCCAGGAGGGGAGACUUGCCCCCCAAGCAAGUGGGAGGCGCCCCCUCCCCCUAGUGUUUCCAACCCUAGGCGCCUUGGGCCCUUGGGGGGCACACCAUCCAACUAGGGGCUGGUUCCCACCCAUAUUCAUCCCACUAAGUCCUUCGGGGCAGCUGGCCCCACCCCGGUGGACCCCCGGACACCUUUCGGUGGUCCCGGUACAAUACCGAUAACCCCCAAAAACAUUCCGGCGACUGAAACUGGACUUACCAUAUAUAAAUCUUCACCUCCGGACCAUUCCGGAACUCCUCGUGACGUCCGGGAUCUCAUCCAGGACUUCGAACAACCUUCGGUAACCACAUACAAUUUCCCAUAACAACUCUAGCGUCACUGAACAUCUGAGUUUCUCAUCAAUACAAUUCUAGCAUGGUUAAUAAACGAUUAUCAUGAACAAGGAAAUAUGAUAAUAACUACUUUGUUAUUGCCUCUAGGGCAUAUUUCCAACAGACGCGACUGGGUCUAGCUGGGUCGCCGAGGUGCGGGCCCGGGUCAGUUCUCUCGGUCGCACACUAGGUGCAGUCCCGGCCAUCCAUGAUAUGCCCGUGAAGAACACACGCACUGAUAUGGUCACCUAUUAUAGGUAGGUCAAGGACCCAUCAUUUAGGGCCCACAUAGGGCCCAUCACCAUCAUAGGUAGGUCCCUGGACCAUGCCAGCAUCCGGAUGCGUCCAUCAGGAGGAUCACAUAGACGACCCUACAGCACUCGGACAACCACACGUCACUCGGCGAACGAAUAACCACUCAGACGUACAGGGCAAGAAGGCGUCGUGGGAGCCGCAACGGUCGAGGGAUCCUAAGUCGUCCACUAAAUAGAGUUAUAUCUACCAUUACCUAUAACUGCUGUAGUAUAGGCUCAUUACACCAAUCACUACCUCACUCAAUGGCAUUAAUUGCCCCGGCGACGCGGGAGACAUGGGGUUGCUGCCUUUUAUUGAUCAAAUGCUAGAGAGAUUAUCUAAGCACACACACUUUUGUUUUUCUUGAUGGAUACUUAACUGUCUCACAACCUGAUCAAGAAAAGACCACUUUUACUUGUCCUUUUGGAAAUUAUGCUUAUAGACGUUUGCCUUUUGGUUUAUGAAAUGCACUGCUACCUUUCAAAGAUGUAUGACUGCUAUAUUCUCUAACUUCUGUGAAAAGAUUGUUGAGGUUUUCAUGGAUGACUUCUAUGUUUAUGGGAAGUCUUUUGAUGAUUGUUUCAGUAAUCUUGAUCGAGUUUUGCAGAGAUGUGAGUAAAUUAAUCUUGUCUUGAAUUGGGAGAAGUGCCACUUUAUGGUUAACGUAGGUAUUGUCUUGGGCCAUAAAAUUUCUGAAAGAGGUAUUGAGGUGGACAAAUAUAAGAUUGAUGCAAUUGAGAAAAUGCCAUGUCCUAAAUAUAUUAAAGGUAUUCGUAGUUUCCAUGGUCAUGCUGGUUUCUAUAGGAGAUUUAUCAAAGACUUCUCUAGAAUUUCUAGGCCUCUUAUCUUUUACAAAAGGAUAUUCCAUUUGUAUUUGACGAUGAUUGUGUAGAAGCCUUUGAAACACUCAAGAAAGCCUUAAUUUCUGCACCUUAAUUUUGUAUUGUGAUUAUCCACCUUAAUAUUUCAAUACUGAUUUCAGUACUGAAAUACAACACCAAGAUGACUCGACUCUGUUCUAUAUCACUCAUUUCCGUACUAAAAUUCAGUAUUGCGAUUAUCCACCUUAAUACAUCAAUACUGAUUUCAGUACUGAAAAAUAAAACAAAAAUCACCUGACUCAUUUCUAUGUAACUAAUUUUGGUAUAAAAUUUAGUAUUGCGGAUAUCUGUGUUAGUCUUUCAGUAUUAUUUGAGUACUCAAAUAUAGCACGACUAACACCGGACUCACUUCUAUAUCACUAAUUUUGAUACUAAAACUCGGUAUUGCGAUUAUCCACCUUAAUAUUUCAAUACUGAUUUCAGUACAAAAAACAGCACCAGGAUGACCUGCCUCAGUUAUAUAUCACUAAUUUUGUUACUAAAAUUCAGUAUUGCGAUUAUCCACUUAAUAUUUCAAUACUGAUUUCAAUACUUAAAAACAAACCGAUGGUCACAAGACUUAGAGGUGUACAUCACAAAUUUGUUACUAAUAUCCGGUACUACGGUUAUCCAUGUUAAUAUUGUUGUAUUGAUUUCAGUACUGAAAAAUAGUUCGACGAACGCAUGACUCAAUUCUAUAUCACUAAUUUCAGUACUAAAAUAUAGCAUUGAGAUUAACCACCUUAAUAGUUCAAUAGUGAAAAACAGCACCACGAUGGCCCGACUGAGUUGUAUAUUACUAAUUUCGGUACUAAAAUUCAGUAUUGUAAUUAUCCACCUUAAUAUUUAAAUAUUGAUUUCAGUACUGAAAUACAACACCAAGAUGACCCGACUCUCUUCUAUACCACUCAUUCGGUACUAAAAUUCAGUAUUGCGAUUUUCCACUUUAAUACUUCAAUACUGGUUUGAGUACUGAAAAACAUAACGACGAUCACCCGACUCACUUCUAUACCACAAAUUUUGGUAUAAAUUUUACUAUUGUGAUUAUCCAUGUUAAUAUUUCAGUAUUAAUUUGAGUACUCAAAAAUAGCAUGACUAACACCUCACUCGGUUCUAUAUCACUAAUUUCAGUACUAAAACUUAGUAUUGUGAUUAUCCACGUUAAUAUUUAAUAUAGAAAAACCGCACCACGAUGACCCGACUUGGUUGUAUAUCACUAAUUUCGGUACUAAAAUUCAGUGUUUUGAUUAUCCAUGUUAAUAUUUCAGUAUUGAUUUCAAUACAAAACUAGAGCACCAAGAUGACCUGAUUAUAUUCUAUAUCACUCAUUUCGAUACUGAAAUUCAGUAUUGCGAUUAUCCACCUUAAUAUUUCAAUACUGAUUUCAGUAUUGAAAUACAAAACGAGAUCACCCGACUCACUUGUAUAUCACUAAUUUUGGUACUAAAAUUCAGUAUUGUGAUUCUUCAAAUUAAUUUUUCAAUACUUAUUUCAAUACUAAAAGCAACACUAGGAUGACCUGACUCAGUUUUAUAUCACUAAUUUUGGUAUAAAAUUCAGUAUUGCGAAUAUCUAUGUGAAUACUUCAGUAUUGAUUUGAGUACUCAAAAAUAGCACGACUAACAUGUGCCUCAGUUCUAUAUCACUAAUUUUGGUAUUAAAACUCAGUAUUAUGAUUAUACAUGUUAACAUUUCCGUACUGAUUUCAAUAAUGUAAUACAGCACCAUGAUGACCCGACUCGGUCGUGUAUCACUAAUUUCAGUAUUGAAAUUCAGUAUUGUGAUUAUCCACAUUAAUAUAUCAUUAUUGAUUUCAGUACUGAAAUACAAAAUGGUGAUCACCACACUCAGUUGUAUAUCACUAAUUUUGGUAUUAAAAUUCAGUAUUGCGAUUAUCCACUUAAUAUUUCAAUAAUGAUUUCAAGACUUAAAAACAAAACGAUGUUCACGAGACUUAGCUGUAUAUCACAAAUUUGUUACUAAUAUCCGGUACUGCGAUUAUCCAUGUUAAUACUGCAGUAUUGAUUUCAGUACUGAAAAGCAGCUGGAUGAACGCAUGACUCAAUUCUAUAUCACUAAUUUCGGUACUAAAAUAUAGCAUUGAGAUUAACCACGUUAAUAUUUCAAUACUGAAAAACAGCACCACGAUGACCCGACUGAGUUAUAGUACUGAAAAAUAAAUCGAAAAUCACCCGACUCAUUUCUAUGUAACUAAUUUUGGUAUAAAAUUUAGUAUUGCGGAUAUCCGUGUUAGUAUUUCAGUAUUAGUUUGAGUACUCAAAUAUAGCACGACUAACACCUAACUCAGUUCUAUAUCAUUAUUUUUGAUACUAAAACUCAGUAUUGCGAUUAUCCACCUUAAUGUUUCAAUACUCAUUCAGUCCAAAAAAUAAGCACCAGGAUGACCUGACUCAGUUAUAUAUCACUAAUUUUGUUACUAAAAUUCAGUAUUGUGAUUAUCCACUUAAUAUUUCAAUACUGAUUUCAAGACUUCAAAACAAACUGAUGAUCACAAGACUUAGAGAUGUAUAUCACAAAUUUGUUACUAAUAUCCGGUACUACAAUUAUCCAUAUUAAUAUUGUUGUAUUAAUUUCAGUACUGAAAAACAGCUUGACGAAUGCAUGACUCAAUUCUAUAUCAGUAAUUUCAGUACUAAAAUAUAGCAUUGAGUUUAACCACCUUAAUAGUUCAAUACUGAAAAACAGCACCACGAUGGCCCGACUGAGUUGUAUAUUACUAAUUUCGGUACUAAAAUUAUGUUUUGUAAUUAUCCACCAUAAUAUUUAAAUAUUGAUUUCAGUACUGAAAUACAGCACCAAGAUGACCCGACUCUGUUCUAUACCACUCAUUUCGGUACUAAAAUUCAGUAUUGCGAUUAUCCACUUUAAUACUUCAAUACUGGUUUUAGUACUGAAAAACAUAACGACGAUCACCCGACUCACUUCUAUACCACAAAUUUCGGUAUAAAUGUUACUAUUGUGAUUAUCCAUGUAAAUAUUUCAGUAUUAAUUUGAGUACUCAAAAAUGGCAUGAGUAACACCUGACUCGGUUCUAUAUCACUAAUUUUAGUACUAAAACUUAGUAUUGUGAUUAUCCAUGUUAAUAUUUAAUAUUGAAAAACCGCACCACGAUGACCCGACUCGGUUGUAUAUCACUAAUUUAGGUACUAAAAUUCAGUGUUCUGAUUAUCCACGUUAAUAUUUCAGUACUAAUUUCAAUACUGAACUAGAGCACCAAGAUGACCCGACUAUAUUCUAUAUCACUCAUUUCGGUACUGAAAUUCAGUAUUGCGAUUAUCCACCUUAAUAUUUCAAUACUUAUUUCAGUAUUGAAAUACAAAACUUGAUCACCCGACUCACUUGUAUAUCACUAAUUUUGGUACUAAAUUUCAGUAUUGUGAUUCUUCACAUUAAUUUUUCAAUACUUAUUUCAAUUCUAAAAGCAACACUAGGAUGACCUGACUCAGUUUUAUAUCACUAAUUUCGGUAUAAAAUUCAGUAUUGCGAUUAUCUAUGUGAAUAUUUCAGUAUUGAUUUGAGUACUCAAAAAUAGCACGACUAGAACAUGCCUCAGUUCUAUAUCACUAAUUUUGGUAUUAAAACUCAGUAUUAUGAUUAUACAUGUUAACAUUUCCGUACUGAUUUCAAUACUAAAAUACAGCACCACGAUGACCCAACUCGAUUGUGUAUCACUAAUUUCAGUACUGAAAUUCAGUAUUGUGAUUAUCCACAUUAAUAUAUCAAUAUUGACUUCAGUACUGAAAUACAAAAUGGCGAUCACCACACUCAGUUCUAUAUCACUAAUUUUGGUAUUAAAAUUCAGUAUUACAAUUAUUCACUUAAUAUUUCAAUACUGAUUUCAAGACUUAAAAACAAAAUGUUGUUCACGAGACUUAUCUAUAUAUCACAAAUUUGUUAUUAAUAUUCGGUACUGCAAUUAUCCAUGUUAAUACUGCAGUAUUGAUUUCAGUACUGAAAAACAACUUGAUGAACGCAUGACUCAAUUCUAUAUCACUAAUUUCGGUACUAAAAUAUAGCAUUGAAAUUAACCACAUUAAUAUUUCAAUACUGAAAAAUAGCACCACGAUGACCCGACUUAGUUGUAGUACUGAAAAAUAAAACGAAAAUCACCCGACUCAUUUCUAUGUAACUAAUUUUGGUAUAAAAUUUAGUAUUGCGGAUAUCCGUGUUAGUAUUUCAGUAUUAGUUUGAGUACUGAAAUAUAGCACGACUAACACCUGACUCAGUUCUAUAUCACUAAUUUUGAUACUAAAACUCAGUAUUGCGAUUAUCCACCAUAAUAUUUCAAUACUGAUUUCAGUACAAAAAAAUAGCACCAGGAUGACCUGACUCGGUUAUAUAUCACUAAUUUUGUUACUAAAAUUCAGUAUUGCGAUUAUCCACUUAAUAUUUCAAUACUGAUUUCAAGACUUAAAAACAAACCGAUGAUCACAAGACUUAAAGGUGUAUAUCACAAAUUUGUUACUAAUAUCCGGUACUACGAUUAUCCAUGUUAAUAUUGCUGUAUUGAUUUCGGUAUUAAAAAACAGCUCGAUGAACGCAUGACUCAAUUCUAUAUCACUAAUUUCAGUACUAAAAUAUACAAUUGAGAUUAACCACGUUAAUAGUUCAAUACUGAAAAACAGCACCAUGAUGGCCCGACUGAGUUGUAUAUUACUAAUUUCGGUACUAAAAUUCAGUAUUGUAAUUAUCCACCUUAAUAUUUAAAUAUUGAUUUCAGUACUGAAAUACAGCACCAAGAUGACCUGACUGUGUUCUAUAGCACUCAUUUCGGUACUAAACUUCAGUAUUGCGAUUAUCCACUUUAAUACUUCAAUACUGGUUUCAGUAGUGAAAAACAUAACGAUGAUCACUCGACUCACUUUUAUACCAUAUAUUUCGGUAUAAAUUUUACUAUUGUGAUUAUCCAUGUAAGUAUUUCAGUAUUAAUUUGAGUACUAAAAAAUAGCAUGACUAACACCUGACUUGGUUCUAUAUCACUAAUUUCAGUACUAAAACUUAGUAUUGUGAUUAUCCACGUUAAUAUUUAAUAUUGAAAAACUGCACCAAGUUGACCCGACUGUUCUAUACCACUCAUUUCGGUACUAAAAUUCAGUAUUGCGAUUAUCCACUUUAAUACUUCAAUACUGGUUUCAGUACUGAAAAACAUAACGACGAUCACCCGACUCACUUCUAUACCACAAAUUUUGGUAUAAAUUUUACUAUUGUGAUUAUCCAUGUAAUUAUUUCAGUAUUAAUUUGAGUACUCAAAAAUAGCAUGACUAACACCUGACUUGGUUCUAUAUCACUAAUUUCAGUACUAAAACUUAGUAUUGUGAUUGUCCACAUUAAUAUUUAAUAUUGAAAAACCGCACCACGAUGAACCGACUCGUUUGUAUAUCCCUAAUUUUGGUACUAAAAUUCAGUGUUCUGAUUAUCCACGUUAAUAUUUCAGUACUGAUUUCAAUACUGAACUAAAGCACCUAGAUGACCCGACUACAUUCUAUAUCACUCAUUUCGGUACUGAAAUUCAGUAUUGUGAUUAUCCACCUUUAUAUUUCAGUACUGAUUUCCAUAAUGAAGUACAAAACGAGAUCACCCGACUCACUUGUAUAUCACUAAUUUUGGUACUAAAAUUCAGUAUUGUGAUUCUUCAUGUUAAUUUUGCAAUACUUAUUUCAAUACUAAAAGCAACACUAGGAUGACCUGACUCAGUUUUAUAUUACUAAUUUUGGUAUAAAAUUCAGUAUUGCGAUUAUCUAUGUGAAUAUUUCAGUAUUUAUUGGAGUACUCAAAAAUAGCAUGACUAACACGCGCCUUAGUUCCAUAUCACUAAUUUUAGUAUUAAAAGUCAGUAUUAUGAUUAUACAUGUUGACAUUUCCGUACUGAUUUCAAUACUGAAAUACAGCACCAUGAUGACCCGACUCGGUCGUGUAUCACUAAUUUCAGUACCAAAAUUCAGUAUUGUGAUUAUCCACAUUAAUAUAUCAAUAUUGAUUUCAGUACUGAAAUAGAAAAUGGCGAUCACCACACUCAGUUGUAUAUCACUAAUUUUGGUAUUAAAAUUCAGUAUUGCGAUUAUCCAUUUAAUAUUUCAAUACUGAUUUCAAGACUUAAAAACAAAACGAUGUUCACGAGACUUAGCUGUAUAUCACAAAUUUGUUACUAAUAUUUGGUACUGCGAUUAUCCAUGUUAAUACUGCAGUAUUGAUUUCAGUACAGAAAAACAACUGGUUGAACGCAUGACUCAAUUCUAUAUCACUAAUUUCGGUACUAAAAUAUAGCAUUAAGAUUAACCACGUUAAUAUUUCAAUACUGAAAAACAGCACCGCGAUGACCCGACUGAGUUGUAGUACUAAAAAAUAAAACGAAAAUCACCCGACUCACUUCUAUGUAACUAAUUUUGGUAUAAAAUUUAGUGUUGCGGAUAUCCGUGUUAGUAUUUCAGUAUUAGUUUGGGUACUCAAAUAUAGCAAGACUAACACCUGACUCAGUUCUAUAUCACUAAUUUUGAUACUAAAACUCAGUAUUGCGAUAAUCCACCUUAAUAUUUCAAUACUUAUUUCAGUACAAAAAAAUAGCAACAAGAUGACCUGACUCAGUUAUAUAUCACUAAUUUUGUUACUAAAAUUCACUAUUGCGAUUAUCCACUUAAUAUUUCAAUACUGAUUUCAAGACUUAAAAACAAACCGAUGAUCACAAGACUUAAAGGUGUAUAUCACAAAUUUGUUACUAAUAUCCGGUACUAUGAUUAUCCAUGUUAAUAUUGUUGUAUUGAUUUCAGUACUAAAUUUCAGCUCGAUGAACGCAUGACUCAAUUCUAUAUCACUAAUUUCAGUACUAAAAUAUAGCAUUGAGAUUAACCACCUUAAUAGUUCAAUAGUGAAAAACAGCACCACGAUGGCUCGAGUGAGUUGUAUAUUACUAAUUUUGGAACUAAAAUUCAGUAUUGUAAUUAUCCACCUUAAUGUUUAAAUAUUGAUUUCAGUACUGAUUUCAAUACUGAACUAGAGCACCAAGAUGACCCGACUAUAUUCUAUAUCAUUCAUUUCGGUACUAAAAUCCAGUAUUGCGAUUAUCCACCUUAAUAUUUCAAUACUGAUUUCAGUACUUAAAUACAAAACAAGAUCACCCGACUCACUUGUAUAUCGCUAAUUUUAGUACUAAAAUUCGGUAUUGUGAUUCUUCACAUUAAUUUUUCAGUACUUAUUUCAAUACUAAAAGCAACACUAGGAUGACCUGACUCAGUUUUAUAUCACUAAUUUCAGUAUAAAAUUCAGUAUUGCGAUUAUUUAUGUGAAUAUUUCAGUAUUGAUUUGAGCACACAAAAAUAGCACGACUAACACGUGCCUCAGUUCUAUAUCACUAAUUUUGGUAUUAAAACUCGGUAUUAUGAUUAUACAUGUUAACAUUUCCGUACUAAUUUCAAUACUGAAAUACAGCACCACAAUGACCCGACUCGGUCGUGUAUCACUAAUUUCAGUACUCAAAUUCAGUAUUGUGAUUAUUCACAUUAAUAUAUCAAUAUUGAUUUCAGUACUGAAAUACAAAAUGGCGAUCACCUCACUCAGUUGUAUAUCACAAAUUUUGGUAUUAAAAUUCAGUAUUGCGAUUAUCCACUUAAUAUUUCAAUACUGAUUUCAAGACUUAAAAACAAAACGAUGUUCACGGGACUUAGCUGUAUAUCACAAAUUUGUUACUAAUAUUCGGUACUGCGAUUAUCCAAGUUAAUACUGCAGUAUUGAUUUCAGUACUGAAAAACAGCUGGAUGAACGCAUGACUCAAUUCUAUAUCACUAAUUUCGGUACUAAAAUAUAGCAUUGAGAUUAACCACGUUAAUCUUUCAAUACUAAAAAACAGCACCACGAUGACCCGACUGAGUUGUAGUACUGAAAAAUAAAACAAAAAUCACCCGACUCAUUUCUAUGUAACUAAUUUUGGUAUAAAAUUUAGUAUUGCGGAUAUCCGUGUUAGUAUUUCAGUAUUAGUUUGAGUACUCAAAUAUAGCACGACUAACACCUGACUCAGUUCUAUAUCACUAAUUCUGAUAUUAAAACUCAGUAUUGCGAUUAUCCACCUUAAUAUUUCAAUACUGAUUUCAGUACAAUAAAAAUAGCACCAAGAUGACCUGACUCAGUUAUAUAUCACUAAUUUUGUUACUAAAAUUCAGUAUUGUGAUUAUCCACUUAAUAUUUCAAUACUGAUUUCAAGACUUAAAAACAAACUGAUGAUCACAAGACUUAGAGGUGUAUAUCACAAAUUUGUUACUAAUAUCCGGUACUACGAUUAUCCAUGUUAAUAUUGUUGUAUUGAUUUAGUACUGAAUAACAGCUCGACGAACGCAUGACUCAAUUCCAUAUCACUAAUUUCAUUACUAAAAUAUAGCUUUGAGAUUAACCACCUUAAUAGUUCAAUACUGAAAAACAGCACCACGAUGGCCCGACUAAGUUGUAUAUUACUAAUUUCGGUACUAAAAUUCAGGAAUUUAAUUAUCCACCUUAAUAUUUAAAUAUUGAUUUCAGUACUGAAAUAUAGCACCAAGUUGACCCGACUGUUCUAUACCACUCAUUUCGGUACUAAAAUUCAGUAUUGCGAUUAUCCACUUUAAUACUUCAAUACUGGUUUCAGUACUCAAAAACAUAACGACGAUCACCCGACGCACUUCUAUACAACAAAUUUCGGUAUAAAUUUUACUAUUGUGAUUAUCCAUGUAAAUAUUUCUAUAUUAAUUUGAGUACUAAAAAUUAGCAUGACUAACACCUGACUCGGUUCUAUAUCACUAAUUUCAGUACUAAAACUUAGUAUUGUGAUUAUCCAUGUUAAUAUUUAAUAUUGAAAAACCGCACCACGAUGACCUGACUCGGUUGUAUAUCACUAAUUUCGGUACUAAAAUUCAUUGUUUUGACUAUCCACGUUAAUAUUUCAGUACUGAUUUCAAUAUUGAAUUAGAGCACCAAGAUGACCCGACUAUAUUCUAUAUCACUCAGUUCGGUACUGAAAUUCAGUAUUGCAAUUAUCCACCUUAAUAUUUCAAUACUGAUUUCAGUACUGAAAUACAAAACGAGAUCACUCGACUCACUUGUAUAUCACUAAUUUUGGUACUAAAAUUCAGUAUUGUGAUUCUUCACAUUAAUUUUUCAAUACUUAUUUCAAUACUAAAAGCAACACUAGGAUGACCUGACUCAGUUUUAUAUCACUAAUUUUGGUAUAAAAUUCAGUAUUGUGAUUAUCUAUGUGAAUAUUUUAGUAUUGAUUUGAGUACUCAAAAAUAGCACGACUAACACGCGCCUCAGUUCUAUAUCACUAAUUUUGGUAUUAAAAGUUAGUAUUACGAUUAUACAUGUUAACAUUUCCGUAUUCAAUACUAAAAUACAGCACCAAGAUGACCCGACUGUGUUCUAUACCACUCAUUUCGGUACUAAAAUUCAGUAUUGCGAUUAUCCACUUUAAUACUUCAAUACUGGUUUCAGUACUGAAAAACAUAACGACGAUCACUCGACUCACUUCUAUACCAUAUAUUUCGGUAUAAAUUUUACUGUUGUGAUUAUCCAUGUAAUUAUUCAGUAUUAAUUUGAGUACUAAAAAAUAGCAUGACUAACACCUAACUUGGUUCUAUAUCACUAAUUUCAGUACUAAAACUUAGUAUUGUGAUUGUCCAUGUUAAUAUUUAAUAUUGAAAAACCACACCACGAUGACCCGACUAGGUUGUAUAUCACUAAUUUCGGUACUAAAAUUCAGUGUUCUGAUUAUCCACAUUAAUAUUUCAGUACUGAUUUCAAUACUGAACUAGAGCGCCAAGAUGACCCGACUAUGUUCUAUAUCACUCAUUUCGGUACUGAAAUUCAGUAUUGCGAUUAUCCACCUUAAUAUUUCAAUACCGAUUUCAGUACUGAAAUAUAAAACAAGAUCACCUGACUCAUUUCUAUGUAACUAAUUUUGGUAUAAAAUUUAGUAUUGCGGAUAUCCGUCUUAGCAUUUCAGUAUUAGAUUGAGUACUCAAAUAUAGCAUGACUAACACCUGACUCAGUUCUAUAUCACUAAUUUUGAUUCUAAAACUCAGUAUUGCGAUUAUCCACCUUAAUAUUUCAAUACUGAUUUCAGUAAAAAAAACAGCACCAGGAUGACCUGACUCAGUUAUAUAUCACUAAUUUUGUUACUAAAAUUCAGUAUUGUGAUUAUCCACUUUAAUAUUUCAAUACUGAUUUCAGUACAAAAACACUGCACCCGGAUGACCUGACUGAGUUGUACAUCACUAAUUUUGUUACUAAAAUUCAGUAUUGCGAUUAUCAACUUAAUAUUUCAAUACUGAUUUAAAGACUUAAAAACAAACCGAUGAUCACAAGACUUAGGUGUAUAUCACAAAUUUGUUACUAAUAUCCAGUACUGCGAUUAUCCAUGUUAAUAUUGUUGUACUGAUUUCGGUAUUGAAAAACAGCUCGACGAAUGCACGACUCAAUUCUAUGUCACUAAUUACAGUACUAAAAUAUAGCUUUGAGAUUAACCACGUUAAUAGUUCAAUACUGAAAAACAGCACCACGAUGGCCCGAUUGAGUUGUAUAUUACUAAUUUCGGUAAUAAAAUUCAAUAUUGUAAUUAUCCACCUUUAUAUUUAAAUAUUGAUUUCCGUACUGAAAUACAUCACCAAGAUGAUCCGACUCUGUUCUAUACCACUCAUUUCGGUACUAAAAUUCAGUAGUGCGAUUAUCCACUUUAAUACUUUAAUACUGGUUUCAGUACUGAAAAACAUAACGACGAUCACCCGAAUCACUUCUAUACCACAAAUUUCGGUAUAAAUUUUACUAUUGUGAUUAUCCAUGUAAGUAUUUCAGUAUUAAUUUGAGUACUCAAAAAUAGCAUGACUAACACCUGACUUGGUACUAUAUCACUAAUUUCAGUACUAAAACUUAGUAUUGUGAUUGUCGAUGUUAAUAUUUAAUAUUGAAAAACCACACCACGAUGACCCGACUCGGUUGUAUAUCGCUAAUUUCGGUACAAAAAUUCAGUGUUCUGAUUAUCCACGUUAAUAUUUCAGUACUGAUUUCAAUACUGAACUAAAGCACCUAGAUGACUCGACUACAUUCUAUAUCACUCAUUUUGGUACUAAAAUUCAGUAUUGUGAUUAUCCACCUUUAUAUUUCAAUACUGAUUUCAGUAAUGAAAUACAAAACGAGAUCACCCGACUUCACUUGUAUAUCACUAAUUUUGGUACUAAAAUUCAGUAUUGUGAUUCUUCACGUUAAUUUUUCAAUACUUAUUUCAAUACUAAAAGCAACACUAGGAUGACCUGACUCAGUUUUAUAUUACUAAUUUUGGUAUAAAAUUCAGUAUUGCGAUUAUCUAUGUGAAUAUUUCAGUAUUCAUUAGAGUACUCAAAAAUAGCACGACCAACACGCGCCUCAGUUCCAUGUCACUAAUUUUGGUAUUAAAAGUCAGUAUUAUGAUUAUACAUGUUAACAUUUCCGUACUGAUUUCAAUACUGAAAUACAGCACCACGAUGACCUGACUCGGUCGUGUAUCACUAAUUUCAGUACCGAAAUUCAGUAUUGUGAUUAUCCACAUUAAUAUAUCAAUAUUGAUUUCAGUACUGAAAUACAAAAUGGCGAUCACCACACUCAGUUGUAUAUCACUAAUUUUGGUAUUAAAAUUCAGUAUUGCGAUUAUCCAUAUAAUAUUUCAAUACUAAUUUCAAUACUUAAAAACAAAACAAUGUUCACGAGACUUAGCUGUAUAUCACAAAUUUGUUACUAAUAUUUGGUACUGCAGUAUUGAUUUCAGUACUGAAAAACAGUUGGAUGAACACAUGACUCAAUUCUAUAUCACUAAUUUCGGUACUAAAAUAUAGCAUUGAUAUUAACCACGUUAAUAUUUCAAUACUGAAAAACAGCACCAUGAUGACCCGACUGAGUUGUAGUACUGAAAAAUAAAACGAAAAUCACCCGACUCAUUUCUAUGUAACUAAUUUUGGUAUAAAAUUUAGUAUUAUGGAUAUCCGUGUUAGUAUUUUAGCAUUAGUUUGAGUACUCAAAUAUAGCAAGACUAACACGUGACUCAGUUUUAUAUCAAUAAUUUCGAUACUAAAACUCAGUAUUGUGAUUAUCCACUUUAAUAUUUCAAUACUGAUUUCAGUACAAAAAAACAGCACCCGGAUGACCUGACUGAGUUGUACAUCACUAAUUUUGUUACUAAAAUUCAGUAUUGCGAUUAUCAACUUAAUAUUUCAAUACUGAUUUAAAGACAUAAAAACAAACCGAUGAUCACAAGACUUAAGUGUAUAUCACAAAUUUCUUACUAAUAUUCGGUACUACGAUUAUCCAUGUUAAUAUUGUUGUAUUGAUUUAUGUACUGAAAAAUAGCUCGACGAAUGCAUGACUCAAUUCUAUAUCACUAAUUUCAGUACUAAAAUAUAGCAUUGAGAUUAACCACGUUAAUAGUUCAAUACUGAAUAACAGCAGCACGAUGGCCUAACUGAGUUGUAUAUUACUAAUUUUGGUUCUAAAAUUCAGUAUUGUAAUUAUCCACCUUAAUAUUUAAAUAUUGAUUUCAGUACUGAAAUACAGCUCCAAGAUGACCCGACUCUGUUCUAUACCACCCAUUUCGGUUCUAAAAUUCAGUAUUGCGAUUAUCCACUUUAAUACUUCAAUACUGGUUUCAGUACAGAAAAACAUAACGACGAUCACCCGACUCACUUCUACACCACAAUUUUCGGUAUAAAUUUUACUAUUGUGAUUAUCCAUGUAAGUAUUUCAAUAUUAAUUUGAGUACUCAAAAAUAGCAUGACUAACACCUGACUCGGUUCUAUAUCACUAAUUUCAGUACUAAAACUUAGUAUUGUGAUUAUCCAUGUUAAUAUUUAAUAUUGAAAAACCGCACCACGAUGACCCGACUCGGUUGUAUAUCACUAAUUUCGGUACUAAAAUUUAGUGUUCUGAUUAUCCACGUUAAUAUUUCAGUACUGAUUUCAAUACUGAACUAGAGCACCAAGAUGACCCGACUAUGUUCUAUAUCACUCAUUUCGGUACUGAAAUUCAGUAUUGCGAUUAUCCACCUUAAUAUUUCAAUACUGAUUUCAGUACUGAAAUAUAAAACAAGAUCACCCGACUCACUUGUAUAUCACUAAUUUUGGUAUUAAAAUUCAGUAUUGUGAUUCUUCACAUUAAUUUUGCAAUACUUAUUUCAAUACUAAAGCAACACUAGGAUGACCUGACUCAGUUUUAUAUCACUAAUUUCAGUAUAAAAUUCAGUAUUGCAAUUAUCUAUGUGAAUAUUUCAGUAUUCAUUUGAGUACUCAAAAAUAGCACGACUAACACGCGCCUCAGUUCUAUAUCACUAAUUUUGGUAUUAAAAGUCAGUAUUAUGAUUAUACAUGUUAACAUUCCCGUACUGAUUUCAAUACUGAAAUACAGCACCAUGAUGACCCGACUCGGUCGUGUAUCACUAAUUUCAGUACCGAAAUUCAGUAUUGUGAUUAUCCAGAUUAAUAUAUCAAUAUUGAUUUCAGUACUGAAAUAAAAAAUGACGGUCACCACACUCAGUUGUAUAUCACUAAUUUUGGUAUUAAAAUUCAGGAUUGUGAUUAUCCACUUAUUAUUUCAAUACCGAUUUCAAGACUUAAAAAACAAAACGAUGUCCACGAGACUUAGCUGUAUAUCACAAAUUUGUUACUAAUAUUUGGUACUGCGAUUAUCCAUGUUAAUACUGCAGUAUUGAUUUCAGUACUGAAAAACAGCUGGAUGAACGCAUGACUCAAUUCUAUAUCACUAAUUUCGGUACUAAAAUAUAGCAUUGAGAUUAACCACGUUAAUAUUUCAAUACUGAAAAACAGCAGCAUGAUGACCCGACUGAGUUGUAGUACUGAAAAAUAAAACGAAAUUCCCCUGACCCAUUUCUAUGUAACUAAUUUUGGUAUAAAAUUUAGUAUUGCCGAUAUUCGUGUUAGUAUUUCAGUAUUAGUUUGAGUACUCAAAUAUAGCAUGACUAACACCCGACUCAGUUUUAUAUCAAUAAGUUCGAUACUGAAACUCAGUUUUGUGAUUAUCCACUUUAAUAUAUCAAUACUGAUUUUAGUACAAAAAAAAGCACCCGGAUGACCUGACUCAGUUGUACAUCACUAAUUUUGUAACUAAAAUUCAGUAUUGCGAUUAUCAACUUAAUAUUUCAAUUCUGAUUUCAAGACUUAAAAACAAACCGAUGAUCACAAGACUUAAGUGUAUAUCACAAAUUUCUUACUAAUAUUCGGUACUACGAUUAUCCAUGUUAAUAUUGUUGUAUUGAUUUUGGUAGUGAAAAUCAGCUCGAUGAACGCAUGACUCAAUUUUAUAUCACUAAUUUCAGUACUAAAAUAUAGCAUUGAGAUUAACCACGUUAAUAGUUCAAUACUGAAAAACAGCACCACGAUGGCCCGACUGAGUUGUAUAUUAUUAAUUUUGGUUCUAAAAUUCAGUAUUGUAAUUAUCCACCUUAAUAUUUAAAUAUUGAUUUCAGUACUGAAAUACAGCACCAAGAUGACCCGACUGUGUUCUAUACCACUCAUUUCGGUACUAAAAUUUAGUAUUGCGAUUAUCCACUUUAAUACUUCAAUACUGGUUUCAGUACUGAAAAACAUAACGACGAUCACUCGACUCACUUCUAUACCAUAUAUUUCGGUAUAAAUUUUACUGUUGUGAUUAUCCAUGUAAGUAUUUCAGUAUUAAUUUGAGUACUAAAAAAUAGCAUGACUAACACCCGACUUGGUUCUAUAUCACUAAUUUCAGUACUAAAACUUAGUAUUGUGAUUGUCCACGUUAAUAUUUAAUAUUGAAAAACCGCACCACGAUGACCCGACUCGGUUGUAUAUCACUAAUUUCGGUACUAAAAUUCACUGUUCUGAUUAUCCACGUUAAUAUUUCAGUACUGAUUUCAAUACUGAACUAGAGCACCAAGAUGACCCGACUAUGUUCUAUAUCACUCAUUUCGGUACUGAAAUUCAGUAUUGCGAUUAUCCACCUUAAUAUUUCAAUACCGAUUUCGGUACUGAAAUAUAAAACGAGAUCACCUGACUCAUUUCUAUGUAACUAAUUUGGUAUAAAAUUUAGUAUUGCGGAUAUCCGUGUUAGUAUUUCAGUAUUAGUUUGAGUACUCAAAUAUAGCACGACUAACACCUGACUCAGUUCUAUAUCACUAAUUUUGAUUCUAAAUCUCAGUAUUGCGAUUAUCCACCUUAAUAUUUCAAUACUGACUUCAGUACAAAAAAACAGCACCAGGAUGACCUGACUCAGUUAUAUAUCACUAAUUUUGUUACUAAAAUUCAGUAUUGCAAUUAUCCACUUAAUAUUUCAAUACUGAUUUCAAGACUUAAAAACAAACCGAUGAUCACAAGACUUAGAGGUGUAUAUCACAAAUUUGUUACUAAUAUCCGGUACUGCGAUUAUCCAUGUUAAUAUUGUUGUAUUGAUUUCGGUAUUGAAAAACAGCUCGACGAAUGCACUACUCAAUUCUAUAUCACUAAUUACAGUACUAAAAUAUAGCUUUGAGAUUAACCAUGUUAAUAGUUCAAUACUGAAAAACAGCACCACGAUGGCCCGAUUGAGUUGUAUAUUACUAAUUUCGGUAAUAAAAUUCAAUAUUGUAAUUAUCCACCUUAAUAUUUAAAUAUUGAUUUCUGUACUGAAAUACAUCACCAAGAUGACCCGACUCUGUUCUAUACCACUCAUUUCGGUACUAAAAUUCAGUAGUGCGAUUAUCCACUUUAAUACUUCAAUACUGGUUUCAGUACUGAAAAACAUAACGACGAUCACCCGAAUCACUUCUAUACCACAAAUUUCGGUAUAAAUUUUACUAUUGUGAUUAUCCAUGUAAGUAUUUCAGUAUUAAUUUGAGUACUCAAAAAUAGCAUGACUAACACCUGACUUGGUUCUAUAUCACUAAUUUCAGUACUAAAACUUAGUAUUGUGAUUGUCCACGUUAAUAUUUAAUAUUGAAAAACCACACCACGAUGACCCGACUCGGUUGUAUAUCACUAAUUUCGGUACUAAAAUUCAAUGUUCUGAUUAUCCACGUUAAUAUUUCAGUACUGAUUUCAAUACUGAACUAAAGCACCUAGAUGACCCGACUACAUUCUAUAUCACUCAUUUCGGUACUAAAAUUCAGUAUUGUGAUUAUCCACCUUUAUAUUUCAAUACUGAUUUCAGUAAUGAAAUACAAAACGAGAUCACCCGACUCACUUGUAUAUCACUAAUUUUGGUACCAAAAUUCAGUAUUGUGAUUCUUCCCGUUAAUUUUUCAAUACUAAUUUCAAUACUAAACGCAACACUAGGAUGACCCGAGUCAGUUUUCUAUUAUUGAUUUUGGUAUAAAAUUCAGUAUUGCGAUUAUCUAUGUGAAUAUUUCAGUAUUCAUUAGAGUACUCAAAACUAGCAUGACUAACACGCGCCUCAGUUCCAUAUCACUAAUUUUGGUAUUAAAAGUCAGUAUUAUGAUUAUACAUGUUAACAUUUCCGUACUAAUUUCAAUACUGAAAUACAGCACCACGAUGACCCGACUCGGUCGUGUAUCACUAAUUUCAGUACCGAAAUUCAGUAUUGUGAUUAUCCACAAUAAUAUAUCAAUAUUGAUUUCAGUACUGAAAUACAAAAUGGCCAUCACCACACUCAGUUGUAUAUCACUAAUUUUGGUAUUAAAAUUCAGUAUUGCGAUUGUCCAUUUAAUAUUUCAAUACUGAUUUCAAGACUUAAAAACAAAACGAUUUUCACGAGACUUAGCUGUAUAUCACAAAUUUGUUACUAAUAUUUGGUACUGCGAUUAUCCAUGUUAAUACUGCAGUAUUGAUUUCAGUACUGAAAAACAGCUGGAUGAACGCAUGACUCAAUUCUAUAUCACUAAUUUCGGUACUAAAAUAUAGCAUUAAUAUUAACCACGUUAAUAUUUCAAUACUGAAAAACAGCACCACGAUGACCCGACUGAGUUGUAGUACUGAAAAAUAAAACAAAAAUCACCCGACUCAUUUCUAUGUAACUAAUUUUGGUAUAAAAUUUAGUAUUAAGGAUAUCCGUGUUAGUAUUUUAGUAUUAGUUUGAGUACUCAAAUAUAGCAAGACUAACACGUGACUCAGUUUUAUAUCAAUAAUUUCGAUACUAAAACUCAGUAUUGUGAUUAUCCACUUUAAUAUUUCAAUACUGAUUUCAGUACAAAAACACUGCACCCGGAUGACCUGACUGAGUUGUACAUCACUAAUUUUGUUACUAAAAUUCAGUAUUGCGAUUAUCAACUUAAUAUUUCAAUACUGAUUUAAAGACAUAAAAACAAACCGAUGAUCACAAGACUUAGGUGUAUAUCACAAAUUUGUUACUAAUAUUCGGUACUACGAUUAUCCAUGUUAAUAUUGCUGUAUUGAUUUAGGUACUGAAAAAUAGCUCGACAAAUGCAUGACUCAAUUCUAUAUCACUAAUUUCAGUACUAAAAUAUAGCAUUGAGAUUAACCCCAUUAAUAGUUCAAUACUGAAUAACAGCACCACGAUGGCCUGACUGAGUUGUAUAUUACUAAUUUUGGUUCUAAAAUUCAGUAUUGUAAUUAUCCACCUUAAUAUUUAAAUAUUGAUUUCAGUACUGAAAUACAGCUCCAAGAUGACCCGACUCUGUUCUAUACCACUCAUUUCGGUUCUAAAAUUCAGUAUUGCGAUUAUCCACUUUAAUACUUCAAUAUUGGUUUCAGUACAGAAAAACAUAACGACGAUCACCCGACUCACUUCUACACCACAAAUUUCGGUAUAAAUUUUACUAUUGUGAUUAUCCAUGUAAGUAUUUCAAUAUUAAUUUGAGUACUCAAAAAUAGCAUGACUAACACCUGACUCGGUUCUAUAUCACUAAUUUCAGUACUAAAACUUAGUAUUGUGAUUGUCCACGUUAAUAUUUAAUAUUGAAAAACCGCACCACGAUGACCCGACUAGGUUGUAUAUCACUAAUUUCGGUACUAAAAUUCAAUGUUCUGAUUAUCCACGUUAAUAUUUCAGUACUGAUUUCAAUACUGAACUAGAGCACCAAGAUGACCCGACUAUGUUCUAUAUCACUCAUUUCGGUACUGAAAUUCAGUAUUGCGAUUAUCCACCUUAAUAUUUCGAUACCGAUUUUAGUACUGAAAUAAUAAACAAGAUCACCCGACUCAGUUCUGUGUAACUAAUUUUGGUAUAAAAUUUAGUAUUGCGGAUAUCCGUGUUAGUAUUUCAGUAUUAGUUUGAGUACUCAAAUAUAGCACGACUAACACCUGACUCAGUUCUAUAUCACUAAUUUUGAUACUAAAACUCAGUAUUGCGAUUAUCCACCUUAAUAUUUCAAUACUGAUUUCAGUACAAAAAAAAUAGCACCAGGAUGACCUGACUCAGUUAUAUAUCACUAAUUUUGUAACUAAAAUUCAGUAUUGUGAUUAUCCACUUGAUAUUUCAAUACUGAUUUCAAGACUUAGAAACAAACCGAUGAUCACAAGACUUAGAGGUGUAUAUCACAAAUUUGUUACUAAUAUCUGGUACUGCGAUUAUCCAUGUUAAUAUUGUUGUGUUGAUUUCGGUAUUGAAAAACAGCUCGAGGAAUGCACGACUCAAUUCUAUAUCACUAAUUACAGUACUAAAAUAUAGCAUUGAGAUUAACCACGUUAAUAGUUCAAUACUGAAAAACAGCACCACGAUGGCCCGAUUGAGUUGUAUAUUACUAAUUUCGGUACUAAAAUUCAGUAUUGUAAUUAUCCACCUUAAUAUUCAAAUAUUGAUUUUAGUACUGAAAUACAUCACCAAGAUGACCCGACUCUGUUCUAUACCACUCAUUUCGGUACUAAAAUUCAGUAGUGCGAUUAUCCACUUUAAUACUUCAAUACUGGUUUCAGUACUGAAAAACAUAACGACAAUCACCCGAAUCACCUCUAUACCACAAAUUUCGGUAUAAAUUUUACUAUUGUGAUUAUCCAUGUAAGUAUUUCAGUAUUAAUUUGAGUACUCAAAAAUAGCAUGACUAACACCUGACUCGGUUCUAUAUCACUAAUUUCAGUACUAAAACUUAGUAUUGUGAUUGUCCAUGUUAAUAUUUAAUAUUGAAAAACCGCACCACGAUGACCCGACUCGGUUGUAUAUCACUAAUUUCGGUACUAAAAUUCAGUGUUCUGAUUAUCCACAUUAAUAUUUCAGUACUGAUUUCAAUACUGAACUAGAGCACCAAGAUGACCCGACUAUAUUCUAUAUCACUCAUUUCAGUACUGAAAUUCAGUAUUGCGAUUAUCCACCUUAAUAUUUCAAUACUGAUUUCAGUACUGAAAUAUAAAACGAAAUCACCCGACUCACUUGUAUAUCACUAAUUUUGGUAUUAAAAUUCAGUAUUGUGAUUCUUCACAUUAAUUUUUCAAUACUUAUUUCAAUACUAAAGCAACACUAGGAUGACCUGACUCAGUUUUAUAUCACUAAUUUUGGUAUAAAAUUCAGUAUUGCAAUUAUCUAUGUGAAUAUUUCAGUAUUCAUUUGAGUACUCAAAAAUAGCACGACUAACACGCGCCUUAGUUCUAUAUCACUAAUUUUGGUAUUAAAAGUCAGUAUUAUGAUUAUACAUGUUAACAUUUCCAUACUGAUUUCAAUACUGAAAUACAACACCACGAUGACCCGACUCGGUCGUGUAUCACUAAUUUCAGUACCGAAAUUCAGUAUUGUGAUUAUCCACAUUAAUAUAUCAAUAUUGAUUUCAGUACUGAAAUAAAAAAUGGCAGUCACCUCACUCAGUUGUAUAUCACUAAUUUUUGUAUUAAAAUUCAGUAUUGCGGUUAUCCACUUAUUAUUUCAAUACCGAUUUCAAGACUUAAAAAACAAAACGAUGUUCAUGAGACUUAGCUGUAUAUCACAAAUUUGUUACUAAUAUUUGGUACUGCGAUUAUCCAUGUUAAUACUGCAGUAUUGAUUUCAGUACUGAAAAACAGCUGGAUGAACGCAUGACUCAAUUCUAUAUCACUAAUUUCGGUACUAAAAUAUAGCAUUGAGAUUAACCACGUUAAUAUUUCAAUACUGAAAAACAGCAGCACGAUGACCCGACUGAGUUGUAGUACUGAAAAAUAAAACGAAAUUCCCCUGACCCAUUUCUAUGUAACUAAUUUUGGUAUAAAAUUUAGUAUUGUGGAUAUCCGUGUUAGUAUUUCAGUAUUAGUUUGAGUACUCAAAAAUAGCAUGACUAACACCCGACUCAGUUUUAUAUCAAUAAGUUCGAUACUAAAACUCAGUUUUGUGAUUAUCCACUUUAAUAUAUCAAUACUGAUUUUAGUACAAAAAAACAGCACCCGGAUGGCCUGACUCAGUUGUACAUCACUAAUUUUGUUACUAAAAUUCAGUAUUGCGAUUAUCAACUUAAUAUUUCAAUACUGAUUUCAAGACUUAAAAACAAACCGAUGGUCACAAGACUUAGAGGUGUAUAUCAUAAAUUUGUUACUAAUAUCUGGUACUGCGAUUAUCCAUGUUAAUAUUGUUGUAUUGAUUUCGGUAUUGAAAAACAGCUCGAAGAAUGCAUGACUCAAUUUUAUAUCACUAAUUUCAGUACUAAAAUAUAGCAUUGAGAUUAACCACGUUAAUAGUUCAAUACUGAAAAACAGCACCACGAUGGCCCGACUGAGUUGUAUAUUACUAAUUUCGGUUCUAAAAUUCAGUAUUGUAAUUAUCCACCUUAAUAUUUAAAUAUUGAUUUCAGUACUGAAAUACAGCACCAAGAUGACCCGACUGUGUUCUAUACCACUCAUUUCGGUACUAAAAUUCAGUAUUUCGAUUAUCCACUUUAAUACCUCAAUACUGGUUUCAGUACUGAAAAACAUAACGACGAUCACUCGACUCACUUCUAUACCAUAUAUUUCGGUAUAAAUUUUACUGUUGUGAUUAUCCAUGUAAGUAUUUCAGUAUUAAUUUGAGUACUAAAAAAUAGCGUGACUAACACCUGACUUGGUUCUAUAUCACUAAUUUCAGUACUAAAACUUAGUAUUGUGAUUGUCCACGUUAAUAUUUAAUAUUGAAAAACCGCACCAUGAUGAGCCGACUCGGUUGUAUAUCACUAAUUUCGAUACUAAAAUUCAGUGUUCUGAUUAUCCACGUUAAUAUUUCAGUACUGAUUUCAAUACUGAACUAGAGCACCAAGAUGACCUGACUAUGUUCUAUAUCACUCAUUUCGGUACUGAAAUUCAGUAUUGCGAUUAUCCACAUUAAUAUUUCAAUAUUGAUUUCAUUACUGAAUACAAAACGAGAUCACCCGACUCACUUGUAUAUCACUAAUUUUGGUACUAAAAUUCAGUAUUGUGAUUCUUCACAUUAAUUUUUCAAUACUUAUUUCAAUACUAAAAAUAACACUAGGAUGACCUGACUCAGUUUUGGAUCAUUAAUUUCGGUAUAAAAUUCAGUAUUGCGAUUAUCUAUGUGAAUAUUUCAGGAUUGAUUUGAGUACUCAAAAAUAGCACGACUAACACGUGCCUCAGUUCUAGAUAACUAAUUUUGGUAUUAAAACUCAGUAUUAUGAUUAUACAUGUUAACAUUUCCGUACUGAUUUCAAUAUUGAAAUACAACACCACGAUGACCCGACUCGGUCGUGUAUCACUAAUUUUAGUACCGUAAUUCAGUAUUGUGAUUAUCCACAUUAAUAUAUCAAUAUUGAUUUCAGUACUGAAAUACAAAAUGGUGAUCACCACACUCAGUUGUAUAUCACUAAUUUUGGUAUUAAAAUUCAGUAUUGCGAUUAUCCAUUUAAUAUUUCAAUACUGAUUUCAAGACUUAAAAGCAAAACGAUGUUCAUGAGACUUAGUUGUAUAUCUCAAAUUUGUUACUAAUAUUCGGUACUGCGAUUAUCCAUGUUAAUACUGCAGUAUUGAUUUCAGUACUGAAAAACAGCUGGAUGAACGCAUGACUCAAUUCUAUAUCACUAAUUUCGGUACUAAAAUAUAGCAUUGAGAUUAACCACGUUAAUAUUUCAAUACUGAAAAAUAGCACCAUGAUGACCCGACUGAGUUGUAGUACUGAAACAUAAAACGAAAAUCACCCGACUCAUUUCUAUGUAACUAAUUUUGGUAUAAAAUUUAGUAUUGCGCAUAUCCAUGUUAGUAUUUCAGUAUUAGUUUGAGUACUCAAAUAUAGCAUGACUAACACCUCACUCAGUUUUAUAUCACUAAUUUCGAUACUAAAAUUCAGUAUUGUGAUUAUCCACUUUAAUAUUUCAAUACCGAUUUCAAUACAAAAAAACAACACCCGGAUGACCUGACUCAGUUGUACAUCACUAAUUUUUUUACUAAAAUUCAGUAUUGCGAAUAUCAACUUAAUAUUCCAAUACUGAUUUUAAGACUUAAAAACAAACCGAUGAUCACAAGACUUAGGUGUAUAUCAAAAAUUUGUUACUAAUAUUCGGUACUACGAUGAUCCAUGUUAAUAUUGUUGUAUUGAUUUCGGCACUGAAAUACAGCUCGAUGAACGCAUGACUCAAUUCUAUAUCACUAAUUUCAGUACUAAAAUAUAGCAUUGAGAUUAACCACGUUAAUAGUUCAAUACUAAAUAACAGCACCAUGAUGGCCCGACUGAGUUGUAUAUUACUAAUUUCGGUUCUAAAAUUCUGUAUUGUAAUUAUCCACCUUAAUAUUUAAAUAUUGAUUUCAGUACUGAAAUACAGCACCAAGAUGAACCGACUCUGUUCUAUACCACUCAUUUCGGGUCUAAAAUCCAGUAUUGCGAUUAUCCACUUUAAUACUUCAAUACUGGUUUCCGUACUGAAAAACAUAACGAUGAUCACCCGACUCACUUCUAUACCACAAAUUUCGGUAUAAAUUUUACUAUUGUGAUUAUCCAUGUAAGUAUUUCAGUAUUAAUUUGAGUACUCAAAAAUAGCAUGACUAACACCUGACUCGGUUCUAUAUCACUAAUUUCAGUACUAAAACUUAGUAUUGUGAUUGUCCACGUUAAUAUUUAAUAUUGAAAAACCGCACCACGAUGACCCGACUCGGUUGUAUAUCACUAAUUUCGGUACUAAAAUUCAGUGUUUUGAUUAUCCACGUUAAUAUUUCAGUACUUAUUUCAAUACUGAACUAGAGCACCAAGAUGACCCGACUAUAUUCUAUAUCGCUCAUUCCGGUACUGAAAUUCAGUAUUGCGAUUAUCCACCUUAAUAUUUCAAUACUGAUUUCAGUACUGAAAUACAAAACGAGAUCACCCGACUCACUAGUAUAUCACUGAUUUUGGUACUAAAAUUCAGUAUUGUGAUUCUUCACGUUAAUUUUUCAAUACUUAUUUCAAUACUAAAAGCAACACUAGGAUGACCUGACUCAGUUUUAUAUUACUAAUUUCGGUAUAAAAUUCAGUAUUGCGAUUAUCUAUGUGAAUAUUUCAGUAUUGAUUUGAGUACUCAAAAAUAGCACGACUAACACGCGCCUCAGUUCUAUAUCACUAAUUUUUGUAUAAAAAGUCAGUAUUAUGAUUAUACAUGUUAACAUUUCCGUACUGAUUUCAAUACUGAAAUACAGCACCACGAUGACCCGACUCGGUCGUGUAUCACUAAUUUCAAUACUGAAAUUCAGUAUUGUGAUUAUCCACAUUAAUAUAUCAGUAUUGAAUUCAGUAUUGAAAUACAAAUGGCGAUCACCACACUAAGUUGUAUAUCACUAAUUUUGGUAUUAAAUUCAACAUUGCGAUUAUCCACUUAAUAUUUCAAUACUGAUUUCAAGACUUAAAAACAAAAUGAUGUUCACGAGACUUAGCUGUAUAUCACAAAUUUGUUACUAAUAUUCGGUACUGCGAUUAUGCAUGUUAAUACAGCAGUAUUGAUUUCAGUUCUGAAAAACAGCUGGAUGAAUGCAUGAAUCAAUUCUAUAUCAUUAAUUUCGAUACUAAAAUAUAGCAUUGAGAUUAACCACGUUAAUAUUUCAAUACUAAAAAACAGCACCAUGAUGUCCCGACUGAGUUGUAGUACUGAAAAAUAAAACGGAAAUCACCCGACUCAUCUCUAUGUAACUAAUUUUGGUAUAAAAUUUAGUAUGGUGGAUAUCCGUGUUAGUAUUUUAGUAUUAGUUUGAGUACUCUAAUAUAGCAUGACUAACACAUGACUCAGUUUUAUAUCACUAAUUUCGAUACUAAAACUCAGUAUUGUGAUUAUCCACUUUAAUAUUUCAAUACUGAUUUCAGUACAAAAAAACAGCACCCGGAUGACCUGACUCAGUUGUACAUCACUAAUUUUGCUACUAAAAUUCAGUAUUGCGAUUAUCAACUUAAUAUUUCAAUACUGAUUUCAAGACUUAAAAACAAACCAAUGAUCACAAGACUUAGGUGUAUAUCACAAACUUGUUACUAAUAUCCGAUACUGCGAUUAUCCAUGUUAAUAUUGAUGUAUUGAAUUCAGUACUGAAAAACAGCUCGACGAGCGCAUGACUCAAUUCUAUAUCACUAAUUUCAGUACUAAAAUAUAGCAUUGAGAUUAACCACGUUAAUAGUUCAAUACUGAAUAACAGCACCACGAUGGCCCGACUGAGUUGUAUAUUACUAAUUUCGGUUCUAUAAUUCAGUAUUGUAAUUAUCCACCUUAAUAUUUAAAUGUUGAUUUAAGUACUGAAAUACAACACCAAGAUGACCCGACUCUGUUCUAUACCACUCAUUUCGGUACUAAAAUUCAGUAUUGCGAUUAUCCACUUUAAUACUUCAAUACUGGUUUCAGUACUGAAAAACAUAACGACGAUCACCCGACUCACUUCUACACCACAAAUUUCGGUAUAAAUUUUACUAUUGUGAUGAUCCAUGUAAGUAUUUCAGUAUUAAUUUGAGUACUCAAAAUAGCAUGACUAACACCUGACUCGGUUCUAUAUCACUAAUUUCAGUACUAAAACUUAGUAUUGUGAUUGUCCACGUUAAUAUUUAAUAUUGAAAAACCGCACCACGAUGACCCGACUCAGUUGUAUAUCACUAAUUUCGGUACUAAAAUUCAGUGUUCUGAUUAUCCACGUUAAUAUUUUAGUACUGAUUUCAAUACUGAACUAGAGCACCAAGAUGACCCGACUAUGUUCUAUAUCACUCAUUUUGGUACUGAAAUUCAGUAUUGCGAUUAUCCACCUUAAUAUAUCAAUACUGAUUUCAGUACUGAAAUACAAAACUAGAUCGCCCGACUCACAUGUAUAUCACUAAUUUUGGUACUAAAAUUCAGUAUUGCGAUUCUUCACGUUAAUUUUUCAAUACUUAUUUCAAUACUAAAAGCAGCACGAGUAUGACCUGACUCAGUUUUAUAUCACUAAUUUUGGUAUAAAAUUCAGUAUUGCGAUUAUCUAUGUGAAUAUUUCAGUAUUGAUUUGAGUACUCAAAAAUAGCAUGACUAACACGCGCCUCAGUUCUAUAUCACUAAUUUUGGUAUUAAAAGUCAGUAUUAUGAUAAUACAUCCUAACAUUUCCGUACUGAUUUCAAUACUGAAAUACAGCACCACGAUGACAACUCGGUAGUGUAUCAGUAAUUUCAGUACUCAAAUUCAGUAUUGUGAUUAUCCACAUUAAUAUAUCAGUAUUGAUUUUAGUACUGAAAUACAAAAUGGCGAUCACCACACUCAGUUGUAUAUCACUAAUUUUGGUAUUAAAAUUCAGUAUUGCGAUUAUCCACUUAAUAUUUCAACACUGUUUUCAAGACUUAAAAACAAAACGAUGUUCAUGAGACUUAGCUGUAUAUCAAAAAUUUGUUACUAAUAUUCGGUACUGCGAUUAUGCAUGUUAAUACUGCAGUAUUGAUUUUAGUACUGAAAAACAGCUGGAUGAACACAUGACUCAAUUCUAUCUCACUAAUUUCGGUACUAAAAUAUAGCAUUGAGAUUAACCAUGUUAAUAUUUCAAUACUGAAAAAUAGCACCACGAUGACCUGACUGAGUUGUAUUACUGAAAAAUAAAACGAAAAUCACCCGACUCAUUUCUAUGUAACUAAUUUUGGUAUAAAAUUUAGUAUUGCGGAUAUCCGUGUUAGUAUUUCAGUAUUAGUUUGAGUACUCAAAUAUAGCACGACUAACACCUGACUCGGUUCUAUAUCACUAAUUUCGAUACUAGAACUUAGUAUUGUGAUUAUCCACUUUAAUAUUUCAAUACUGAUUUCAAUAAAAAAAGCAGCACCAGGAUGACCCGACUCAGUUGUAUAUCACUAAUUUUGUUACUAAAAUUCAGUAUUGGGAUUAUCCACUUUAUAUUUCAAUACUGAUUUGAAGACUUAAAAACAAACCAUGUUACUAAAAUUCAGUAUUGCGAUUAUCCACUUUAUAUCGCAAGACUUAGGUGUAUAUCACAAAUUUCUUACUAAUAUUCGGUACUACGAUUAUCCAUGUUAAUAUUGUUGUAUUGAUUUUCGUAGUGAAAAACAGCUCGAUGAACGCAUGACUCAAUUUUAUAUCACUAAUUUCAGUACUAAAAUAUAGCAUUGAGAUUAACCACGUUAAUAGUUCAAUACUGAAAAACAGCACCACGAUGGCCCGACUGAGUUGUAUAUUACUAAUUUCGGUUCUAAAAUUCAGUAUUGUAAUUAUCCACCUUAAUAUUUAAAUAUUGAUUUCAGUACUGAAAUACAGCACCAAGAUGACCCGACUGUGUUCUAUACCACUCAUUUCGGUACUAAAAUUUAGUAUUGCGAUUAUCCACUUUAAUACUUCAAUACUGGUUUCAGUACUGAAAAACAUAACGACGAUCACUCGACUCACUUCUAUACCAUAUAUUUCGGUAUAAAUUUUACUAUUGUGAUUAUCCAUGUAAGUAUUUCAGUAUUAAUUUGAGUACUAAAAAAUAGCAUGACUAACACCUGACUUGGUUCUAUAUCACUAAUUUCAGUACUAAAACUUAGUAUUGUGAUUGUCCACGUUAAUAUUUAAUAUUGAAAAACCGCACCAUGAUAACCCGACUCGGUUGUAUAUCACUAAUUUCGGUACUAAAAUUCAGUGUUCUGAUUAUCCACGUUAAUAUUUCAGUACUGAUUUCAAUACUGAACUAGAGCACCAAGAUGACCCGACUAUGUUCUAUAUCACUCAUUUCGGUACUGAAAUUCAGUAUUGCGAUUAUCCACAUUAAUAUUUCAAUACUGAUUUCAGUACUGAAAUACAAAACGAGAUCACCCGACUCACUUGUAUAUCACUAAUUUUGGUACUAAAAUUCAGUAUUGUGAUUCUUCACAUUAAUUUUUCAAUACUUAUUUCAAUACUAAAAAUAACACUCGGGUGACUUGACUCAGUUUUAGAUCACUAAUUUCGGUAUAAAAUUCAGUAUUGUGAUUAUCUAUGUGAAUAUUUCAGGAUUGAUUUGAGUACUCAAAAAUAGCAUGACUAACACGUGCCUCAGUUCUAUAUAACUAAUUUUGGUAUUAAAACUCAGUAUUAUGAUUAUACAUGUUAACAUUUCCAUACUGAUUUCAAUACGGAAAUACAACACCACGAUGACUCGACUCGGUAGUGUAUCACUAAUUUCAGUACCCAAAUUCAGUAUUGUGAUUAUCCACAUUAAUAUAUCAAUAUUGAUUUCAGUACUGAAAUACAAAAUGGCGAUCACCACACUCAGUUGUAUAUCACUAAUUUUGGUAUUAAAAUUCAGUAUUGCGAUUAUCCAUUUAAUAUUUCAAUACUGAUUUGAAGACUUAAAAGCAAAACGAUGUUCAUGAGACUUAGUUGUAUAUCACAAAUUUGUUACUAAUAUUCGGUACUGCGAUUAUCCAUGUUAAUACUUCAGUAUUGAUUUCAGUACUGAAAAAUAGCUGGAUGAACGCAUGACUCAAUUCUAUAUCACUAAUUUCGGUACUAAAAUAUAGCAUUGAGAUUAACCACGUUAAUAUUUCAAUACUGAAAAACAGCACCACGAUGACCCGACUGAGUUGUAGUACUGAAAAAUAAAACAAAAAUCACCUGAAUCAUUUCUAUGUAACUAAUUUUGGUAUAAAAUUUAGUAUUGCGGAUAUCCAUGUUAGUAUUUCAGUAUUAGUUUGAGUACUCAAAUAUAGCACGACUAACACCUGACUCACUUCUAUAUCACUAAUUUCGAUACUAAAACUCAGUAUUGUGAUUAUCCACUUUAAAAUUUCAAUACUGAUUUCAGUACAAAAAAACAGCACCAGGAUGACCCGACUCAGUUGUAUAUCACUAAUUUUGUUACUAAAACUCAGUAUUGCGAUUAUCCACUUAAUAUUUGAAUACUGAUUUCAAGACUUAAAAACAAACCGAUGAUCACAAGAAUUAGGUGUAUAUCAGAAAUUUGUUACUAAUAUUCGGUACUACGAUUAUCCAUGUUAAUAUUGUUGUAUUGAUUUCGGUAUAGAAAAAUAGCUCGACGAACGCAUGACUAAAUUCUAUAUCACUAAUUUCAGUACUAAAAUAUAGCAUUGAGAUUAACCAUGUUAAUAGUUCAAUACUGAAAAACAGCACCACGAUGGCCCGACUGAGUUGUAUAUUUCUAAUUUCGGUUCUAAAAUUCAGCAUUGUAAAUAUUUAAAUAUUGAUUUCAGUAUGAAAUACAGCACCAAGAUGAUCCGACUCUGUUCUAUACCAGUCAUUUCGGUACUAAAAUUCAGUAUUGCGAUUAUCCACUUUAAUACUUCAAUACUGGUGUCGGUGUCAAAACCGGCGGAUCUCGGGUAGGUCCCGAACUGUGCAUCUAGGCCGGAUGGUAACAGGAGGCAAGGGACACAAAGUUUUACCCAGGUUCGGGCCCUCUUGUUGGAGGUAAAACCCUACGUCCUUCUUGAUUAAUAUUGAUGAUAUGGGUAGUACAAGAGUUGAUCUACCACGAGAUCGUAGAGGCUAAAACCCUAGAAGCUAGCUUAUGGUAUGAUUGUUGUAUAUCUCUAUCGACUAGCCUGGCCUCGGUUUAUAUAAUGCACCAGAGGCCUAGGAUAACAAGAGUCCUAGCCGAAUACGCCGGUGGGGUGGAGUCCUUGUCUUGAUCGCCAAGUCUUUGUGGAAUCUUCCUUGUAUGCGGCAGCUGUCCGAACUGGCCCAUGAGUAUGCAGCCAUGGGGGUUGUCGGUGUCAAAACCGGCGGAUCUCGGGUAGGGGGUCCCGAACUGUGCGUCUAGGCCGGAUGGUAACAGGAGGCAGGGGACACGAAGUUUUACCCAGGUUCGGGCCCUCUCGAUGGAGGUAAAACCCUACGUCCUGCUUGAUUAAUAUUGAUGAUAUGGGUAUUACAAGAGUUGAUCUACCACGAGAUCAGAGAGGCUAAACCCUAGAAGCUAGCCUAUGGUAUGAUUGUUGAUGUGUAUGUUGUCCUACGGACUAAAACCCUCCGGUUUAUAUAGACACCGGAGAGAGUUAGGGUUACAUAAAGUCGGUUACAAUGGUAGGAGAUCUGAUCAUCCGCAUCGCCAAGCUUGCAUUCCACGCCAAGGAAAGUCCCUUCCGGACACGGGACGGAGUCUUCAAUCUUGUAUCUUCAUAGUCCAGGAGUCCGGCUGAAGGUAUAGUCCGGCCAUCCGGACACCCCCUAAUCCAGGACUCCCUAAGUAGCCCCUGAACCAGGCUUCAAUGACGACAGGUCCGGCGCGCAAAUUGUCUUCGGCAUUGCAAGGCAGGUUCCUCCUCCAAGUACUUCAUAGAAGAUCUUAAACACAAAGAUAGUGUCCGGCUCUGCAAAAUAAGUUUCCGCAUACUGCCAUAGAGAGAAUAAUAUUUACACAAAUCUGCUGACGUAUUCCGUGGUGCGACACACCACGACCAAGCCUUUAUCCGAGUCGUUUAAUUACCCACCUCAGCGUGUUAUGCGAGAUGGUUUCCUUGGCACGUCUUGUUAAAGCAGAGAUCGUGUCCCCUUAUUACGGGAUUCUCAUCAAUACAGGUGUGGGUAACCCAACCACUUCUAGGACUCCUAGAUCAUAGGCAAGUCCAAACGGACACGGGGAGGACGCUUGAUAUCCACCCUCUUUAUAAAGGGACAAAGCUUUUACUUUUCCCUCUCGUGCUCAAUCGAAUCCUUCCCCGCCUCAAGCUCAAACGCCCAAAGAUCAGGUCAGGUGCUCCGAACCUUCAGUCAUGUCCGGAUCCACCCUUCAAGGCCGAUGGAUGCCCUCCUCCGUCACGGAAGAAGACAUCAAAAGGUUGAGGGAGGCCAGGUAUCUGACCGCCGAAAUGUUGCAUCGGCUGCCUCCCAGGGGGCAGGUCGUCCCCUCUCCCAAACCCAACGAGAGCGUCGUGUUUGUCUCCCACUUCCUCCGAGGUCUAGGUUUUGCACUAGAUCCUUUCGUCAGGGGCUUGAUGUUUUAUUACAGGCUAGAUUUCCAUGAUCUAGCUCCGGACUCCUUCCUGCAUAUCACGGCUUUGGUUGUCGUAUGCGAGGCCUUCCUCCGGGUUACCUCCCACUUUGGCUUAUGGCUCAAGACCUUUGAAGUAAAGCCGAAGAUGAUCGAAGGGCAACAUGCAGAGUGUGGAGGCGCCUCAAUACACAAUAUGACGGGAGCUCUGUGGCCCAAAGGUUCCAUCCCAAAGGUGUCUGCAUUGUGGCAACAGGAGUGGUUCUACAUCACGACUCCUAGAAGUGCCAAGUGGGCGGCCGCCCCCGUUUUUCACUCGGACCUUCCACCACGAUUGAUGUCAUGGAUCAGCAGAGGACUGAGCUGGGGUCCAGCCAAGGACGUGCCUUUACUGCAAAGCCGCAUUCGAGAUCUCUUCAACGAAGAUCUCAGUUUGGUUGUGGUAAUACAAGUUAUGCUGGUUCGUCAAGUCCAGCCUUGCAAACGUCGGCCCCUUCACUUGUGGGAGUUCAAUCCCGAGGGUCCGUGUGCCAUUCAAAAUUUUCUUGGCCUGACGCAUGAGGAUAUGUAUAAGUUAUUCUUCGGACCUCAAGUAGAGUGUCCGGAAAUCACCGAGGACGUGGGCCUGAGUAGUAACCGCGCCGCCGAACAGGUAAGGAAUCCUCCGGCCGAACAUAUUAUCUUUCCUUCGUUAUGAAGUUAUUUCUGAGAGUUUGCUUUUUCGACCAGGACUGGCUAACAAAGGCGAAUUUGAUUCAGUGUUUGGCCCCCCUCCCUGAGGGUUUGGAGAAUCCGGUAUUGGAAAAGAUGCUCCAGACCGCACCUUGCCCGGAUCCCUCGAAGGAAGAUACUAUGGAGGAUAAUGCGGGCGGACGCGGGCCCCCAACGCUGCCUAUUCGAACCGAGGGAGCGAGCGUCUCCAUGAAGGAAGACGACCGGAAGAGGAAAAGGACUGCGCUCGGGAAUUCGGAGGCCGAAACUUCCAAACGGGAGAAGAAAUCUUCCACCGGGGGCCCUACCUUGGGGGGCGCUGCUGCCGCACAAAGUCCGCGGGGGGAUCAAUUCUCCCGGGAGUCGUAAGUGACCCAAAAACUUUAAUAGUACAGAUAUGCCAUCCUUUUCUUCUGAGAAAAUAACCAUCGCAUAUAUUUGUGCAGUUCGGGCCUUAGCCCCUCUCAAAUGAGCUCGUCUUCGGGGGAUCUUCUUCCAGAGAUGAUGGAGAGCGAGAUGCCUCCUCCGGACUCCUCCGCUCCAGAAGCGGGCGACCCUGAAGUGUCGUCGCGGAGGGCCUCUCCGAGUCCGGUGAGACCAGAAGGUAAUCCUAUUGAUCCCCGAGGCUCCCAGUGUCCGACUCCCGAAGAGAGCAGACAAAAGAGUCCGGCACCGUCUAGUGUGCGAUCGGAUGUUCUGAGGGAGUUGGUGGGGCGAGCGGCCAUCUCAGAUGAUCACCGUGUGCUGAUGAAUAUGGUGAUGGAGAGGAUAUCGUCCGCAGAAAGCGGAUUGCAUGAAGCCUUUAUGAGUCUACUGACACGCUUUGAGGUACGUAAAAGGAAUGUGUGAUAGUCCUACACAUGCUAGGUGUGCCCUGUGUAGAUAGUAGCCCCUGAGACUCUGGUUGUCGUCGGAAACGAUGACGAACGGAGGAUCAUAUUCCCAGAUAAUAACCAUACUGCCUCUAUGUGCAGGAGAUGGAAGCUCCGGUGGCCAGCCGGACUAGUGAUGUCUACUACACGACCUUAUUCUUGUAGACGUUGUUGGGCCUCCAAGUGUAGAGGUUUGUAGGACAGUAGCAAAUUUCCCUCAAGUGGAUGACCUAAGGUUUAUCAAUCCGUAGGAGGCAUAGGAUGAAGAUGGUCUCUCUCAAGCAACCCUGCAACCAAAUAACAAAGAGUCUCUUGUGUCCCCAACACACCCAAUACAAUGGUAAAUUGUAUAGGUGCACUAGUUCGGCGAAGAGAUGGUGAUACAAGUGCAAUAUGGAUGGUAGAUAAAGGUAUUUGUAAUCUGAAAAUAUAAAAACAGCAAGGUAACUAAUGAUAAAAGUGAGCGUAAACGGUAUUGCAAUGAUAGGAAAUAAGGCCUAGGGUUCAUACUUUCACUAGUGUAAGUCCUCUCAACAAUACUAACAUAAUUGGAUCAUAAAAUUAUCCCUCAACAUGCAAAAAAGAGUCACUCCAAAGUCAAUAAUAGCGGAGAACGAACGAAGAGAUUAUGGUAGGGUAUGAAACCACCUCAAAGUUAUUCUUUCCAAUCAAUCCGUUGGGCUAUUCCUAUAAGUGUCACAAACAGCCCUAGAGUUUGUACUAGAAUAACACCUUAAGAUACAAAUCAACCAAAACCCUAAUGUCACCUAGAUACUUCAAUGUCACCUCAAGUAUCCGUGGGCAUGAUUAUACGAUAUGCAUCACACAAUCUCAAUUCAUCUAUUCAACCAACACAAAGAACCUCAAAGAGUGCCCCAAAGUUUCUACCGGAGAAUCACGACGAAAACGUGUGCCAACCCCUAUGCAUAGGUUCCCAAUGUCACGAAAACCCGCAAGUUGGUCACCAAAACGUACAUCAAGUGGCACGUGGUAUCCCAUUGUCACCACAGAUAUCCACGGCAAGACAUACAUCAAGUGUUCUCAAGUCUUUAAAGACUCAAUCCGAUAAAAUUACUUCAAAGGGGAAACUCGAUUCAUUACAAGAGAGAAGAGGGGGGAAGAAACAUCAUAGGAUCCAAAUAUAAUAGCAAAGCUCGCGAUACAUCAAGAUCGUAUCAUCUCAAGAACAUGAGAGAGAGAGAGAGAGAUCAAACACAUAGCUACUGGUACAUACCCUCAGCCCCGAGGGAGAACUACUCCCUCCUCGUCAUGGAGAGCACCGGGAUGAUGAAGAUGGCCACUGGAGAAGGAUUGCCCCCUCCGGCAGGGUGCCGGAAUGGGUCUAGAUUGAGUUUCGGUGGCUAUGGAGGCUUCUGGCAGCGGAAUUAGGUUUUUUGCUCCGUCCUUGGUCUAAUGGGGGUACGUAGGUAUAUAUAGGAGGAAGGAGCACGUCGGUGGAGCUCUGAGGGGCCCAUGAGGCAGGGGGGCGCGCCCUCCACCCUCGUGACCUCCCCAGAAACUUCUUGGAGUAGGGUCCAAGUCUCCUGGAUCACGUUCGGUGAGAAGAUCACGUUCCCGAAGGUUUCAUUCCGUUUGGAUUCCGUUUGAUAUUCUGUUUACUCGAAAUACUGAAAUAGGCAAAAAACAACAAUUCUGGGCUGGGCCUCCGGUUAAUAGGUUAGUCCCAAAAAUAAUAUAAAAGUGGAAAAUAAAGCCCAAUAUAGUCCAAAAUAGUAGAUAAAGUAGCAUGGAGCAAUCAAAAAUUAUAGAUACGUUGGAGACGUAUCAGGCAUCCCCAAGCUUAAUUCCUGCUCGUCCUCGAGUAGGUAAAUGAUAAAAAGAGAAUUUUUGAUGUGGAGUGAUACUUUGGCAUAAUUUCAAUGUAAAUCUUCUUAAUCAUGGUAUGAAUAUUCAGAUCCUAAAGGUUCAAGACAAAAGUUCAUAUUGACAUAAAAAUGAUAAUACUUCAAGCAUACUAAUUAAACAAUUAUGUCAUCUCAAAAUAACAUGGCCAAAGGAAGUUCAUCCCUACAAAAUCAUAUAGUUAGGCUAUGCUUCAUUUUCAUCACACAAAGAUGUUCCCAACUUCUAUACCCCCGAUGACAAGCCAAGCAAUUGUUUCAUACUCAAAUAAUCUCAAAUUUUUUCAACCUUCACGCAAUACAUGAGCGCGAGCCAUGGACAUAGCACUAUGGGUGGUAUAGAAUAUGAUGAUGGGGAUUGUGUGGAGAAGACAAAAAAGGAGAAAGUCUCACAUCAACGAGGCUAAUCAAUGAGCUAUGGAGAUGCCCAUCAAUUGAUGUUAAUGCAAGGAGUAGGGAUUGCCAUGCAACAGAUGCACUAGAGCUAAGAAUGCUCAACAAAAGAAAACUAGUGGGUGUGCAUCCAACUUGCUUGCUCAUGAAGACCUAGGGCAUUUUGAGGAAGCCCAUCGUUGGAAUAUACAAGCCAAGUUCUAUAAUGAAAAAUUCCCAGUAGUAUGAACAAGACAACUUAUGAGACUCACUAUAUGAAAAUCAUGGUGCUACUUUGAAGCACAAUAUAUGAGACUCACUACAUGAAGAACAAGGUGCUACUUUGAAGCAUAAGUGUGGAAAAAGAGAUAGUAGCAUUGCCCUUUUUAUUUUAUCCUUCUUUUUUUGGGGGCCUUUCUUUUUUUUCUUUUUGGCCUUUCUCUCCUUUUUUGAUUGGGAAUGCUCUAAUAAUGAUGAUCAUCACACUUCUAUUGAUUACAACAUAAUGAUUACAACUCGAUACUAGAACAAGAUAUGACUCUAUAUGAAUGCCUCUGGCAGUGUACCAGGAUGGUGCAAUGAAUCAAGAGUGACAUGUAUGAAAAAUAAUGCAUGGUGGCUUUGCCACAAAUACGAUGUCAACUACAAGAUCAUGCAAUGGCAAUAUGACAAAAGUAAAGCAUGUCAUGAUGAUGAUGAUGAUGAUGAUGAUCGAAGUUGCAUGGCAAUAUAUCUCGGAAUGGCUAUGGAAAUGCCAUGAUAGGUAGGUAUGGUGGCUGUUUUGAGGAAGAUAUAGGGAGGUUUAUGUGUGAAAGAGUGUAUCAUGUCACGGGGUUUGGAUGCACCGGCGAAGUUUGCACCAACUCUCAAUGUGAGAAAGGGCAAUGCACGGUACCGAAGAGGCUAGCAAAUGGCGGAAAGGUAAAAGUGCGUAUAAUCCAUGGACUCAACAUUAGUCAAAAGAACUCAUAUACUUAUUGCAAAAAUUUAAAAUUCAUCAAAAAUCAAGUACUAUGCGCAUUCUCCUAGGGGGAUAGGUUGGUAGGAAAAGACCAUCACUCGUCCCCGACCGCCACUCAUAAGGAUGCACAAGCCAGGUACACUUCAUGCUUCAAAUUUGUUACACAACUUUAACCAUACGUGCAUGCUACGGGACUUGCUAACUUCAACACAAGUAUUUCUCAAAUUCACAACUGCUCAACUAGCACGACUAUGAUAUUAUCACCUCCAUAUCUCAAAACAAUUAUCAAGCAUCAAACUUAUCUUAGUAUUCAACCCACUAAAAAGAAAGUUUCACAUAUCUUGAAUACCAAGUAUAUAUUAACAUUAAGCAAAUUACCAUGCUAUUAACGACUCUCAAAAUAAUCUAAGUGAAGCAUGAGAGAUCAAGUUUCUUUAAAACAAACCACCACCGUGCUUUAAAAGAUCUAAGUGAAGCACUAGAGCAAAAAUUAUCACGCUCAAAAAGAUAUAAGUGAAGCACAUAGAGUAUUCUAACAAAUUUCAAUUCAUGCAUGGCUCUCUCAAAAGGUGUGUACAGCAAGGAUGAUUGUGGUAGACUAACAAGCAAAGACACAAAUAAUACAAGACGCCCCAAGCAAAACAUCAUGUGGUGAAUGAAAAUAUAGCUCCAAGUAAAUUACCGAUGGAAGUGGACAAAAGAGGGGAUGCCUUCCGGGGCAUCCCCAAGCUUUGACUUUUUGGUGUCCUUGGAUUAUCUUGGGGGUGCCAUGGGCAUCCCCAAGCUUAGGCUCUUGCCACUCCUUGUUCCAUAAUCCAUCAAAAGAAUUCACCCAAAACUUGAAAACUUCACAACACAAAACUCAAUAGAAAUCUCGUGAGCUCCGUUAGAGAAAGAAAACAAAAGACUACUUUAAGGUACUGUAGUGAACUUGUUCUUUAUUUGUAUUGCUGUUAAACCUACUGUAUUCCAACUUCUCUAUGGUUUAUAAACUCUUUCACUAGCCAUAGAUUCAUCAAAAUAAGCAAACAACACACGCAAAACAGAAUCUGUCAAAAACAGAACAGUCUGUAGUAAUCUGUUACUAACGCAAACUUCUGGAACCCAAAACAUUCUACCAAAAUUAGACGAACUGGGAAAUUUGUUUAUUGAUCAGCAUCAAUUGGAAUCACUAUUUUAUCACGUUCUGGUGAUUUUUGACAAUUCGGUCACUGAGCGCAAAGAUUCUGGAAUUUACAGCAAGAUCAAAUAACUAUCUUCCAAGAAGAUCUAAUAGGUUUAACUUGGCACAAACACUAAUUAAAAGGUAAAACCACAUCUAAACAGAAUCUAGAUGGAUUAUUUAUUCCUAAAAAAACCAAAAACAAAAAACACAAAAUAAAAUUGGGUUGCCUCCCAACAAGCGCUAUCGUUUAACGCCCCUAGCUAGGCAUGAUGAUUUCAAUGAUGCUCACAUAAAAGAUAAGAAUUGAAACAUAAAGAGAGCAUCAUGAAGAAUAUGACUAGCACAUUUAAGUCUAACCCACUUCCUAUGCAUAGGGAUUUUGUGAACAAACAACUUAUGGGAACAAGAAUCAUCUUGCAUAGGAAGGUAAAACAAGCAUAACUUCAAAACUUUAAGCACAUAGAGAGGAAACUUGAUAUUAUUGCAAUUCCUACAAGCAUAUGUUCCUCCCUCAUAAUAAUUUUCAGUAGCAUCAUGAAUGAAUUCAACAAUAUAACCAGCACCUAAAGCAUUCUUUUCAUGAUCUACUUGCAUAGAAAUUUUAUUACUCUCCAUAUAAGCAAAAUUCUUCUCAUUCGGAAUAGUAAUGGGAGCAAACUCAACAAAAUAACUAUCAUAUGAUAGAGAAUUAAGAUCAAGAUGACAAGUUUCAUGGUUAUCAUUAUUCUUUAAAGCAUACGUGUCAUCACAAUAAUCAUCAUAGAUAGGAGGCAUGCUUUCAUCAUAGUAAAUUUGCUCAUCAAAACUUGGGGGACAAAAAAUAUCAUCUUCAUCAAAAAUAGCUUCCCCAAGCUUGUGGCUUUGCAUAUCAUAAGCAUCAUGGAUAUUCAAGGAAUUCAUACUAACAACAUUGCAAUCAUGCUCAUCAUUCAAAUAUUUAGUGCCAAACAUUUUAUAGAUUUCUUCUUAUAGCACUUGAGCACAAUUAUCCUUUCCAUCAUACUCACGAAAGAUAUUAAAAAGGUGAAGCGUAUGAAACAAACUCAAUUCCAUUUUUUAUGUAGUUUUCUUUUAUAAACUAAACUAGUGAUAAAACAAGAAACUAAAAGACUCAAUUGCAAGAUCUAAAGAUAUACCUUCAAGCACUCACCUCCCCGGCAACGGCGCCAAAAAAGAGCUUGAUGUCUACUACACAACCUUCUUCUUGUAGACGUUGUUGGGCCUCCAAGUGCAGAGGUUUGUAGGACAGUAGCAAAUUUCCCUCAAGUGGAUGACCUAAGGUUUAUCAAUCCUUAGGAGGCGUAGGAUGAAGAUGGUCUCUCUCAAGCAACCCUGCAACCAAAUAACAAAGAGUCUCUUGUGUCCCCAACACACCCAAUACAAUGGUAAAUUGUAUAGGUGCACUAGUUUGGCGAAGAGAUGGUGAUACAAGUGCAAUAUGGAUGGUAGAUAAAGGUAUUUGUAAUCUGAAAAUAUAAAAACAGCAAGGUAACUAAUGAUAAAAGUGAGCGUAAACGCUAUUGCAAUGAUAGGAAAUAAGGCCUAGGGUUCAUACUUUCACUAGUGUAAGUCCUCUCAACAAUACUAACAUAAUUGGAUCAUAAAAUUAUCCCUCAACAUGCAACAAAGAGUCACUCCAAAGUCACUAAUAGCGGAGAACGAACGAAGAGAUUAUGGUAGGGUACGAAACCACCUCAAAGUUAUUCUUUCCAAUCUGUGACGCCCGGGUAAUUAAACUACAGUAACCCUCUACUAAGGAUGCCACGUCACCUCGGUUACUGUUGAUAAUCUCUUAUUAGUUCAAAAACCGAUUCAAAUUCAAAUUCAAAAUCAAGUAAACAAUAAAAGUUUUCAAGUAUUAAAACUAAAAUGUUCGGAGUGAGCCAAAUAAUGCAUAGGUAAUUAUGGUGGAGAAACCACACCUUUAUAAAUUUUUAAAUACCAUAAGAUGAAUAAAAUAGCAGUAAAAACAAUAAUUUAAAUACCUUUGGUAAUUAAUAAAAUAUCAAACUAAUUUAUUUGAGGACUAGACUUUUUGUGACUAUGGGCUAAGUUGAAAUACUAAUUUAUAUUGCUACGUGUAUAUUUUACUAAAACUAAAAUUAAUAAGAAACAAAACUAAAACAGAAAAGGUAACAUAAAUAAAAAAAGAAAAAGGCAAAACCGAAAAUAAAACAAGAGAAAAGGAAAACCCCCCUCCCCUGGGCCAAGGCCCAGCUGGCCAGGCCAGGCCGGCCCACUCCCCACGUCGCCUCCUCCUCUAUUCACAGAGGGGGACGUGGGCAGAGCCGAUGCCCGCCACGGCACCGGCCGACGCCGUGGCGGCCAUCCGGCCGGCGACCCCAGCCUACAAGACCCCGGUACCCCUCUCUAAACCUAGCCGGACCCCCACUCCCCCUCCUCGCGCCCCCAUCUCCCUCCCCUCGUCUUCCCCGCGGCGACCCGACGCCGUUGCCCGAAGCUGCUGUCGCCGCGUCGCCAUCAUUGUCGUACAUGUUGCCAUCGGCCACCUUCGUCGUCCGUUGGCGUCCGGGAGGUUCACCGUCGUCCCCUACGUCGUCUACGCACCACCGUUCGAGCCCGGGGCCACUACAUCGAGCGGAUCGAACUCUUCUUCAACCUUCGUCCACCGGCGCGCCUCUGUCGACUCCGUCGUCGUCCUGUGCUCCGGGCCCUCACCGAGCCUUUCGUGCGCUCCCCGGUGAGCUCCCGCUCGAAAGCCCUCUCCCUAGUUCUCGAAUCCGUGUCCGUAGCCGCCGUUCCCGUCGCGGCCAAAGCUCAUCGCCGCCGGCCAUGUCGUCGCAAAGCUCACAGCUGCUGUCGCUCGCACCUGUGCUUGGUCUUGAGCUCCUUGAGCUCCCACGAAGACAACGCGCCCGUCCGCUCACGCCAUGGCCGCCCUCGACCCUUGUGCUCCCCUGCAUCCCCGCGCACAGUCUGGCCGCACACCUACAGCCACCCGUGCGGCAGCCCGUGCGGCGGCUGCGCCUACUGCUGUGCGCGCUUGUAUCUGUCGCUGCCGUGGCCCCUAUUGCUCCUGCCGCUGUUGUUUGACACUGAAUCCUGCUGCUUCCUUCUUCAGUUAGGCUAGGUGUCGAUUUAUUCAGUUUCGUCAGUAUAAGCAUGCACCGUACAUGCAAGUCUUUGUUUUGUGCAUGUAGUAGCUAGUGUCGCGGUGUUAGCUCCCGUGGGAUAGUGUGGCCAUUAGCUCAAACGUGGCUGGUAGAUUAGGAAGGAUCUCUUGCUGUAACGACAUGGCGCUGCAGUUAGUAGCACGCAACACAAAGUACUCUCUCACAGUUCUUCAGUUACAGAGCGUCGAGAGAGUGCGAGGACAUCGGCAGCAACUACAACUGCCUCUGCCGCUCGCGCCGUGCCCUACGCCCGUCCGUGCGCGCCCGCCUGCAAUGGUCACGCCCGCACCCGCUACGUCCUGGCGCAUGGCCUUCGUGCGCGCCUGUGCACAACCACGCUGGGGCUGGCCUUUGUGCCUCUGCUAGCGGGUCCCCAACCAUCCCAAUUAAGGGGCUAAUCCCCUAUUAGCCCAUAAUACCCUCCUGUUUAGUUUAUUUCGGUUUAACUGAUUAGUUAGUCUAGACCCUAUGACAUGUGAACCGUACUGUAAAUUAAAAUGAUCAGACAAGUUAAAAAUGCUUAAGUCUAUGACACGCGGGACCCAUGCACUAUUCACUGAUUGACCUAGUCAACACCGGCUGUGCUGUUGACUUUGACCUGCCCCCACAUGUCAUUGACUGUGCCUGGCACUACACUAGCUGACAAGAGUAAUUUUACUUUUUAUUUUCGAAAUAAUAAUGAAUCCAGAAAUUCUAGGAUAUUGUUAAAACUUUAGGAAAUCAUAUAAAAUAAACGUAAGUCGGAUGAAAAUAAUUUGUAUAUGAAAGUUGCUCGGAACGACGAGACGAACCCGGAUACGCAGCCCGUUCGUCCACCACACACCUCUAACAUACCAAACACGCAACUUUCCCCCUCCGGUUCAUCUGUCCGAAAACACGAAACACCGGGGAUAUUUUCCCGGAUGUUUCCCCCCUUAACCGGUACCACCUCAUACCACGCUAGGGCACCCCUAGCACCGUUACUUGUCUUGUCAUGCACCGCCAUGCUUAUGUUUGCAUUAUAUUUAUUGUUUCUUCCCCCUCUUCUCUCUGGUAGACUACGAGACCGACGCUGCUGCUGCCCAGUUCGACUACGGAGUUGACGACCCCUCUCUCUUGCCAGAGCAACCAGGCAAGCCCCCCCCUGAUCACCAGAUAUCGCCUAUUCUACUCUAUACUGCUUGCAUUAGAGUAGUGUAGCAUGUUACUGCUUUCAGUUAAUCCUAUACUGCUGCAUAGCCUGUCCUUGCUACUACUGUUGUUACCUUUACCUGUAAUCCUACAUGCUUAGUAUAGGAUGCUAGUAUUUCCAUCUGUGGCCCUACAUUCUUGUCCGUCUGCUAUGCUAUACUAUCGGGCUGUGAUCACUCGGGAGGUGAUCACGGGUAUAUACUAUAUACUUAUACAUGAUACAUGUGGAGACUAAAGUCGGGUCGGCUGGUGGAGCACCCGCGAGUGGAUCUUUGUGGCGGAGCGACAGGGCAGGUUGAGACCGCCUAGGAGAGAGGUGGGCCUGGCCCUGUUCGGCGUUCGCAGAUACUUAACACGCUUAACGAGAUCUUGGUAUUUGAUCUGAGUUGGCUACGAGCCUAUACGCACUAACCAACUACGUGGGAAAGAUAUGGGCACUCGGCGUCGUGGUAUCAGCCGAAGCACUUCGUGAUGCCAGCGACUGAGUGGCGCGCGCCGGAUUGGAACGUAAGCCUGCUCUUGUAUUAAGGGGGCUAGUUCUGCUUCCGGCCGCGUACGCAACGUGCAGGUGUGCUCAGGGCGAUGGCCCAGACCCCUGCGCGCUUAGGUUUAGACCGGCGUGCUGGCCUCUCUGUUGAGCCUAGGUGGGGCCGCGACGUGUUGAUCUUCCGCGGCCGGGCAUGACCCAGGAAAGUGUGUCCGGCCAAAUGGGAUCAAGCGUGUUGGGUAAGUUGGUGCACUCGAAUAGUCGUGAUCUUCGGUAACAGGACGACUUGGAGUUGUACCUUGACCUUAUGACAACUAGAACCGGAUACUUAAUAAAACACACCCUUCCAAGUUCCACAGACAACCCGGUGAUCGCUUUUCUACAGGGCGACGAGGAGAGGAUCGCCGGGUAGGUUUAUGCUAUGCGAUGCUACUUGGAGAUGCUACUUGGAGAUGCUACUUGAAGAUGCUACUUGGAGGACUUCAAUCUACUCUCUUCUACAUGCUGCAAGACGGAGGCUGCCAGAAGCGUAGUCUUCGCUAGGACUAGCUAUCCCCCCUUUUUAUUAUGGCAUUCUGCAGUUCAGUCCACCGAUAUGGCCUCCUUACACAUAUACCCAUGCAUAUGUAGUGUAGUUCCUUGCUUGCGAGUACUUUGGAUGAGUACUCACGGUUGCUUUCUCCCCCCUUUUCCCCCUUUCGUUUCUUUCUGGUUGUCGCAACCAGAUGCUGGAGUCCAGGAGCCAGACGCCACCGUCGACGACGACCCCUACACCGGAGGUGUCUACUACUACGUGCUGCCCGCUGACGACGACCAGGAGUAGUUUGGAGGAUCCCAGGCAGGAGGCCUGCGCCUCUUUCGAUCUGUAUCCCAGUUUGUGCUAGCCUUCUUACGGCAAACUUGUUUAACUUAUGUCUGUACUCAGAUAUUGUUGCUUCCGCUGACUCGUCUAUGAUCGAGCACUUGUAUUCGAGCCCUCGAGGCCCCUGGCUUGUAUUAUGAUGCUUGUAUGACUUAUUUAUGUUUUAGAGUUGUGUUGUGAUACCUUCCCGUGAGUCCCUGAUCUUGAUCGUACACAUUUGCGUGCAUGAUUAGUGUACGAUUGAAUCGGGGGCGUCACAAGUUGGUAUCAGAGCCAACUGCCUGUAGGAAUCCCCCUUUCCAACUUCUUGGCCGAAGUCGAGUCUAGACAUUACAAAACUUUUACUAACAUGGCUGUGUGCCUUACGGGCCCACGUCGCCAUUGGGUGGUACUAGGAUCUUUUACUCCUCGACCUUUACUCUGGGACUCUGAUCUCUCCUCUAUUCGGGUUAAAUGAAGUUUACUAAAUCUAACAUUAGGAUCUCGUUAUCACUUUCACCCGGAGAGCCCCUUAUUACUAAUGAUCGUCUGCUGCACCAGAAGACCCUGAAGAUACUCUCCGCUGUUAACCCGAGAACUUGUGUUCAUCGCGUUUGCAAUUCACCUUCCACCGCAAACCCUUAUGGAUAACUACUUGCCUUUGUUAUUCUUACAUUCAUCCCAGUGGUCUUGUUAUUACAAGAUACCCUGAAAAACUCGUCGUUGUUUCGAUAAUCCCUUGAGCUUACUGCCUUGCUGUUCUUUGUCACUUGAAUACCCCUACGGUUAAUUCUCGCACUUAUCGAGUAUCCACUCAUCCCCAGUUGAUUCAUGUAUUUCACAAAAGUCUUCGAAAUGCCAUUCGAUCUUCCGAAAAUCCCGAGCAGCCUAUUCCUCUUGAAAUUCUUGCUUGCUUGCAUUAUGGUUAGUCCCAUAAGUCUCAUAGUCUUAUUGACAUUCCUUGUCAUUAUCAUUUUGAGUCUGUUGACUCAAUAUGUUUGCGAAUACCCGCAAACAUCAUUGAUCCUUAUAAAUUACCUUUCCGGCUGAGCUGCCAUUCUUUUAACUAGAAUUGGUUCUCGACCAACCUAAGGCUAUUCAACUUAUCCAUCCCUAAUCAGAGCAUUGCUUCUGAUCCCUUGAUUUGGAAAUCAUAAUUCCUUUGCAUUUGACAAUUGAGUUAGUCAGUUGUUUCUAUAAUUUGAUCUCCUUGCACUCUUCUUCCUCUAGUUGAGUACCGAUGCUCACGUCAGAUCCCUUGUGGACCAUCAGGUCCAUUGUUGGAUUUUAUCCGUCACCAUCCUUCAUAUUCAAUAACCUUGUGAGCCUUCCCUUGGAUACAUAAUGCCCUUGGUAAUUGUAUCAUCUACUUUCUCAACCUUGCUCUACUUUCGAGCUUGUGAUAUUUACUCUUGAAACUUGUGGUAUAUGUUUCUAAGAAGCCCCUAUAGGUUGAACCUAUGCCUUCCUUAAUAUGUGUGAACUCGAAAGUUUUCACAAGUCAUACUCUUCUGGUAUUUUGCCAGAUAAAAUUUCAACACUACGACUUCAUUGAACGCGAGAAGUGAAUGAAAGGUUGUGCAUUGGAGAAGUGGGAGUCGACCUUGAACUUUGUGUUCAUGCCCAUGGACACGAUGUACAUCUUCUCAUCGAAGCUUCUUUUAAAAUUAAUUAUUCCCUUGGUAUAAGUUCAUCUUAUAGCUGAGAUUUGGCCUUUUUGCAAUCGUGGUUCCGACCAUGUUCUCCCUUAAAUACCAUUUCUUGUGCAAGUUUAAGCACUUGUCUUUUGCAGAGCAACUCCCCAGUCCAACCUCUACUUUGAUUCGUCGUCGAGUAUUACCCUCCUGGUAUCUCGAGAUUAUCUUGGAAUUGCAUAACUUCUUAUGAGUUCUUCAUCAAGUACUACAUUCUCACUGAUUACAGUUUUUCACGUGCUCGGAGUUAUUAAACACUCACGGACAUUGAUAACUGAAUCGAGUCCGCCUCGCGAUUAAAUAACUCGUAGUAAUCUUCUUUGCUUACGAGUUUGUACCCAUUCCUAGCCUGUUGGGCUAUAUCAUUGUCGUGAUGAUUCUAAUUGUGCUACCUGGUCCUUAUUCUCGGAGCACCAAUUUGCGACGAUAGCUAAGCUUACGCCAAUCUCCCUCAUCAUUCCAUUUCGCCUUGAACAACAAGCUUGAUUUCAAGUUUGUGUCCUACCCAUGGUUCCAAUAACCUUCCGCUUCAUCAUUACUUUGAUCUGAUGUCAUCGCUGAUUGAAUCAUCUUCAUGAAAUCCCUCGACAAAUGUGUCGUGAUCGUCAUCGACCUUAUGAGCUCUUCCAGGAUAUCAAUUGAGUUCAUGAUGAGAAAUAUUAUCCUUGCCCCCGAUGAUUUGUGUUAGUUUUGACCACUUUAUUGCCUUCCGGUCAACACAAACGUGUUCGUGUUUUGUGUUAUACCUUGAGUUUCCUGCUAUCCAGCAUUUGUUCUACUUUACCUUGGAGUAUUACCAUCUUUUAAAUAUCAAGGAUGUUGUGAGGAUUGCUCCACCUCUUAAGAAUUCUUGGAAUAGUGAUACUUCUCAUCAUCACCAUUCUUUCUUGGUCCUCACGUUGAUUCCAACCGGGGUACCAACAAGAAUGGUGCUGUUUGGAUUCUGCCUUUCUAGCAACCCUAUUACUUUGAAGUUAAUGGCUGGCCAUUCAUUCUUAGACUAUUGAUUAUUGAAUCACCAUUCUGACAUUGGUCGUGCAGCCCAACCCAUAUUUCGGGCGCACCUUUCUACCAAUGUUUAAUUGUGUAUGUUUUCCUCAAACAUGCUUCAUUAUAUCAUUUGAUCCGACAAAUGAUAUUUCCUUGUUCACCUAAUUGUGGAAACCCAUCUUUUGUUAAUCUCGAUGAAUUACCGCUGAUUCCACCAGCCACCUCCUCAUCCUCUCGUUGGUUUACUGAUGAACUCAUGUUUCGAAACUCCCUUCCAUAGUUCAUUUCCCGAGAAUCUUGCAAUGUCAUUUCGUUGAUUUGCGUUGCACCUUUUCUUCUUAGGUAUCCUAAGUCUGAGGUAUCCUGACACCAAUCGGAUCUGAAUCUCGGUCAGAUAUGAUGGUUGGGACAACUUUCCAAGAGUUAUGAUGUUGAUCCUUUGAUGACCCGGUAACAUGAUGUCAUGCCUAGCACCCCCUCCCCCGGCUGGAGGACCUAUCAUUAUAGAUACCUUUUCAGCAAGGUUAUCCAUUCAUCCAUGAGGAAAUUGUAAGACUUAUUCUACAAGUUAUUCCUGAUGGAUCCUUCGUGUUUCCAAAGUCUGAUCUUUACCUGAAGACCAUGUCAAUGUUAUCUCGAAGCAUGUCAAUGGUACUCCGAUUUGCAACAGGAACAUUUGAAGCACGAUGCUAGAUUUUAUUUAUCAUUUAUCCUAACACCGUUGUAUGGGUAAUAUCAUGAGAUUCUCCCCCCCCCUUACCUAAAUGGUUUUCUACUUUAUAUCCUGUCAUGGAUAUCUUGCUCUGCUUGUCCUUGGGAAGGAUAUACCCUUGAAAUAUGUGUUUAAACAUAUUUUCCUUUCCAUUGUUCUGUUUAAUCUGAUGAUCAUAUUUUCCCUCCAUUAGUUUGUUUAAACCUUUUCUAUGAUCUAUAUGAUAUAAGCAGUAAUAAUCCACUGCUUGUGCAAACACCUCGAUGUACAACUUUGUCAGUAAGACCCUGUUUCUAGUGUUGACGACAUUUCGGUAGCCACCGACGGACGGGAACUUUGCCUAUUGGUCCGCCUCGUUCAACGAGCAGGAAAAUGGUUCUCUUCGUCCCUUGCCCUUGGUAUCGAUGUUGUUGUCGACAUAACUGACAGGCUAUCCUCUGACAUGUCUUGCUUACAUGAUCGUGCGAGACAUUACCGCCCUUCCUACUUUUAACCCACAUGGUGGGCCCAUAACCCACAGUUCCACCAGGAUCGAAACCUGACUCUCCUGUACACCCCCUGUUCCCAAAGUUAUUCCUCCUGCAUGGACUCGUACAUAAUUCAUGAGCCACCUUCCGAUGGGAUCAUCAAUUCUGGCAAUGAAAACAAUAAUUAUUCCGUUGCUUGAAACCCCUUUCACCUUCUGACUAGGCAUUGAACGAUUGCUUGGCUACCUGAAACUUCUUGUUGGACCUUCCAACUUUACUCUCGAUGUGUUCUAUUUGUUCAACUCGAGAGGUACUCAUAUGCUCAUUCAUGGGUUAAUCCCAGGUUAUUACCCUUAUAGCAUUCUAUCGUUUUCGAUCUACCCCGUUACCUAUUCGUAAAUACGAUGAAGAUCCCGAAGAAAAGAUGCCGACUUCAUCAUAAGGACCUGAAGCAGAGAAAUGAAGACAUCAAUGUAUUGGACCGGUUCUAUUCGAGAAGAGCAAGCCAGAAUGAGAAGACCCGCUAGAUUCGUAACCGAACCUUCCCCCCCUUUCACUACCUCUUAAAUCUCGGGACGAGAUUUCUUGUAGUGGAGGAGAUUUGUGACGCCUGGGUAAUUAAACUACAGUAACCCUCUACUAAGGAUGCCACGUCACCUCGGUUACUGUUGAUAAUCUCUCGUUAGUUCAAAAACCGAUUCAAAUUCAAAUUCAAAAUCAAGUAAACAAUAAAAGUUUUCAAGUAUUAAAACUAAAAUGUUCGGAGUGAGCCAAAUAAUGCAUAGGUAAUUAUGGUGGAGAAACCACACCUUUAUAAAUUUUUAAAUACCAUAAGAUGAAUAAAACAGCAGUAAAAACAAUAAUUUAAAUACCUUUGGUAAUUAAUAAAAUAUCAAACUAAUUUAUUUGAGGACUAGACUUUUUGUGACUAUGGGCUAAGUUGAAAUACUAAUUUAUAUUGCUACGUGUAUAUUUUACUAAAACUAAAAUUAAUAAGAAACAAAACUAAAACAGAAAAGGUAACAUAAAUAAAAAAAGAAAAAGGCAAAACCGAAAAUAAAACAAGAGAAAAGGAAAACCCCCCUCCCCUGGGCCAAGGCCCAGCUGGCCAGGCCAGGCCGGCCCACUCCCCACGUCGCCUCCUCCUCUAUUCACAGAGGGGGACGUGGGCAGAGCCGAUGCCCGCCACGGCACCGGCCGACGCCGUGGCGGCCAUCCGGCCGGCGACCCCAGCCUACAAGACCCCGGUGCCCCUCUCUAAACCUAGCCGGACCCCCACUCCCCCUCCUCGCGCCCCCAUCUCCCUCCCCUCGUCUUCCCCGCGGCGACCCGACGCCGUUGCCCGAAGCUGCUGCGCCGCGUCGCCAUCGUUGUCGUGCAUGUUGCCAUCGGCCACCUUCGUCGUCCGUUGGCGUCCGGGAGGUUCACCGUCGUCCCCUACGUCGUCUACGCACCACCGUUCGAGCCCGGGGCCACUACAUCGAGCGGAUCGAACUCUUCUUCAACCUUCGUCCACCGGCGCGCCUCCGUCGACUCCGUCGUCGUCCUGUGCUCCGGGCCCUCACCGAGCCUUUCGUGCGCUCCCCGGUGAGCUCCCGCUCGAAAGCCCUCUCCCUAGUUCUCGAAUCCGUGUCCGUAGCCGCCGUUCCCGUCGCGGCCAAAGCUCAUCGCCGCCGGCCAUGUCGUCGCAAAGCUCACAGCUGCUGUCGCUCGCACCUGUGCUUGGUCUCGAGCUCCUUGAGCUCCCAUGAAGACAACGCGCCCGUCCGCUCACGCCAUGGCCGCCCUCGACCCUUGUGCUCCCCUGCAUCCCCGCGCACAGUCUGGCCGCACACCUACAGCCACCCGUGCGGCAGCCCGUGCGGCGGCUGCGCCUACUGCUGUGCGCGCUUGUAUCUGUCGCUGCCGUGGCCCCUAUUGCUCCUGCCGCUGUUGUUUGACACUGAAUCCUGCUGCUUCCUUCUUCAGUUAGGCUAGGUGUCGAUUUAUUCAGUUUCGUCAGUAUAAGCAUGCACCGUACAUGCAAGUCUUUGUUUUGUGCAUGUAGUAGCUAGUGUCGCGGUGUUAGCUCCCGUGGGAUAGUGUGGCCAUUAGCUCAAACGUGGCUGGUAGAUUAGGAAGGAUCUCUUGCUGUAACGACAUGGCGCUGCAGUUAGUAGCACGCAACACAAAGUACUCUCUCACAGUUCUUCAGUUACAGAGCGUCGAGAGAGUGCGAGGACACCAGCAGCAACUACAACUGCCUCUGCCGCUCGCGCCAUGCCCUACGCCCGUCCGUGCGCGCCCGCCUGCAAUGGUCACGCCCGCACCCGCUACGUCCUGGCGCCUGGCCUUCGUGCGCGCCUGCGCACAACCACGCUGGGGCUGGCCUUUGUGCCUCUGCUAGCGGGUCCCCAACCAUCCCAAUUAAGGGGCUAAUCCCCUAUUAGCCCAUAAUACCCUCCUGUUUAGUUUAUUUCGGUUUAACUGAUUAGUUAGUCUAGACCCUAUGACAUGUGAACCCUACUGUAAAUUAAAAUGAUCAGACAAGUUAAAAAUGCUUAAGUCUAUGACACGCGGAACCCAUGCACUAUUCACUGAUUGACCUAGUCAACACCGGUUGUGCUGUUGACUUUGACCUGCCCCCACAUGUCAUUGACUGUGCCUGGCACUACACUAGCUGACGAGUAAUUUUACUUUUUAUUUUCGAAAUAAUAAUGAAUCCAGAAAUUCUAGGAUAUUGUUAAAACUUUAGGAAAUCAUAUAAAAUAAACGUAAGUCGGAUGAAAAUAAUUUGUAUAUGAAAGUUGCUCGGAACGACGAGACGAACCCGGAUACGCAGCCCGUUCGUCCACCACACACCUCUAACAUACCAAACGCGCAACUUUCCCCCUCCGGUUCAUCUGUCCGAAAACACGAAACACCGGGGAUAUUUUCCCGGAUGUUUCCCCCCUUAACCGGUACCACCUCAUACCACGCUAGGGCACCCCUAGCACCGUUACUUGUCUUGUCAUGCACCGCAAUGCUUAUGUUUGCAUUAUAUUUAUUGUUUCUUCCCCCUCUUCUCUCCGGUAGACUACGAGACCGACGCUGCUGCUGCCCAGUUCGACUACGGAGUUGACGACCCCUCUCUCUUGCCAGAGCAACCAGGCAAGCCCCCCCCCCCUUGAUCACCAGAUAUCGCCUAUUCUACUCUAUACUGCUUGCAUUAGAGUAGUGUAGCAUGUUACUGCUUUCAGUUAAUCCUAUACUGCUGCAUAGCCUGUCCUUGCUACUACUGUUGUUACCUUUACCUGCAAUCCUACAUGCUUAGUAUAGGAUGCUAGUAUUUCCAUCUGUGGCCCUACAUUCUUGUCCGUCUGCUGUGCUAUACUAUCGGGCCGUGAUCACUCGGGAGGUGAUCACGGGUAUAUACUAUAUACUUAUACAUGAUACAUGUGGAGACUAAAGUCGGGUCGGCUGGUGGAGCACCCGCGAGUGGAUCUUUGUGGCGGAGCGACAGGGCAGGUUGAGACCGCCUAGGAGAGAGGUGGGCCUGGCCCUGUUCGGCGUUCGCGGAUACUUAACACGCUUAACAAGAUCUUGGUAUUUGAUCUGAGUUGGCUACGAGCCUAUACACACUAACCAACUACGUGGGAAAGAUAUGGGCACUCGGCGUCGUGGUAUCAGCCGAAGCACUUCGUGACGCCAGCGACUGAGUGGCGCGCGCCGGAUUGGAACGUAAGCCUGCUCUUGUAUUAAGGGGGCUAGUUCUGCUUCUGGCCGCGUACGCAACGUGCAGGUGUGCUCAGGGCGAUGGGCCCAGACCCCUGCGCGCUUAGGUUUAGACCGGCGUGCUGGCCUCUCUGUUGAGCCUAGGUGGGGCCGCGACGUGUUGAUCUUCCGCAGUCGGGCAUGACCCAGGAAAGUGUGUCCGGCCAAAUGGGAUCAAGCGUGUUGGGUAAGUUGGUGCACCCCUGCAGGGAAGUUAAUCUAUUCGAAUAGCCGUGAUCUUCGGUAACAGGACGACUUGGAGUUGUACCUUGACCUUAUGACAACUAGAACCGGAUACUUAAUAAAACACACUCUUCCAAGUUCCACAGACAACCCGGUGAUCGCUUUUCUACAGGGCGACGAGGAGAGGAUCGCCGGGUAGGUUUAUGCUAUGCGAUGCUACUUGGAGAUGCUACUUGGAGAUGCUACUUGAAGAUGCUACUUGGAGGACUUCAAUCUACUCUCUUCUACAUGCUGCAAGACGGAGGCUGCCAGAAGCGUAGUCUUCGCUAGGACUAGCUAUCCCCCCUUUUUAUUCUGGCAUUCUGCAGUUCAGUCCACCGAUAUGGCCUCCUUACACAUAUACCCAUGCAUAUGUAGUGUAGUUCCUUGCUUGCGAGUACUUUGGAUGAGUACUCACGGUUGCUUUCUCCCCCCUUUUUUCCCCCUUUCCUUUCUUUCUGGUUGUCGCAACCAGAUGCUGGAGUCCAGGAGCCAGACGCCACCGUCGAUGAUGACCCCUACACCAGAGGUGUCUACUACUACGUGUUGCCCGCUGACGACGACCAGGAGUAGUUUGGAGGAUCCCAGGCAGGAGGCCUGCGCCUCUUUCGAUCUGUAUCCCAGUUUGUGCUAGCCUUCUUAAGGCAAACUUGUUUAACUUAUGUCUGUACUCAGAUAUUGUUGCUUCCGCUGACUCGUCUAUGAUCGAGCACUUGUAUUCGAGCCCUUGAGGCCCCUGGCUUGUAUUAUGAUGCUUGUAUGACUUAUUUAUGUUUUAGAGUUGUGUUGUGAUACCUUCCCGUGAGUCCCUGAUCUUGAUCGUACACAUUUGUGUGCAUGAUUAGUGUACGAUUGAAUCGGGGGCGUCACACAAUCAAUCCGUUGGGCUAUUCCUAUAAGUGUCACAAACAGCCCUAGAGUUCGUACUAGAAUAACACCUUAAGACACAAAUCAACCAAAACCCUAAUGUCACCUAGAUACUCCAAUGUCACCUCAAGUAUCCGUGGGUAUGAUUAUACGAUAUGCAUCACACAAUCUCAAUUCAUCUAUUCAACCAACACAAAGAACCUCAAAGAGUGCCCCAAAGUUCUACCGGAGAAUCACGACGAGAAUGUGUGCCAACCCCUAUGCAUAGGUUCAUGGACGAGAUGGAGCUGCCACUGUUGAAGCCUUGCGGGCGGAACUUGCCCGAGCCAAGGAACAAGCAAGAUUGGGUAAUGCGGCUGCUUUGAAGGUGGCCGAAGAGUUGAGAGCCGAGAAGGCCGCACAUGGCGAGAGCCGGGAUAAGAUGGCCAAUAUGGCUGUAGAAUUAAAAGCCGCCAUAGACCGUUGCCGGGCUCUUGAAAAGGAAAACCAGGCGAAGGCAUCGGACCUUGAGAAGGCUGCUGCAACAGGAAAAGGCCUCCGCUCUGCUAUGAGGGCAAAGAAGGAGGAGCUGCGGGAAGCCGGGGAUAUUGUAGCUGGGAAGUCCUUUAUGCUGUAGAGGAAGUACGGAGAUCCACGGUAUGCCCCUCUGGAUCGGCUGUGGAGUUCGGAGGAUGCGUAUAUGGAUUUGGCGGUGAGCGCUGCCGAUGCGGCCAAGUACUUCCAGAGUCAGACGGGCCGUGAAGUAGACCAGCUAUUUUGGAAACAAUUCCUUUCUCCCGAGCGUCCGCUUUCGUUGACGGGCCAAUUAGCCGAAUGGGCCGAACUAAAUAGGUUGUCCAGACUCUCCAUGAGGUCUGUUGUGGAUCAGCUAUGGCCGGGAAGGUCAAAACCGAGCAGCUAUUUCAGCUUGGUGCAGCAGGUCCUCGACGUGGUGCCGCGCAUAAAUGCGAUGAAGAGGUCGGCGUGCAUAGAAGGCGCACGGAUGGCCUUUGCCCGUGCUAAAGCAUACUGGGCAGAGAUGGAUGCUACCACUGUUGCAGCGCAGGAUUCGGCCAUAGGUCAAAGGGCUGAUGAGCACUACUUUGAGGAAGUUCUUGAGGGUGCUCGUUUGAUAGAGACCUAGUGCUCAAAAAAUAUUAUGUUUGAGUGACAUGUAAUCUCAUUGUAAGCGAAAUGCUUUUAUAAAUUUUUAUAAGGAUACUUUUAUACUUUUGCCUGAAAGUAAUGUGAUGCCUCCUGGGCGGCCGUUUAUGUAUACAUGUGUAUAACCUGAAAGAUUGCAGUCAUCGGCUUCAACCCCCACGCAUAUAAUGCGGAGGUGUUCGCAGAAAUGCGUGUUCACACUUAACCCAACGUCUUGGUCCUAUUAAGGAGGUGAUAGCGGAGCGGUCGAGGCAACUGGACUAUAAUGCUUUAACACUUUCACUUAGCCAUAGGAGUUUGACAGUGGGGCUACUAGAUAGCCCCUGGUGGCUCCGCACUCUCCCGAUCCCGGGGUGCGUAUAUGCCUGGCCGGAAAGCGGCCCUUCGUUAAGGCGGAGGAAUUCUAACAUUCCCAUGGGUCAUCGAGUGGUUGACCAGUCUCACGCUAGAUCAUGACAGUCUGUUUUCGGCUUUCUCUACUAAGGUGCUCGUCCGGAUGAACCAGGGCACAAUCGCAGUAGUUCUCCUGGUGCUACCUUAGCCGGUAAAGCGGAACGUAAGGCACCAAAACAUAGGAGCCGGGCAAACCCAACAUUUGACCAAAGACAAUGAUUCGGAGCUGAUGCAUAUAGGGCCAAACCCGCGACGCCGAACACUCCCUAAGGUAUUCGGUCUUUGUGGUAUAAACCGGGCCUGAAGAAUGGCCUUUGUAAGAAGCCCCUUGUGUCUAGGUACGUGCAUUGUUCUGGCGUGGCCACAUGCCAAGACGUCAGCAUCCUUCUCAACGAUGGAUAUGUAUCAACAAGAGACAGUAAAAAAGGUUUACGCAGGGUCUUAAUCUAAAAAGAAUCCUUGGGGCGGUUCCCUGCUGCACGUCUGCGCCUGUGUCUCCGUUGUGCCAUAUCCUGGACGGGUGUAGCACGAUGAUCAUCUGUAAAAGAGAGGAAUUUAGGUAAAAAGGUUGUCGUGCAAAAGGAUAGUUUUCUAAAGAAACCAUGUAUAAUUCAAGAUAGGAAGAAAUUGCCACUCGUCUGCGCGCGUUGAGCCCCUUGUAUUUUUGAAAAAUAGGGGUGUGACCAUUUAUUCGAUAUGAGUAGUGGCGCUGGACUUGAUUAGUUGUGUCUGAGGUCUUGACGACCUAUUGGAUGCUUUUGAUGGUCCGGGCGCCUUUAGUGUGCGGCUGCCAAGGCAGCCUCACUCUCUUCGGCGCGUAGAGAUCGCUUGAUAUUUCCGUGCACUGAAAUGAUGCCACGUGGACUGGGCAUCUUGAGUGUUAGGGAGGCGUAGUGUGGUAGUGCAUUAAAGCGAGCAAAAGCUUCGCGUCCGAGUAGUGCUUGAUAGCCACUUUGAAACGGAGCGAUGUGGAAAGUUAAAUGCUCGCGACGGAAUUUACCGGGGGAGCCGAAUAUAACUUGUAGUAGGAGGGAGCCCGUACAACGAGCCCCUGGGCCUGGCGUUACUCCUUUAAAGGUAGUAUUGCUAUGGUGAAAUUGUGUUGGGUCUAGUCCCAUCCCGCGGAUUGUAUCCUGGUAUAUUAGGUUUAGGCUACUGCCGCCAUCCAUCAAGACUCGUGUGAAGUGGUAUCCGCCAAUUACUAGGUCUAAUACCAGGGCAGCCCAUCCUGCAUGCCGGAUACUUGAGGAGUAAUCGCGAUGGUCGAAGGUGAUUGGUUGAGACGACCAGUGGCGGGACUUCGCGGGGACAGGCACUUUGCUAUAUUUUUCUGGGAGUGUCGUGUUGUUUUUUCUCUUGAUCACGUGUAACAUGUUUACUGUUUUGAUUUCAGGUGGAAAUUUCUUCUGUUCCCCCUUGUCUUGCGUGGGGGGUUUGUCCUCGUCUUCACUUGGUGUAUCCUCCCCCUUGUGUACGGCGUUAAGCUUGCCGGACCGCUUGAAGACCCAACAUUCUCUAUGGGUAUGAUUAGCAGGUUUGCCAGGGGUACUAUGGAUCUGACACACUUGGUCCGGAAUUUUGUUGAGGCUGGACAGUUCAUCCCUGGUGCCUUUGGGGGACGGCUUUUGAUUUGGCCGAGGGACUUUGAAUCCGGCGUUUACAGCUGUGCCCUUCGUGCUGUCUUCUUUAUUCCGGCGUUUGUUAUUGCUGUUGCGCCGUGAUUUCCCGUUUCCAUCUCUAACUUCAGAUGUACUGGGGUCGCUGGUGCUGCAUCUGGCUAGCCAGCUGUCCUCACCCGUGCAAAAGCGAGUCAUGAGGUUUGUUAAUGCGGCCAUCGUUCUCGGCUUGUUUUGGCCGAGGUGUCUGGCGAGCCAUUCGUCACAGACGCUAUGCUUGAAAGCCGCUAAGGCGUCGGCGUCCGGGCAGUCGACAAUCUGGUUCUUUUUAGUAAGAAACCUAUUCCAAAGCUUUCGGGCUGACUCUCCGGGCUGUUGAGUUAUGUGACUCAGGUCGUCCGCAUCCGGAGGUCGGACAUAAGUCCCUUGAAAGUUUGCCCAAAAGGCGUCUUCGAGCUCUUCCCAACUUCCAAUGGAGCUUUCAGGGAGGCCUUUGAGCCAGUGACGAGCUGGCCCUUUGAGUUUCAGAGGUAAGUACUUGAUGGCAUGGAGAUCAUCCCCUCGAGCCAUAUGGAUAUGAAGGAUAUAGUCCUCAAUCCAGACCCCAGGGUCUGUUGUUCCGUCGUAUGCCUCUAUGUUUACGGGCUUGAAUCCCUCUAGAAAUUCAUGGUCCAGCACCUCAUCGGUGAAACAUAGGGGGUGCGCGGCACCCCUGUAGCUGGGUGUGCCACGUUGUUAGGAUGUUUGUUGUGUUGCAUUGUAUGCUGGGGCGCGCUUGCGUGGUCCAUAGAUGGAUCUUGUUGCACCGUCCUUCGGGUGCGAGCCCUUGCAUGGGUCGCGUGUUGUAUUGUGAGCGGCGUUGAAUGUCGUUCUGUGUUGGUAGAGGGGUCGUCUAUCCGACCAGGUGGCUGUUUUGAUAUUUGGUUGUGGGGGGUCUGAGGCCCCCUCAUCGAAUUCGGGUAGCAGCUUCUGCUUUGGGUAGCUCUUGGAGGGGCGAUUGUCGCCGUACCUUGCUACAGUGUUGAGUAUUUUGCUCCAUCUGAAUUGGAGUGUGUUUUGCGCGGCCUUGAGCCUCUGCUUCUGCUUUUUGAGGCUCCUUGCGGUGGCAACGAGCCUUUUACGGGCAUUCUGCUGCUCCGAGUGCCUGUCCGGCGUUAUGUCGUCCAGACCAUUGUCAUUGAUAGGAUUUGUUUGUUCGGUUUGAUUAUCCGGAUUGCCGUUGUCUAGCAGCGGUUCGCCCUGCUCCAGCGCUGGAUCAAUGUGAUUGCUAUUUCUGCCGAGGCAGGAUUUGGGGCGGCGCUUGCGUCGCCGCUUUGACUGCUUCUCAAGGGAACAAUCCUUCGGUGCGUCCUUCCGCUCCUCGUCGUCAUCUUUGGGUGCGUCCACCGUGUAUACGUCAUAUGAUGAGGUGGCGUUCCAGGGCUCGAUAGGCGCUGGUUCUUCAUAGUCUCCUUCAUCGGCGUCCAUACCAUCAAUGUCAUCGGAGUUGAAGUCGAGCAUGUCGGUUAAAUCGUUGACAGUGGCUACCAAGUGGGUGGUGGGUGGGCUUUGAAUUUCUUCAUCAUCCGAAUCCCAACCUUGCUGACCGUAGUCCGGCCAGGGCUCUCCCGAUAAAGAGAGAGACUUCAGUGACUUCAGGAUAUCGCCGAAAGGCGAGUGCUGACAGACGUCCGCGGCCGUGAGCUCCAUGAUCGGCGCCCAAUCGGAUUCAAUCGACAGGGGCGCGGAGGGUUCGGAAGCGGAGAAUAAUCCGGCUCCAUGGAGUCACGAGUCUUGCGGAGUACGGGGCUGGUGUUCGGCUCAACCGCCGUUAGGAUCACAACCCCCGAGGUGGCGUCCAACCGCCCAUCCUCGAUCAGCGCGGUAGGCUCCGAACUAAGGGUCGGAGCCGAUGCGGAUGCGGCCUCCAGGGUGCUGUUCGGCGGCAGAGCUAGAUCGUGCUCGUCGUGACAGUGCGGCGCGCUCGACAGUGGUCCAAAUCCGUCGAAGAUCAAGUCCCCGCAGAUGUCGGCAGUGUAGUUUAAACUUCCGAAUCUGACCUAACGGCCAGGGGCAUAGCUUUCGAUCUGCACUAGAUGGCCAAGUGAAUUGGCCCGCAGUGCAAAGCCGCCAAAGACGAAGAUUUGUCCGGGGAGGAAGGUCUCACCCUGGACUGCAUCGUCAUUGAUGAUCGUAGGAGCCAUCGGGCCUGACGGUGACGGCAUAGAGGAACUCUCAAUGAAAGCACCAAUGUCGGUGUCAAAACCAACGGAUCUCGGGUAGGGGGUCCCGAACUGUGCGUCUAGGCCGGAUGGUAACAAGAGGCAGGGGACACGAAGUUUUACCCAGGUUCGGGCCCUCUCAAUGGAGGUAAAACCCUACGUCCUGCUUGAUUAAUAUUGAUGAUAUGGGUAUUACAAGAGUUGAUCUACCAUGAGAUCAGAUAGGCUAAACCCUAGAAGCUAGCCUAUGGUAUGAUUGUUGAUGUGUAUGUUGUCCUAUGGACUAAAACCCUCCGGUUUAUAUAGACACCGGAGAGGGUUAGGGUUACAUAAAGUCGGUUACAAUGGUAGGAGAUCUGAUCAUCCGCAUCGCCAAGCUUGCCUUCCACGCCAAGGAAAGUCCCUUCCAGACACGGGACGGAGUCUUCAAUCUUGUAUCUUCAUAGUCCAGGAGUCCGGCUGAAGGUAUAGUCCGGCCAUCCAAACACCCCCUAAUCCAGGACUCCCUCAGGGGUCCUCGGCCCAAUCCAACUGAUCGGGAGACGAUGUGAUGAGUACCCCCUAGUCCAGGACACCGUCAGUAGCCCCCUGAACCGGUCUUCAAGUUAGGGACGCUCCUCGAUUCUUCCGAACUGUUCUUCAUCUUCGGUUGACGGUCUUGAAAACUGGUUCAACAAAUCCUCUCAUCUUCGAUCUUGAGGACCGCCGAAAUGCAUUCGGCGAGUUUACACGUCGGGUAUCCGAGAAGCCCCUUUAAGUUUCCGGCCUUUAUCAAUGCCUUGUUAUUUUUAUGCCACACCUCGGGUUUGAAGUUGUUCCCGGGAGGCAGUGUCCUCUUGCGUCCGAGCUCUAACACCGGACCGCAUUCGAGGUAUCUUUUGCGGCCGAGCACCAAUGCCGGACCGCUUCCGAGCUCCAACGCCGGACUAUUUCCAAGCUCCAACGCCCGACUGUAUCCGAGCUCCAAUGCCGGACUAUAUCCAAGCUCCAACGUCGGACAGUGUCCCAGCUCCAACGCCGGACUAUAUCCGAGGUGUCAUAUCACCUUGGUUCAAAAAAGUUGAAGGAGUUUAGCCGAGCUUAAUGGUGGAAAUGCCCUCUAUGGAGCCAGCCACUAGCACCCGAGCUUUAUGCCGGACUGCUUCCAGGUGGUGCACCACCCCGACUGUGGGCCGAUUUUUUGUCAAUAUUUUUUAUUAUUGCAAUUUAUUCUCUGCCGAGAUACAUGGCCAGUAGCCCUCAAGGUGUGUAUCAGUCUAAAACCCGAGAUGCACCUGAAGGAUGACGUAAGACCGCUGAUCCCAGCAACCGCUGAGACUCGGGUUGAUUUGCAAAAUCGGCCUGAGGAUCAAGUCCUAGCUCGGCAGAAUACUUCGGGACACAAAAAGCGGCGUGCUUAGUCCUCGAGACUCGGGUUGGGUGCGGCCGACCAACCUGAGGAUCAAAAUCUCCUCGGCAACUGUAUUGCACUUAAAAUUUUCUGCAUUGAACAGGCAAUGCAGUAGCCCCCGAGACACUGGUCGGGUGGCAACACCAGAUCAGGGGAUCGAUGUGCCCCUUUAAUAUUUGUAAAUAAUAAGGCCGAAGCCCAGUAGCCCCCGAGCCUUAAUGCGGGCACGAGUGGCCGAAUUAAGGAUCGAUAUCCAUAGUAAAAUCACAAAUUAUGCGUAAUGACUCUAUGUAUCCAAGUACUUUACGUCAUUAAUGCUCGGAUCUGCAUUGUACAAAACUUUGUUGACCGACCAUCGGCUUCCACCUCCUCGGCCAGUAGCCGAGGAGUGUUUGUCCUACUUUAUAAAGCCUUUAUGAGGGCAAAGAUUUACAACAAACAAGGCAAUCUGGCCAUGCGGUUUUAUAAACAAAGGUACGCAGAGAGUUAUAUUACUAUUUAACAGAAGAAAUGUCUUCCAAAGAAAAUAGUCCCACUAUCGGUUCCUUUCUUUGGGUUGUCAUGCUAAGCAUGAUCAUUAAACCUCAGCUCUAAUGUAAGAUCAAAAUAUUGAGGAUUUAGUUUGGGAGGCCAGCUAAUAGCCCCCGGUAGUGUUCGGCGUCAGUCGGGGUCAAGCCGUAAACACUUCGGCCAAUGUUAUGAACGGCCCAUCAUUUAACAUAGUCAUCGGAUCGCUGACCAGUUUACGCUUAUUGUGACAGUCAGUUUUCGGCUUUCUCCACUGAGGUGCUUAACCAUGUGAGCUAGAAGCACAAUCGCAGUGGUUCUCCCUUUGCACGCCUAGCCGAACAAAAGGGAACGUAGGAAGCAAGUGCAGGAGCCGAGCAACCCAACUAUUGACCGAAGACACAAUUUGAAACCGAUGCAUAUAUAGCAAUAUCUGAGAAUGUUUUUGCCGAAUCCCUAAAGGUGUCCGGCGUUGCACUGCGAGACUAAUGCUGGAAAAGCACAAAUAGUUUAGAAGUGCCAAAAACCUUGGAAAACCAAGAAACGUCAGUAAAAACAUGACGUCCGAAGAAUAUCAAGUGUUCGGUGCCAAUCCGAAAGUUGGUCUUAGAAAAAAGAAGUGCUUCUGUCGUGCUUUAACAUGAUACAUCCUAUCUCAAGACUUUGAGCGGGUCAGCCUAUGGCUUCAACCUCCUAUCCCGAGGGCGGAGUACUUCUCAUCAGGCCAGUUUAGCAAACUAAACUCUAGCGGCUUUGAGAGAGAAAUUAGGCUCCUUGGCUAGUGACCGUACACUCGUGUCGAAAAAAGGAGUGAUAAAUAAUAAUAAAAAAACUUUGCAACAACUAAGAAGAAGAACACUUAUUAUAAAAUGGCUCAAAUAAACUUAAGAGCCCCCAAGUGACUUGGGUAGAAGAAUGAUUGCAUGUACCGCAGUACUUAUAUCAUAUCUAUGUUCAACCGAACUUUAAACGCGUCUUAACUGACCGUCAGCUUCUCCCUCUUCGGUCAAGGACCGAAAAGUGUUAUGUACUCCAUCGGUCGAGAAUAUCGACGGUGUUUCCAAUAACCAGGCAAUCAGGCCAUAAGGUUGUAACAGACAAAGCGCGCUCAGGGAACUUAUGCUAUAUUACCGUGAAGUGUAAGAAGCAUCUUCGAAGAAAAUAGUACCCCCACCGAUACCUUUCUUCGGUGCUCAUUGUUAUUAUGAGACUUGUGCAAUAGAUUUUUUGUACUCAUGAGUUCCAUUGUGUGCCGACCAUCAUUGAAAACUAUAAGAGCACUAGCUUUCGGCUUCACCCAGUCUGAGGUCCGGCUCGGGCGACCCGAUCGUGACAAUCGCAGAGGUGCUCCCUUUACUCCCUAGCCGGACAAUCGGGAACGUAGGGGUAAACACAGGAGCGAGGCAACCCAGCUUGCAAAUCGCUUAAGUCAAUAUGGUGCAUAUUAUGGUGUAAUACACGUACAAGGAAUGAAGCCGUACAAGUAUAAUCAUAUGCAAGUGGAAAAGCUUCAUGAAAGAAGCCCCCAAAUGAAUUGGGUAUUUGAAUUUAUGUGUCACAAACAAAGUUUGGACAAGGAAAUUUUUUACAAGCAACUUUUUUCCAAAAAAGUAUAAUGCUUGGUCGAACCGAACACAAGUUAGAAAUUAAAGCUUUGAGCAUGAAAGCGACUUAGCUGGUUAAUGUGUUCGGUAUUGAUGACGCGGUCCGAGCUUGGUGCGGGGCAAGGUUCCAUCCCCCAAGCUGGUCCCAAGGUGGCGGAGCGGAGAGCUCAACACGCCGAAGUGGUGACAUAGCACGAUCAAUGCAGACCGGCAGAGUGACGCCGAAGUCCCGGGAUCAUUUUCAUGUGCACAAAAAAUAGUGCAAACCGGAGAUAAUAGUAAUAAUGAUAAUUAAAAAAUAUUGCAUAAUAAAUAAUUUAUGCAAAGUGAGGAAUAGAAGAAAUAUGGCCUGGCGAAAGUCAAUGUCGAUGCAGGGCGUCGGCGUGAUGUCGUAAAGGUGUGGCAAAGCCUGAAUUCACAGGUCGGUCCGAGCUCCGGAUGCGGUGUUCGCCGGACUAUGUACGGAAACUGAUCGAACCCCCGCGCGACCUCGUUAAUGCGGUCACCAUUUGAUAGACCUGUGUACAUAUCAUGGACAAACCAGAGUAAUGAUUCCUUGGGAAAAAUGAACCCAAACAAGCAAAAAAUACUGAGAUUAAUAGCACCUGGUUUAUUUGUUGUACCAAUCCGAAGGAAGGUGAUUCCCAAAAUUGGGACUCGCUCCGCACACCCAUUGCCUGAUGGGCGAUAAAACGACGGCAUGGCAAUGCUGGUAAAGGUUGACUCGCCGAGGCAAAGCCCUCGGCCCAGCUAACGUGAUGGAGCUGGUCGGCUAGUGACGCCGAAGUGUCUGGAGUAGGUUGAUAAAGAGAUGGCGAAGCCUCCGGUCCAGCCGAGAUGUCGAAGCCUCAACAUCAGCCGAUGAGUCUAAGUAGGUCGGCGUGAUGGACACCAACUUGAAGAAGCAAUAGUGAGGCCCUGUUGAUGCAGGUCGUGACGUGGUCGAUGCCGGCUUGAUGAAGCAACCGUGCGGCGAUGCCGGUAUGCCCGCUCCGUGUAAUCCGUGGGGCGGCGAUGUUGAUGAUGAUUUAUCCUUCACGAUGCCGGACUCUUGUUCGGCUUGCUGAGAUGAUGAUCCAAAGAAGUUGAGCUUGGCUAAAGUGACAACGUGUCUAGCGAAGGUCGGCAGCCGUGGAGUAAUAUUGUCGGACUGGUUUGACACCAGCAUGAUAUUGAAGAUCAUGUUCAAAAGAUCUUAAAGUUAGUGGGAUGUGUUCGGGAACAAAACACAAUACCCCAUACAAAACUUCCUUCAAAAGGGAUGUCCGAAAUCCCGUUCAUAAAAAAGAUGAACUCGGGUCGGAUUCGUUUUCACACAGAAAAUAGAUCCGAAAAGUGAUGCACUAAUCAGAAGGUUCCCGGAGUUUGGACGGUCGGAUCGAGCUGAAAUUUUGAGAGGUGGUGGAUAUAGGAAUUCCGCAGCCGAUCAACGGUUGGAUCUUCCAAAGGACGUCUGAGCUAGAAGCUGGACACCACGCUCUAAACUCAUCCAAAUUCCCAUCCAGAUUUGACAGGGCUCCGGUAUAUCGUGGAUUGCCAGAGAUUCCUCCAUCGGAACUCGACGAAAUUUUCCAGGGUUGUUAUAGACUCAAUUCUGCACAAUUCUACCAAAGCGAUCGUCAAAGUGAUACUCGAGGAGGUGGUGGCAGCAGAUACGAGUUCGCUAUCCAAAAAAAGCACGGUCGCUUGAGGGCAAUGUUGAUGAGCCCCCGAGCUCCAUAGAUGAUUCCUCCGUGAUCUUGAUAAAGAUCGGAGUUGAUGUUUGAUGAAGGCCCUUGUCCGAACAUGGUGAUCUGAACACGGGGCGCAAUUCUUGGUCGAACCAAGGUGACCAGUCGAACUGGUGACGAAGACGCCCGAAGUCGCAGUUGAUCUGCAGGCGAGCUAUCGAUCCUUUUGUCGAUCACACAGCGGAACUCUCAAUGAAAACACCAAUGUCGGUGUCAAAACCGGCGGAUCUCGGGUAGGGGGUCCCGAACUGUGCGUCUAGGCCGGAUGGUAACAGGAGGCAAGGGACACAAGGUUUUACCCAGGUUCGGGCCUUCUUGAUGGAGGUAAAACCCUACGUCCUGCUUGAUUAAUAUUGAUGAUAUGGGUAGUACAAGAGUUGAUCUACCACGAGAUCAUAAAGGCUAAAACCCUAGAAGCUAGCCUAUGGUAUGAUUGUUGUAUAUCUCUAUUGACUAGCCUGGCCUCGGUUUAUAUAAUGCACCAGAGGCCUAGGAUAACAAGAGUCCUAGCCGAAUACGCUGGUGGGGUGGAGUCCUUGUCUUGAUCGCCAAGUCUUUGUGGAAUCUUCCUUGUAUGCGGCAGCUGUCCGAACUGGCCCAUCAGUAUGCGGCCAUGGGGGUCCUCGGCCUAAUCCAACUGAUCGGGAGACGAUGUGAUGAGUACCCCCUAGUCCAGGACACCAUCAACUGGUUUCAGUACUGAAAAACAUAACGACGAUCACCCGACUCACUUCUAUACCACAAAUUUCAGUAUAAAUUUUACUAUUGUGAUUAUUCAUGUAAGUAUUUCAGUAUUAAUUUGAGUACUCAAAAUUAGCAUGACUAACACCUGACUCGGUUCUAUAUCACUAAUUUCAGUACUAAAACUUAGUAUUGUGAUUAUCCACGUUAAUAUUUAAUAUUGAAAAACCGCACCACGAUGACCCGACUCGGUUGUAUAUCACUAAUUUCGGUACUAAAAUUCAGUGUUCUGAUUAUCCACGUUAAUAUUUCAGUACUGAUUUCAAUACUGAACUAGAGCAAUAAGAUGACCCGACUAUGUUCUAUAUCACUCAUUUCGAUACUAAAAUUCAGUAUCGCGAUUAUCCACAUUAAUAUUUCAAUACUGAUUUCAGUACUAAAAUACAAAACGAGAUCACCCGACUCACUUGUAUAUCACUAAUUUUGGUACUAAAAUUCAGUAUUGUGAUUCUUCAUGUUGAUUUUUCAAUACUUAUUUCAAUACUAAAAACAACACUAGGAUGACCUGACUCAGUUUUAUAUCACUAAUUUCGGUAUAAAAUUCAGUAUUGCGAUUAUCUAUUUGAAUAUUUCAGUAUUGAUUUGAGUACUCAAAAACAGCAUGACUAACACGUGCUUCAGUUCUAUAUCACUAAUUUUUGUAUUAAAACUCAGUAUUAUGAUUAUACAUGUUAACAUUUCCGUACUAAUUUCAAUAAUGAAAUACAACACCACGAUGACCCGACUCAGUCGUGUAUCACUAAUUUCAGUAAUGAAAUUCAGUAUUGUGAUUAUCCACAUUAAUAUAUCAAUAUUGAUUUCAGUACUGAAAUACAAAAUGGCGAACACUACACUCAGUUGUAUAUCACUAAUUUUGGUAUUAAAAUUCAGUAUUGCGAUUAUCCACUUAAUAUUUCAAUACUGAUUUCAAGACUUAAAAACAAAAUGAUGUUCACGAGACUUAGCUGUAUAUCACAAAUUUUUUACUAAUAUUCGGUACUGCGAUUAUGCAUGCUAAUACUGCAGUAUUGAUUUCAGUACUGAAAAACAACUGGAUGAACGCAUGACUCAAUUCUAUAUCAUUAAUUUCAGUACUAAAAUAUAGCAUUCAGAUUAACCACGUUAAUAUUUCAAUACUGAAAAACAGCACCAUGAUGUCCCGACUAAGUUGUAGUACUGAAAAAUAAAACGAAAAUCACCCGACUCGUCUCUAUGUAACUAAUUUUGGUAUAAAAUUUAGUAUGGCGGAUAUCCAUGUUAGUAUUUCAGUAUUAGUUUGAGUACUCAAAUAUAGCAUGACUAACACAUGACUCGGUUUUAUAUCACUAAUUUCGAUACUAAAACUCAGUAUUGUGAUUAUCCACUUUAAUAUUUCAAUACUAAUUUUAGUAUAAAAAGCAGCACCCGGAUGACCUGACUCAGUUGUACAUCACUAAUUUUGUUACUAAAAUUCAUUAUUGCGAUUAUUAACUUAAUAUUUCAAUACUGAUUUCAAGACUUAAAAACAAACCAAUGACCACAAGACUUAGGUGUAUAUCACAAAUUUGUUACUAAUAUUCGGUACUACGAUUAUCCAUGUUAAUAUUGAUGUAUUGAUUUCGGUACUGAAAAACAGCUCGACGAAUGCAUGACUCAAUUCUAUAUCACUAAUUUCAGUACUAAAAUAUAGCAUUGAGAUUAACCACGUUAAUAGUUCAAUACUGAUUAACAACACCAUGAUGGCCUAACUGAGUUGUAUAUUACUAAUUUCGGUUAUAAAAUUCAGUAUUGUAAAUAUCCACCUUAAUAUUUAAAUAUUGAUUUCAGUACUGAAAUACAGCACCAAGAUGACCCGACUCUGUUCUAUACCACUCAUUUCGGUACUAAAAUUCAGUAUUGUGAUUAUCCACUUUAAUACUUCAAUACUGGUUUCAGUACUGAAAAACAUAACGACGAUCACCCGACUCACUUCUACACCACAAAUUUCGGUAUAAAUUUUACUAUUGUGAUUAUCCAUGUAAGUAUUUCAGUAUUAAUUUGAGUACUCAAAAAUAGCAUGACUAACACCUGACUCGGUUCUAUAUCACUAAUUUCAGUACUAAAACUUAGUAUUGUGAUUGUCCACGUUAAUAUUUAAUAUUGAAAAACCGCACCACGAUAACCCGACUCGGUUGUAUAUCACUAAUUUCGGUACUAAAAUUCAGUGUUCUGAUUAUCCAUGUUAAUAUUUCAGUACUGAUUUCAAUACUGAACUAGAGCACCAAGAUGACCCGACUAUGUUCUAUAUCACUCAUUUCGGUACUGAAAUUCAGUAUUGCGAUUAUCCACCUUAAUAUUUCAAUACUGAUUUCAGUACUAAAAUACAAAACGAGAUCACCCGACUCACUUGUAUAUCACUAAUUUUGGUACUAAAAUUCACUAUUGUGAUUCUUCACGUUAAUUUUUCAAUACUUAUUUCAAUACUAAAAGCAACACUAGGAUGACCUGACUCGGUUUUAUAUCACUAAUUUCGGUAUAAAAUUCAGUAUUAAGAUUAUCUAUGUGAAUCUUUCAGAAUUGAUUUGAGUACUCAGAAAUAGCAUGACUAACACACGCCUCAGUUCUAUAUAACUAAUUUUGGUAUUAAAUGUCAGUAUUAUGAUUAUACAUGUUAACAUUUCCGUACUGAUUUCAAUACUGAAAUACAGCACCACGAUGACCCGACUCGGUCGUGUAUCACUAAUUUCAGUACUGAAAUUCAGUAUUGUGAUUAUCCACAUUAAUAUAUCAGUAUUGAUUUUAGUACUGAAAUACAAAAUGGCGAUCACCACACUCAGUUGUAUAUCACUAAUUUUGGUAUUAAAAUUCAGUAUUGCGAUUAUCCACUUAAUGUUUCAAUACUGAUUUCAAGACUUAAAAACAAAACGAUGUUCACGAGACUUAGCUGUAUAUCAAUUUUUUUUACUAGUAUUCGAUACUGUGAUUAUGCAUGUUAAUACUGCAGUAUUGAUUUCAGUACUGAAAAACAGCUGGAUGAAUGCAUGACUCAAUUCUAUCUCACUAAUUUCUAUACUAAAAUAUAGCAUUGAGAUUAACCACGUUAAUAUUUCAAUACUGCAAAACAGCACCACGAUGACCCGACUGAGUUGUAUUACUGGAAAAUAAAACGAAAAUCACCCGACUCAUUUAUAUGUAACUAAUUUUGGUAUAAAAUUUAGUAUUGCGGAUAUCCGUGUUAGUAUUUCAGUAUUAGUUUGAGUACUCAAAUAUAGCACGACUAACACCUUACUCGGUUCUAUAUCACUAAUUUCGAUACUAAAACUUAGUAUUGUGAUUAUCCACUUUAAUAUUUCAAUACUGAUUUCAAUACAAAAAACAGCACCAGGAUGACCCGACUCAGUUGUAUAUCACUAAUUUUCUUACUAAAAUUCAGUAUUGCGAUUAGCCACUUUAUAUUUCAAUACUGAUUUGAAGACUUAAAACAAACCAUGUUACUAAAAUUCAGUAUUGCGAUUAUCCACUUUAUAUCACAAGACUUAGGUGUAUAUCACAAUUGUCUUACUAAUAUUCGGUACUACGAUUAUCCAUGUUAAUAUAGUUGUAUUGAUUUCGGUAGUGAAAAACCGCUCGACGAACGCAUGACUCAAUUCUAUAUCACUAAUUUUAGUACUAAAAUAUAGCAUUGAGAUUAACCACAUUAAUAGUUCAAUACUGAAAAACAGCACCACGAUGGCCCGACUGAGUUGUAUAUUACUAAUUUCGGUUCUAAAUUUCAGUAUUGUAAUUAUCCACCUUAAUAUUUAAAUAUUGAUUUUAGUACUGAAAUACAGCACCAAGAUGACCCGACUGUGUUCUAUAGCACUCAUUUCGGUACUAAAAUUCAGUAUUGCGAUUAUCCACUUUAAUACUUCAAUACUGGUUUCAGUAGUGAAAAACAUAACGACGAUCACUCGAUCACUUUUAUACCAUAUAUUUCGGUAUAAAUUUUACUAUUGUGAUUAUCCAUGUAAGUAUUUCAGUAUUAAUUUGAGUACUAAAAAAUAGCAUGACUAACACCUGACUUGGUUCUAUAUCACUAAUUUCAGUACUAAAACUUAGUAUUGUGAUUAUCCACGUUAAUAUUUAAUAUUGAAAAGCCGCACCACGAUGACCCGACUCGGUUCUGUAUCACUAAUUUCGGUAUUAAAAUUCAGUGUUCUGAUUAUCCACGUUAAUAUUUCAGCACUGAUUUCAAUACUGAAAUAGAGCACCAAGAUGACCCGACUAUGUUAUAUAUCACUCAUUUCGGUACUGAAAUUUAGUAUUGCGAUUAUCCACAUUAAUAUUUCAAUACUGAUUUCAGUACUGAAAUACAAAACGACAUCACCCGACUCACUUGUAUAUCACUAAUUUUGGUACUAAAAUUCAGUAUUGUGAUUCUUCACGUUAAUUUUUAAAUACUUAUUUCAAUACUAAAAAUAACACUAGGAUGACCUGACUCAGUUUUAUAUCACUAAUUUCGGUAUAAAAUUCAGUAUUACGAUUAUCUAUGUGAAUAUUUCAGGAUUAAUUUGAGUACUCAAAAAUAGCACGACUAACACGUGCCUCAGUUCUAUAUAACUAAUUUUGGUAUUAAAACUCAGUAUUAUGAUUAUACAUGUAAACAUUUCCGUACUGAUUUGGAUACUGAAAUACAACACCACGAUGACCCGACUCGGUCGUGUAUCACUAACUUCAGUACUGAAAUUCAGUAUUGUGAUUAUCCACAUUAAUAUAUCAAUAUUGAUUUCAGUACGAAAAUACAAAAUGGCGAUCCCUACACUCAGUUGUAUAUCACUAAUUUUGGUAUUAAAAUUCAGUAUUGCGAUUAUCCACUUAAUAUUUCAACACUGAUUUCAAGACUUAAAAGCAAAACGAUGUUCAUGAGACUUAGCUGUAUAUCACAAAUUUGUUACUAAAAUUCGGUACUGCGAUUAUCCAUGUUAAUACUACAGUAUUGAUUUCAGUACUGAAAAACAACUGGAUGAACGCAUGACUCAAUUCUAUAUCACUAAUUUUGGUACUAAAAUAUAGCAUUGAGAUUAACCAUGUUAAUAUUUCAAUACUGAAAAACAGCACCACGAUGACCCGACUGAGUUGUAGUACUGAAAAAUAAAACGAAAAUCACCCGACUCAUUUCUAUGUAACUAAUUUUGGUAUAAAAUUUAGUAUUGCGUAUAUCCAUGUUAGUAUUUCAGUAUUAGUUUGAGUACUCAAAUAUAGCACGACUAACACCUGACUCACUUCUAUAUCACUAAUUUCGAUACUAAAACUCAGUAUUGUGAUUAUCCACUUUAAUAUUUCAAUACUGAUUUCAGUACAAAAAAACAGCACCAGGAUGACCCGACUCAGUUGUAUAUCACUAAUUUUGUUACUAAAACUCAGUAUUACGAUUAUCCACUUAAUAUUUCAAUACUGAUUUCAAGACAUAAAAACAAACCGAUGAUCACAAGAAUUAGGUGUAUAUCACAAAUUUGAUACUAAUAUUCGGUACCACGAUUAUCCAUUUUAAUAUUGCUGUAUUGAUUUCGGUAUAGAAAAACAGCUCGACGAACGCAUGACUCAAUUCUAUAUCACUAAUUUCAGUAUUAAAAUAUAGCAUUGAGAUUAACCAUGUUAAUAGUUCAAUACUUAAAAAACAGCACCACGAUGGCCCGACUGAGUUGUAUAUUUCUAAUUUUGGUUCUAAAAUUCAGUAUUGUAAUUAUCCAUCUUAAUACUUAAAUACUGAUUUUAGUACUGAAAUACAGCACCAAGAUCACCCAACUCUGUUCUAUACCACUCAUUUCGGUACUAAAAUUCAGUAUUGCGCUUAUACACUUUAAUACUUCAAUACUGGUUUCAGUACUGAAAGACAUAACGACGAUCACCCGACUCACUUCUAUACCACAAAUUUCGGUAUAAAUUUUACUAUUGUGAUUAUUCAUGUAAGUAUUUCAGUAUUAAUUUGAGUACUCAAAAUUAGCAUGACUAACACCUGACUAGGUUCUAUAUCACUAAUUUCAGUACUAAAACUUAGUAUUGUGAUUAUCCACAUUAAUAUUUAAUAUUGAAAAACCGCACCACGAUGACCCGACUCGAUUGUAUAUCACUAAUUCGAUACUAAAAUUCAGUGUUCUGAUUAUCCACAUUAAUAUUUCAGUACUGAUUUCAAUACUGAACUAGAGCAAUAAGAUGACCCGACUAUGUUCUAUAUCACUCAUUUCGGUACUGAAAUUCAGUAUUGCGAUUAUCCACAUUAAUAUUUCAUUACUGAUUUCAGUACUAAAAUACAAAACGAGAUCACUCGACUCACUUGUAUAUCACUAAUUUUGGUACUAAAAUUCAGUAUUGUGAUUCUUCACGUUGAUUUUUCAAUACUUAUUUCAAUACUAAAAACAACACUAGGAUGACCUGACUCAGUUUUAUAUCAAUAAUUUCGGUAUAAAAUUCAGUACUGCGAUUAUCUAUUUGAAUAUUUCAGUGUUGAUUUGAGUACUCAAAAAUAGCACGACUAACACGUGCUUCGGUUCUAUAUCACUAAUUUUUGUAUUAAAACUCAGUAUUAUGAUUAUACAUGUUAACAUUUCUGUACUAAUUUCUAUACUGAAAUACAGCACCACGAUGACCCGACUCGGUCUCGUAUCACUAAUUUCAGUAAUGAAAUUCAGUAUUGUGAUUUUCCACAUUAAUAUAUCAAUAUUGAUUUCAGUACUGAAAUACAAAAUGGCGAUCACCACACUCAGUUGUAUAUCACUAAUUUUGGUAUUAAAAUUCAGUAUUGCGAUUAUCCACUUAAUAUUUCAAUAUUGAUUUCCAGACUUAAAAACAAAACGAUGUUCACAAGACUUAGCUGUAUAUCACAAAUUUGUUACUAAUAUUCGGUACUGCGAUUAUCCAUGUUAAUAUAGCAGUAUUGAUUUCAGUACUGAAAAACAACUCGAUGAACGCAUGAAUCAAUUCUAUAUCACUAAUUUCGGUACUAAAAUAUAGCAUUGAGAUUAUCCACGUUAAUAUUUCAAUACUGAAAAUCAGCACCACGAUGACCCAACUGAGUUGUAGUACUGAAAAAUAAAAUGAAAAUCACCCGACUCAUUUCUAUGUAACUAAUUUCGGUAUUAAAUUUAGUAUUGCGGAUAUCCGUGUUAGUAUUUCAGUAUUAGUUUGAGUACUCAAAUAUAGCACGACUUACACCUGACUCAGUUCUAUAUCACUAAUUUUGAUACUAAAACUCAGUAUUGCGAUUAUCCACCUUAAUAUUUUAAUACCGAUUUCAGUACAAAAAACAGCACCAGGAUGACCCGACUCAGUUGUAUAUCACUAAUUUUGUUACUAAAAUUCAGUAUUGUGAUUUUCCACUUAAUAUUUCAAUACUGAUUUCAAGAGUUAAAAACAAAGAAAUGAUCACAAGACUUAGGUGUAUAUCAGAAAUUUGUUACUAAUAUCCGGUACUACGAUUAUCCAUGUUAAUAUUCUUGUAUUGAUUUCGGUACUGAAAAACAGGUCGACGAACGUAUGACUCAAUUCUAUAUCACUAAUUUGAGUACUAAAACAUAGCAUUGAGAUUAACCACGUUAAUAGUUCAAUACUGAAAAACAGCACCACGAUGGCCCGACUGAGUUGUAUAUUAAUAAUUUCGGUACUAAAAUUUAGUAUUGUAAUUAUCCACCUUAAUACUUAAAUAUUGAUUUCAGUACUGAAAUACAGCACAAAGAUGACCCGACUCGUUCUAUACCACUCAUUUCGGUACUAAAAUUCAGUAUUGCGAUUAUCCACUUUAAUACUUCAAUACUGGUUUCAGUAGUGAAAAACAAAAUGACGAUCACCCGACUCACUUCUAUACCACAAAUUUCAGUAUAAAUUUUACUAUUGCGAUUAUCCAUGUAAGUAUUUCAGUAUUAAUUUGAAUACUCAAAAAUAGCAUGACUAACACCUGACUCGGUUAUAUAUCACUAAUUUCAGUACUAAAACUUAGUAUUGUGAUUAUACAUGUUAAUAUUUAAUAUUGGAAAACCGCACCACGAUGACCCGACUCGGUUGUAUAUCACAAAUUUCGGUACUACAAUUCCGUGUUCUGAUUAUCCACGUUAAUAUUUCAGUACUGAUUUCAAUACUGAACUAGAGCACCAAGAUGACCCGACUAUGUUCUAUAUCACUCAUUUCGGUACUGAAAUUUAGUAUUGCGAUUAUCCACCUUAAUAUUUCAAUACUGAUUUCAGUAUUGAAAUACAAAACGAGAUCACCCGACUCACUUGUAUAUCAUUAAUUUUGGUACUAAAAUUCAGUAUUGUGAUUCUUCACGUUAAUUUUUUAAUACUUAUUUCAAUACUAAAAGCAACACUAGGAUGAGCUGACUCUGUUUUAUAUCACUAAUUUCGGUAUAAAAUUCAGUAUUGCGAUUAUCUAUGUGAAUAUUUCAGUAUUGAUUUGAGUACUCAAAAAUAGCACGACUAACACACCUGCCUCAGUUCUAUAUCCCUAAUUUUGGUAUUAAUACUCAAUAUUAUGAUUAUACAUGUUCACAUUUCCGUACUGAUUGCAAUACUGAAAUACAACACCACGAUGACCCGAUUGGUCGUGUAUCACUAAUUUCAGUACUGAAAUUCAGUAUUGUGAUUAUCCACAUUAAUAUAUCAAUAUUGAUUUAGUACUGGAAUACAAAAUGGCGAUCACCACACUCAUUUAUGUAUCACUAAUUUUGGUAUUAAAAUUCAGUAUUGCGAUUAUCCACGUAAUAUUUCAAUACUGAUUUCAAGACUUAAAAACAAAACGAUGUUCACGAUACUUAGCUGUAUAUCACAAAUUUGUUACUAAUAUUCGGUACUGCAAUUAUCCAUGUUAAUACUGUAGUAUUGAUUUCAGUACUGAAAAACAGCUGGAUGAACGCAUGAAUCAAUUCUAUAUCACUAAUUUCGGUACUAAAGUAUAGCAUUGAGAUUAACCAUGUUAAUAUUUCAAUACUGAAAAAUGGCACCACGAUGACCCGACUGAGUUGUAGUGCUGUAAAGUAAAAUGAAAAUCACCUGACUCAUUUCUAUGUAACUUCGAUAUAAAAUUUAGUAAUGCGGAUAUCCGUGUUAUUAUUUCAGUAUUAGUUUGAGUACUCAAAUAUAGCACGACUAACACCUGACUCAGUUCUAUAUCACUAAUUUCGAUACUAAAACUCAGUAUUGCGGUUAUCCACCUUAAUAUUUCAAUACUGAUUUGAGUACAAAAAAACCGCACCAGGAUGACCCGACUCAGUUGUAUAUCACUAAUUUUGUUACUAAAAUUCAGUAUUGCGAUUAUCCACUUAAUAUUUCAAUACUGAUUUCAAGACUUAAAAACAAACCGAUGAUCACAAGACUUAGGUGUAUAUCACAAAUUUGUUACUAAUAUUCGGUACUACGAUUAUCCAUGUUAAUAUUGUUGUAUUGAUUUCCGUACUAAAAAACAGCUCGGCGAACACAUGAUUCAAUUCUAUAUCACUAAUUUCAGUACUAAAAUAUAGCUUUGAGAUUAACCACGUUAAUAGUUCAAUACUGAAAACAGCACCACGAUGGCCCGACUCACUUGUAUAUUACUAAUUUGUGUACUAAAAUUCAGUAUUGCAAUUAUGUACCUUAAUAUUUAAAUAUUGAUUUCAGUACUGAAAUACAGCACCAAGAUGACCCGACUCUGUUCUAUACCACUCAUUUCGGUACUAGAAUUCAGUAUUGCGAUUAUCUAAUUUAAUACUUCAAUACUGGUUUCAGUAUUGAAAAACAAAACAACGAUCACCCGACUCACUUCUAUACCACCAAUUUCGGUAUAAAUUUUACUAUUUCGAUUAUCCAUGUAAGUAUUUCAGUAUUAAUUUGAGUACUCAAAAAUAGCAUGACUAACACGUGACUCGGUUAUAUAUCACUAAUUUCAGUACUAAAAUUUUGUAUUGUGAUUGUCCAUGUUAAUAUUUAAUAUUGAAAAAAUGCACCACGAUGACCCAUCUCGGUUGUAUAUCACUAAUUUUGGUACUAAAAUUUAGUGUUCUGAUUAUCCACGUUAAUAUUUCAAUGAUGAUUUCAAUACUGAACUAGAGCACCAAGAUGAUCCGACUAUGUUCUAUAUCACUCAUUUCGGUACUGAAAUUCAGUAUUGCGAUUAUCCACCUUAAUAUUUCAAUACUAACUUCAGUACUGAAAUACAAAACGAGAUCACCCAACUCACUUGUAUAUCACUAAUUAUGGUACUAAAUUCAGUAUUGUGAUUCUUCGCGUUAAUUUCUCAAUACAUAUUUCAAUACUAAAAACAACACUAGGAUGACCUGACUUAGUUUUAUAUCACUAAUUUCAGUAUAAAAUUCAGUAUUGCGAUUAUCUAGGUGAAUAUUUCAGUAUUGAUUUGAGUACUCAAAAAUAGCACGACUAACACCUGCCUUAGUUCUAUAUCACUAAUUUUGGUAUUAAAACUCAGUAUUAUGAUUAUACAUGUUAACAUUUCCAUACUGAUUUCAAUACUGAAAUACAGCACCACGAUGGUAUCACUAAUUUCAGUACUGAAAUUCAGUAUUGUGAUUAUCCACAUUAAUAUAUUAAUAUUGAUUUUAGUACGGAAAUACAAAAUGAUGAUCACCACACUUAGUUGUGUAUCACUAAUUUUGGUAUUAAAAUUCAGUAUUGCGAUUAUCCCCUUAAUAUUUCAAUACUGAUUUCAAGACUUAAAAACAAAACGAUGUUCACGAGACUUAGCUGUAUAUCACAAAUUUGUUACUAAUAUUCGGUACUGCGAUUAUCCAUGUUAAUACUGCAGUAUUGAUUUCAGUACUAAAAAACAGCUGGAUGAACGCAUGACUCAAUUCUAUAUCACUAAUUUCGAUACUAAAAUAUAGCAUUGAGAUUAACCACGUUAAUAUUUCAAUACUGAAAAACAGCACCACGAUGACCCAACUGAGUUGUAGUACAGAAAAAUAAAACGAAAAUCACCCGACUCAUUUCUAUGUAACUAUUUCGGUAUAAAAUUUAGUAUCGCGGAUAUCCGUGUUAUUAUUUCAGUAUUAGUUUGAGUACUCAAAUAUAGCACGACUAACACCUGACCAGUUCUAUAUCACUAAUUUUGAUACUAAAACUCAGUAUUGCGAUUAUCCACCUUAAUAUUUCAAUACUGAUUUCAGUACAAAAAACAGGACCAGGAUGAUCUGACUCAGUUGUAUAUCACUAAUUUUGUUAUUAAAAUUCAGUAUUGUGAUUAUCCACUUAAUAUUUCAAUACUUAUUUCAAGACUUAAAAACAAACCGAUGAUCACAAGACUUAGGUGUAUAUCACAAAUUUGUUACUAAUAUUCGGUAUUAUGAUUAUCCAUGUUAAUAUUGCUGUAUUGAUUUCAGUACUGAAAAAUAGCUCGAUGAACGCAUUACUCAAUUCUAUAUCACUAAUUUCAGUACUAAAAUAUAGCAUUGAGAUUAACCAUGUUAAUAGUUCAAUACUGAAAAACAGCACCACGAUGGCACGACUGAGUUGUAUAUUACUAAUUUCGGUACUAAAAUUCAGUAUUGUAAUUAUCCACCUUUGAUCACAAGACUUAGGUGUAUAUCACAAAUUUGUUACUAAUAUCGGUAUUGCGAUUAUACAUGUUAAUAUUGUUGUAUUGAUUUCUGUACUGAAAAACAGCUCGACGAACGCAUAACUCAAUUCUAUAUCACUAAUUUCAGUACUAAAAUAUAGCAUUGAGAUUAACCACGUUAAUAGUUCAAUACUGAAAAACAGUACCACGAUGGCCCGACUGAGUUGUAUGUUACUAAUUUCGGUAUUAAAAUUCAGUAUUGUAAUUAUCCACCUUAAUAUUUAAAUAUUGAUUUCAGUACUGAAAUACAGCACCAAGAUGACCUGACUCUGUUCUAUACCACUUAUUUCAGUACUAAAAUUCAGUAUUGUGAUUAUCCACUUUCAUACUUCAAUACUGGUUUCUGUACUAAAAAACAAAACGACGUUCACCCGUCUCACUUCUAUACCACAAAUUUCGGUAUAAAUUUUACUAUUGCGAUUAUCCAUGUUAGUAUUUCAGUAUUAAUUUGAGUACUCAAAAAUAGCAUGACUAACACCUGACUCGGUUCUAUAUCACUAAUUUCAGUACUAAAACUUAGUAUUGUGAUUAUCCAUGUUAAUAUUUAAUAUUGAAAAACUGCACCACGAUGACCCGAUUCGGUUGUAUAUCACUAAUUUCGGUACUAAAAUUUAGUGUUCUGAUUAUCCACGUUAAUAUUUCAGUACUGAUUUCAAUACUGAACUAGAGCACCAAGAUGACCCGACUAUGUUCCAUAUCACUCAUUUCGGUACUGAAAUUCAGUAUUGCGAUUAUCCACCUUAAUAUUUCAUUACUGAUUUCAGUACUGAAAUACAAAACGAGAUCACCCGACUCACUUGUAUAUCACUAAUUUUGGUACUAAAAUUUAGUAUUGUGAUUCUUCACGUUAAUUUUUUAAUACUUAUUUCAAUACUAAAAACAAUACUAGGAUGACCUGACUCAGUUUUAUAUCACUAAUUCCGGUACAAAAUUCAGUAUUGUGAUUAUCUAUGCUAAUAUUUAAGUAUUUAUUUGAGUACUCAAAAAUAGCAUGACUAACACGUGCCUCGGUUCUAUAUCACUAAUUUUGGUAUUAAAACUCGGUAUUAUGAUUAUACAUGUUCACAUUUCGGUACUGAUUUCAAUACUGAAAUACAGCACCACGAUGACCCGACUCGGUCGUGUAUCACUAAUUUCAGUACUAAAAUUCAGUAUUGUGAUUAUCCACAUUAAUAUAUCAAUAUUGAUUUCAGUACUGAAAUACAAAAUGACGAUCACCACACUUAGUUGUAUAUCACCAAGGGAAAGAAGAGCAGCAACACCAAGGGGCGUCACCAAGGGAAAGAAGAGCAACAACACCAAGGGGCGGCAUCAUAACCUGGCAAGUCAAGGGGGCAAUGGUAAGCGCAAAGCUGAUAGUAAUUUGGAUUUUGUGGCUAACACCAAUACGCAGAAUAAGGGUCAGCGUCGCAAGGGAGAGCCACCUCCUCGGUUUGGAGGGCCAAAUUUCAGUCUUGAGGAGCUGAUGAAUCAGCCCCGCCCGAAGCAUUUUACAUGGGAAAAUUCGGCCGCUCCAGAACAAUCAUGGGCUAGACGGUGGCUUGGGUUCCAGCGCUUAUGGUCUGGGUUAUGGUGGUGGCGGUUCAAGUUCCGGUUUUCAAGGCCAAGGCAAUCAGGGUGGUUAUAAUCAACAAUCUGAUCAGGGGAAUCAGCAGUAGCAGCAGUCUGGUUAUCAAAGUAACCCAAAGCAGUUGAAUAGUGGGCAGUACCAUGUUUUCUCCAUGAGUCUGUGUAAGCGGUAUCAAAAGCUCCAUAAAAGGGCAGUAAACGCGGUUGAGCCGGUAAUUCCUCGUUACUUGCGAUGGUCUGAACACCCCAUUCUCUCGAGCCGUGAAGAUCACACGCCCCGGGUUGAUAACCCGGGUCACUUGGCUUUGUUGGUGGCACCUCAGGUUGGAGGAUACAAAUUCCCUAAAGUGCUAAUGGAUGGAGGCUGUAGAAUCAAUAUCCUUUAUUAUGACACUUUUCGUUGCAUGGGAUUAACUGAUAAAAAUCUUAAGCCGUCGAACACUAUUUUUCAUGGAGUGGUGCCUGGUAAAUCAGCAUAUCAUGUGGGAAAAUAUCUUUGGAGGUUGCCUUUGGAGAUGAGUAUGAUUCCAGAUCUGAGACGGUGACCUUCGAAGUCAAGAGCCUUUAUCAUGCUCUGUUUGGAUGGCCGGGUUACGCUAAGUUCAUGGCAAGGCCUUGUUAUGUUUAUUUGCAGCUUAAGAUGCCGGGUCACAAGGGCACCAUCACACUGCAUGGAAGUCACAAGAUAGCCUUGGAAUGUGAAGAAGGCGAUGCUGCUUACGCUGAGUCUGUCUGUGCAACAGAGGAAUUGAAAUUUUACAAGGAUAAUGUUGACCCGACGGAUAUGACAUCCUUGAAGAAGCCAACCACGGGGCAUGACCCCUUGUUGAAGUUUAAGUCGGCAGAUGACACUAAGCUAGUUGACUUCAUUCCUGGCGAUUCAUCCAAGCAGUUCAGCAUCAGUGCUAAUCUGGAUCUGAAAUAGGAAAGUGCGCUCAUCGAGUUCAUCUGUGAGAACUGGGACAUCUUUGCAUAAGCCUUUAGACAUGCCAGCUGUGCCGAGGGAACUCGCUGAGCGCACUCUCAAUAUUGAUCCAAAGUUUAAACCGGUCAAGCAAUUCCUUUCAAUGAAGAGAGGCGCAAGGCUAUUGGUGAAGAAGUCGCCUGGCUCUUGGCGGCUGGGUUUAUCGUUGAAAUUUUUCAUCCUGAGUGGUUGGCUAACCUGGUGCUGGUGCUUACAAAAAACGGCACCUGGCGCAUGUGUGUGGAUUAUACAGACUUAAACAAGGCCUGUUCGGCUGAUCCCUUUGCUCUCCCCCGUAUUGAUCAUAUUAUUGAUGCUACGGUGGGUUGUGAAUGUUUGAGUUUUUUGGAUGCUUAUUCUGGUUAUCAUCAGAUCAAGAUGGCAGUUAAGGACCAGGAGAAGACAGCCUUCAUCACUCCCUUUGGAGCCUUCUGUUAUGUGUCUAUGCCUUUUGGGCUCAAGAAUGCACAGGCGACUUACCAGCGGUGUGUGCAAAAUUGUCUUCAUGAUCAGAUUGGGCGCAAUGUUCAUGCUUAUGUGGAUGAUAUUUCAACAUGGAGUUUCUUCAUGCACUUUUACACCAAUAUGACCUAAACGGCAGUGCCACAAAUAAGUUGCACUAUCAUUAUUUGAAGGAAAUAUUCCCUAGAGGCAAUAAUAAAGUUGUUAUUUAUAUUUCCUUAUAUCAUGAUAAAUGUUUAUUAUUCAUGCUAGAAUUGUAUUAACCGGAAACUUGAUACAUGUGUGAAUACAUAGACAAAACAGAGUGUCUCUAGUAUGCCUCUACUUGACUAGCUAGUUAAUCAAAGAUGGUUAAGUUUCCUAGCCAUAGACAUGUGUUGUCAUUUCAUGAACGGGAUCACAUCAUUAGGGAAUGAUGUGAUGGACAAGACCCAUCCGUUAGAUUAGCAUAAUGAUUGUUUAGUUUUAUUGAUAUUGCUUUCUUCAUGACUUAUACAUGUUCCUUUGACUAUGAGAUUAUGCAACUCCCGAAUACCGGAGGAACACCUUGUGUGCUAUCAAACGUCACAACGUAAUUGGGUGAUUAUAAAUAUGCUCUACAGGUGUCUCCGAUGGUGUUUGUUUAGUUGGCAUAGACCGAGAUUAGGAUUUGUCACUCCGUGUAUCGGAGAGGUAUCUCUGGGCCCUCUCGGUAAUGCACAUCACUAUAAGCCUUGCAAGCAAUGUGACUAAUGAGUUAGUCACAGGAUGAUGCAUUACAGAACGAGUAAAGAGACUUGCCGAUAACGAGAUUGAACAAGGUAUGAUGAUACCGAUGAUCGAAUCUCGGGCAAGUAACAUACCGAUGACAAAGGGAACAACGUAUGUUGUUAUGCGGUUUGACCGAUAAAGAUCUGCGUAGAAUAUGUAGGAGCCAAUAUGAGCAUCCAGGUUCUGCUAUUGGUUAUUGACCGGAGAUGUGUCUCGGGCAUAUCUACAUAGUUCUCGUACCCGUAGGGUCCGCACGCUUAAUGUUCGAUGAUGAUUUGUAUUAUGAGUUAUGUGAUUUGAUGACCGAAGUUUGUUCGGAGUCUCGGAUGAGAUCACGGACAUGAAGAGGAGUAUCGAAGGUCGAGAGGUAAAGAUCGAUAUAUUAGAAGGCUAUAUUCGGACAUCGGAAAGGUUCCGAGUGAUUCGCGUAUUUUUCGGAGUACCUGAGAGUUACGGGAAUUCGUCGAGGGAAGUAGUGGGCCUUAAUGGGCCAUACGGGAAAGGAGAGAAGGGCCUCAGGGGUUGGCCAUGCGCCCCCCCCAUGGCAAGUCCGAAUUGGACUAGGGAGGGGCGGCGCCCCCCUCUCUUUCCUUCUCCCUCUCCUACUCCUUCCCUCUCUCCCCUCUUGGAAAAGGAAGGGGACUCCAACUAGGAUUUGGAAUCCUAGUUGGACUCCCCUAUAGGCGUGCCCCUCCUAGGCUGGCCUCCUCCUCCUCCCUCCUUUAUAUAUGUGGCCAAGGGGGCACCCCAAAGCACAACAGACAAUCUCUUAGCCAUGUGCAGUGCCCCCUCCACAGUUACACACCUCGGUCAUAUCGUCGUAGUGCUUAGGCGAAGCCCUGUGCCGGUAGCUUCAUCAUCACCGUCACCAUGCCGUCAUGCUGACGGAACUCUCCCUUGGCCUCAACUGGAUCAAGAGUACGAGGGACGCCAUCGAGCUGAACGUGUGCUGAACACGGAGGUGUUGUACGUACGGUGCUAGGAUCGGUUGGAUCGUGAAGAUGUACGACUACAUCAACCGCGUUGAUAUAACGCUUCCGCUUUCGGUCUACGAGGGUAUGUGGACACACUCUCCCCACUCGUUGCUAUGCAUCACCUAGAUAGUUCUUGCGUGAUCAAGCAAUUUUUCUGAAAUUACUGCGUUUCCCAACAUUAUUAGCUUUGCAUCUUUUGGCUUCAAUAUUAUAAAUAUGUGUAUCACUACGAUCAAGAUUCAAUAAACCAUUUAUAUUGAGUGUAUGAUCGUAGAAGGUUUCAUUCAUGUAAAUAGAACAACAAUUAUUCUUUGACUUAAAUGAAUAACCGUAUUGCAAUAAACAUGAUCCAAUCAUAUUCAUGCUCAACGCGAACACCAAAUAAUAUUUAUUUUAGGUUCAACACAAAUCCCGAAGGUAAAGGGAGUGUGCGAUGGUGAUCUUAUCAACCUUGGAAUCACUUGCAACACACAUCAUCACCUCGCCCUUAACUAGUCUCUGUUUAUUUUGCAACUCCCAUUUCGAGUUACUACUCUUAGCAAUUGAACCAGUAUCAAAUACCGACUGGUUUCUAUAUACCUUUGUUCACUUUGCCAUCCUUGUUAUCCGCCAAGUAUCUAGGGCAGUUCCACUUCUAGUGACCAUUUCCAUUGUAGUAGAAGCACUCAGUUUCAGGCUUGAGUCUAGCUUUGGGUUUCUCCACGGGAGUGACAACUUGCUUGUCAUUCUUCUUGAAGUUCCCUUUCUAUCCCUUUGUCCUUCACUUGAAACUAGUGGUCUUGUUAACCAUCAAUACUUGAUGAUAUUUCUUGAUUUCUACCUUCGCCGAUUUCAGCAUCGCGAAGAGCUCGGGAAUUACUUUCGUCAUUCCUUGCAUAUUAUAGUUCAUCACGAAGUUCUAGUAACUUGGUGAUAGUGACUAGAGAACUUUGUCAAUUACUAUCUUAUCUGGAAGAUUAACUCCCACUUGAUUCAAGCAAUUGUAGUACCUAGACAAUCUGAGCACAUGCUCACUAGUUGAGCUAUUCUCCUCCAUCUUGUAGGCAAAGUACUGUCAGAGGUCUCAUACCUCUUGACACGGGCAUGAGUAUGAAAUACCAAUUUCAACUCUUGGAACAUCUUAUAUGCUCCGUGGCGUUCAAAACAUUUUUGAAGUCCCGGUUCUAAGCCGUAAAGUAUGAUGCACUAAACUAUCAAGUAGUCAUCAUACCGAGCUUGUCAAACGUUCAUAACGUCUGCAUCUGCUCCUGCAAUAGGUCUGUCAACUAGCGGUGCAUCAAGGACAUAAUUCUUCUGUGCAGCAAUGAGGAUAAUCCUCAGAUCAUAGACCAAGUCCGCUUCAUUGCUACUAUCAUCUUUCAACUUAUUUUUCACUAGGAACAUAUCAAAAAUAAACAGGGAGCUACAUCGCGAGCUAUUGAUCUACAGCAUAGUUAUGCAAAUACUAUCAGGACUAAGUUCAUGAUAAAUUAAAGUUCAAUUAAUCAUAUUACUUAGGAACUCCCACUUAGAUAGACAUCCCUCUAGUCAUCUAAAUGAUCACAUGAUCCAUAUCAACUAAACCAUGUCCGAUCAUCACGUGAGAUGGAGUAGUUUUCAAUGGUGAACAUCACUAUGUUGAUCAUAUCUACUAUAUGAUUCACGUUCAACCUUUCGGUCUCAGUGUUCCGAGGCCAUAUCUGCAUAUGCUAGGCUCGUCAAGUUUAACCCGAGUAUUCUGCGUGUGCAAAACUGGCUUGCACCCGUUGUAUGUGAACGUAGAGCUUAUCACACCCGAUCAUCAUGUGGUGUCUCGGCACGACGAACUGUCGCAACGGUGCAUACUCAGGGAGAACACUUAUACCUUGAAAUUUAGUGAGAGAUCAUCUUAUAAUGCCACCGCCGAACUAAGAAAAAUAAGAUGCAUAAAGGAUAAACAUGACAUGCAAUCAAUAUAAGUGAUAUGAUAUGGCCAUCAUCUUCUUGUGCCUUUGAUCUCCAUCUCCAAAGCACCGUCAUGAUCACCAUCGUCACCGGCUUGACACCUUGAUCUCCAUCGAAGCAUCGUUGUCAUCUUGCCAACUAUUGCUUCUACGACUAUCGCUACCGCUUAGUGAUAAAGUAAAGCAAUUACAUGGCGAUUGCAUUUCAUACAAUAAAGCGACAACCAUAAGGCUCCUGCCAGUUGCCAAUAACUUUUACAAAACAUGAUCAUCUCAUACAACAAUUUAUAUAGAAUCACGUCUUGACCAUAUCACAUCACAGCAAGCCUUGCAAAAACAAGUUAGACGUCCUCUACUUUGUUGUUGCAAGUUUUACAUGGCUGCUAAGGGCUUCUAGCAAGAACCGUUCUUACCUAGGCAUCAAAACCACAAUGAUUUUUCGUCAAGUGUGAUGUUUUAACCUUCAACAAGGACCGGGCGUAGUCACACUCGAUUCAACUAAAAUUGGAGAAACAGACACCCACUCGCCACCUGUGUGCGAAGCACGGCGGUAGAACCAGUCUCAUGAACGCGGUCAUGUAAUGUCGGUCUGGACCGCUUCAUCCAACAAUACCGCCGAAUCAAAGUAUGACAUGCUGGUAAGCAGUGUGACUAUUAUCUCCCACAACUCUUUGUGCUCUAUUCGUGCAUAUAACAUCUACGCAUAGACCUGGCUCGGAUGCCACUGUUGGGGAACGCAGUAAUUUCAAAAAUAUUCCUACGAUCACGCAAGAUCUAUCUUGGUGAUGCAUAGCAACGAGCGAGGAGAGUGUGUCCAUGUACCCCGUAGACCGAAAGCGGAAGCAUUAUAUCAACGCGGUUGAUGUAGUCAUACGUCUUCAUGAUCCAACCGAUCAAGUACCGAACGCACGGCACCUUCGCGAUCUGCACACGUUCAUCUCGGUGACGUCUCUCGAACUCUAGAUCCAGCUGAGGCCGAGGGAGAGUUCCGAAGCACGACGGCGUGGUGACGGUGAUGAUGAAGUUACGGCGCAGGGCUUCGCCUAAGCACUAUGACGAUAUGACCGAGGUGGAAAACUGUGGAAGGGGGCACCUCACACGGCUAAAGAUCAACUUUGAUGUGUUCUAGGGUGCCCCCCUCCCCCCAUAUAUAAAGGAGGGAGGGGAGGCCGGCCGGCCACAAGGGGCGCGCCAAGGGGAGAGGAAUCCUACUCCUAGUAGGAGUAGGUUUCCCCCUUUCCUAGUCCAACUAGGAGGAGAAGGAAGGAGAGGGAGAGGGAGAGGGAAAGAGGGGUCAGGCCCCCUCCCCUAGUCCUAUUCGUAAUCCCCAUGGGGGGGCGUGCCACCUCCUGGGGCGGCCCUCUCUCUCUCCCCUCAAGGNNNNNNNNNNNNNNNNNNNNNNNNNNNNNNNNNNNNNNNNNNNNNNNNNNNNNNNNNNNNNNNNNNNNNNNNNNNNNNNNNNNNNNNNNNNNNNNNNNNNNNNNNNNNNNNNNNNNNNNNNNNNNNNNNNNNNNNNNNNNNNNNNNNNNNNNNNNNNNNNNNNNNNNNNNNNNNNNNNNNNNNNNNNNNNNNNNNNNNNNNNNNNNNNNNNNNNNNNNNNNNNNNNNNNNNNNNNNNNNNNNNNNNNNNNNNNNNNNNNNNNNNNNNNNNNNNNNNNNNNNNNNNNNNNNNNNNNNNNNNNNNNNNNNNCCUCUGGCACUCCAGUUUUAUCCGAAACUCUCCGGAACACUUUCGGUGUCUGAACAACAUGGUCCAAUAUAUCAAUCUUUAUUUCUCGACCAUUUCGAGACUCCUCGUCAUGUCCGUGAUCUCAUCCGGAACUCCGAACUACCUUCGGCAUCAGAACUACCUUCGAACGUUAAGCGUGCGGACCCUACGGGUUCGAGAACUAUGUAGAGAUGACCGAGAAUCAUCUCUGGUCAAUAACCAAUAGCGGAACCUGGAUGGUCAUAUUGGCUCCUACAUAUUCUACGGAGAUCUUUAUCGGUCAAACCGCAUAACAACAUACGUUGUUCCCUUUGUCAUCGAUAUGUUACUUGCCCGAGAUUCGAUCGUCGGUAUCAUCAUACCUAGUUCAAUCUCAUUACCGGCAAGUCUCUUUACUCUUUCCGUAAUGCAUCAUUCCGCAACUAACUCAUUAGUCACAUUGCUUGCAAGGCUUAUAGUGAUGUGCAUUACCGAGAGGGCCCAGAGAUACCACUCUGAUACACGGAGUGACAAAUCCUAAUCUCGAUCUAUGCCAACCCAACAAACACCUUCUGAGACACUUGUAGAGCAUCUUUAUAAUCACCCAGUUACGUUGUGACGUUUGAUAGCACACAAGGUGUUCCUCCGGUAUUCGGGAGUUGCAUAAUCUCAUAGUCUGAGGAACAUGUAUAAGUCAUGAAGAAAGCAGUAGCGAUGAAACCGAAACGAUCAUAAUGCUAAGCUAACGAAUGGGUCUUGUCCAUCACAUCAUUCUCUAAUGAUGUGAUCCCGUUCAUCAAAUGACAACACAUGUCUAUGGCUAGGAAACUUAACCAUCUUUGAUUAACGAGCUAGUCAAGUAGAGGCAUACUAGGGACACUCUGUUUGUCUAUGUAUUCACACAUGUAUUAAGUUUCCGGUUAAUACAAUUCUAGAAUGAAUAAUAAACAUUUAUCAUGAAAUAAAGAAAUAAAUAAUAAAUUUAUUAUUGCCUCUAGGGCAUAUUUUCUUCAUCUUCGUGAGGGAAGUUCAGAUUGAGAGGGGAUGUUCAACUGUAUGUUGUUGUGAUCUAGGAGGCUAUUAGUAUUUGUACUCAUCUCCUAUAACAACUUCUGUAAUCUGUGCCCUAGCUGCACCCAUAUAUAAACAUCCCAAGGCCACCGUAUCGCUUGUGUCGAUCCAAUCUCUCUUUCUCUCGUUUCACAUAAGGUACUGCAGUUUUGAGUGACAAGUUAAGUCCUUAUGUACCAAGGAGCAAUAAACCAAGCCGAUUUUAUAAAGGGACAAGUAAAGAAAAGGUGCAGCUCAUCUUCUUGCACUGCACACCUACAACAAACCUUUUGGAUAUGUUUUGAGUAUCGCCCCGCUCUGUCUCCUGUCGGAAGAGCCUUCCGAAGCAAUCGCCAUGUGAAAGUCCGAAUCCUUGGAAUGAUCUCCUUGCAUUUCCAAACCUGUUUCAGUAGCUGGAUCAUGUCCUGAGAGAGUAUUUCUGGCUGCUCUUCCUGUCCUUUAUCAUACAUAACCUGCAAACAAGCAUGAUAUGCAGAUUUUGCGUUUGCAGUUGCCAUCUUGGCCCAGCUUCCAACAAAGAAAAGCUUGGUCCUCUUCAUUGAUAGUUUGCUUUAUAAUAAGAGUUGCACUAGGGGCGAAAACUGAGUUGAUUAGUUCUUCAUACCAUACUUUUUGAUUAGGCAGCCAAAGAUCUUUUAACAAGAGCUGGGUAAUUGAAACCUUGCGGCUGGAUAAUUAAGUCCUCAUAGAUAGUAAACCAAGAAGCGUACCAAGGCGUGCUUCAGAUGGAAAUGUUGCCUUGGGUAAGCUAAGGCAGAUUUAAGAGUGUUACGAUUAAAAAACAUUUAGUUGAAUUGUAUAAACCAUAACAUUAAAAAAGAAACUGGAAUAAGGUAAGCCAGGUGCUUUUUUAACAUAGUACAAUCAAAAUCGUUCACAUACAUGAGCAUACACUCACAUGUAUGAACACACGCAUGCUCACCCUACCUCUAUGAGCAUCUUCGAGGGACAGAGCCGACAUAGUAUCUUGAGAUUUUUAUGAAGUCACCAUGGGUGCCUCGAACAUCUCCUCCCACUAAAUAAACAUCAUCAGAAAUCUGAAAUAAAUCCAGCAAUAAUACGAGCACCAAUGUCAAGUAUAGGACUUGAACCCUGGUAGGUAGGGGAUACUUCCGUCCUCCUAACCAUCCAACCACAGGUUGGCUCGCAGGCGAGUGCGUCGUUACUAGACACUUGGCUUAUAGAGUCCACCAUCAAGGAGUCGUCAACUGGGGUGUAGAUGAACAUGUGGCAGGGACGUUGGUCCUGUGGGGCCUUACCAUGACGACUUCCUGACUGUCUACUAAAACAAGUUUGGCGUAGCUUCAAUGAGGGAGGGGUGAUGACGGCGUCGUGCCUGUGUCUCGCUUCAGUGUUUAUAGUCGUUGCUAGGCGGUCUACACACGUGGGUGUAAUUUUUGUUAUUUUUUAAUUCUUUACUGUCCUGGCAUGAUGAAUAGAUCGGAAGUUUUUUUCUCCAAAAACACUAAAAAGCACCCAUUAAUGAGUGUUGUCGCAUGUCUAGCUGGUCCACGCACAUUUCCCACUAUCACACGCCCUUUCCCGUCGGAGCGCACCUUUCCCAGCGCCCUUACCCGGGGAAGCACAACUAUAUAAACCGACACUCUCUUUGUUUUUGUGAUACGUGUGACACAUAUCUACAAAUUGGUAGUGUUCAUGCCACUUAUACCAUUUUGACAUAGUUUGGCACAAUUUUAUAUUAAUUUAUUGCACUAACUAAUUAAUCCGGUACCCAACGUAAGUUGGGUUUUUUAUUUAUGUUUUAGGACUUUUCAAAAACCAUCUUUUUAGGGACAAAAGUAUUGAAAAAAAAUAUUUUGAAUGUCUCCAUCGGGAAGGAGACGACUGAAGAGCCGGUAGAGGAGGGCCCAUGUGGGCCCCACACGGCCCUGGCUCGCGGUAUCAACAAAAAAAUGCCGUAAGGGAGAUCCCGACGGCUUCCAUGCAUAGCCAACAAGUGAAAGUCGACAGUGAGCAGGGCACAAUCAUGCACUGAAGGUCGACACUGCUGCCUCGAUGCAAUGUUGCUCUUGAGCCUGCUGCUAGGGGUGAGCGGGGAUGGUGAGUAGAUGAGCAUCGAGGGGUGCAUCAUAGUUGGGUGGACCUCGGAGGUGGAGAAGGAUUUUGAAGUUAGGUUUUUGUGAGUUGGGCACCAUUAGGUUGGCGGGAUUUAGAAGUUAGGUAUACGACAGCUUCAUGCAUCUGUUGGUCGCUGAUAAUGUGCGCACUCUGUGCGGGGCCGGUUUAUGUGCUUUUUAUCGUUCUCUAGUUUUCUCGUCGUUCGAUUGAGUUUUUUGUUGGUUUUGAUUGGGAUUUUCUUCUGUGUUUUCAAGUUUUUCCUUCAUUUUUCUGUUUCUUCAUGAUUUUCUUUGGUUUAUCUGCUUUCUUCUUUUUUCAUCGGUUUUCUUUGCACUUUCUCGGUUUGCAUUGAUUUUUUUCGUUCCAUUCUUUUUUCUUCAGUUUUCUUUGUUNNNNNNNNNNNNNNNNNNNNNNNNNNNNNNNNNNNNNNNNNNNNNNNNNNNNNNNNNNNNNNNNNNNNNNNNNNNNNNNNNNNNNNNNNNNNNNNNNNNNNNNNNNNNNNNNNNNNNNNNNNNNNNNNNNNNNNNNNNNNNNNNNNNNNNNNNNNNNNNNNNNNNNNNNNNNNNNNNNNNNNNNNNNNNNNNNNNNNNNNNNNNNNNNNNNNNNNNNNNNNNNNNNNNNNNNNNNNNNNNNNNNNNNNNNNNNNNNNNNNNNNNNNNNNNNNNNNNNNNNNNNNNNNNNNNNNNNNNNNNNNNNNNNNNNNNNNNNNNNNNNNNNNNNNNNNNNNNNNNNNNNNNNNNNNNNNNNNNNNNNNNNNNNNNNNNNNNNNNNNNNNNNNNNNNNNNNNNNNNNNNNNNNNNNNNNNNNNNNUUUCUUUCGCGGUAUUCUUCUUUUUUCUUGUUUCAUUCUCUGUUUUCAUUCUUUUAUCACCAGUUUCAUUGUUGUUUUUGUCUUUUUGUUUCUUUUGUCAAAUUAGUCCCUAAAAACGAUCGUGUUUUCCUCGCUCUUUUUGUAUAGAACAGGAAUAUUUAUUUACACACGUUUAAUUUUUUUCAAAUACAUGAACCAUUUUUGUGUACAUCUGAAAUAUCUUUCUAGCCGUUGAAUAUUUUUUGAAAUACCUGAUAUACUUCUUUUUCAAACACAUAUUUGGAUGUCAACUAUUUACAUACACACUCAACCUUUUCGUAUACAUCAGAAAUAUUAUUAUAUACACAUUUAACUUUUUCCUCAAUACAUGAUCAAUAUUUUUGAAAUAUUAUCUUUUUGUGUCUACCUUUUUUGAAAUAUUAUAUUUUUGUGUCUACCUUUUUUAUACGUAUACAUGCUUAACAUUUUCCAAUCAGAUAAUUAAAAAAUUUAAACUUAUAAUUUUUUUAUCUCCUUUUUGCAUAAACAUUGUGCAAUUUUUCUAUACAUUAGGAACAUUGUUUUUAUGCAACUUUAAAAAUCUCAAAUACAUGAUUUGCAUUUUAUCAAAAACAAUUAUGUCUGAAUUUUGCCAGACACAUUAUAUAUUUUUUAUAAAUCAGGAAUAUUUUUAUAUACACAUUUAACAUUUUCCAAAUACGUGAUUAACAUUCUUCAAAAAUAUUUUUAGUCUACUUUUCAUAUAAACAUUUCACAUUUUUGUAUACAUCAAAAAUAUAUUUGUAUAUAAACAUAUAACAUUUUUUAAAAUACAUGAAUUAAGUUUUUCAUAUAUAUGUAUUGAUGUCUACUUUUUCAUCCGCAUUGUACAUUUUGCGUACACAUUAGAACAUUUCUAUACAAGUUUAACAUUUUCUGAAUACAUGAUUAACAUUCUCAAUUAUGUAUAGAAAUUGAUUUUAAUAAUAGAUAUAACUAGAAUAUUUCUAAAUUCAAGCAAAUAAAACAAUUAAGAGAAAAAGAAAUGUAAAAAUGUGAAAAAAGGGAAGAAGAAAAGCGUUGAAGGUCUGUGCUCUGCACUGGGCCUGUUCAUUCUCGAGCGCUUGUAGAGGCUAGCGCCAAGAGCAGCUAUAAUCGGACUCUUCCAAUUGACCGGACAACCGCAGGACCACUGACCGAACAAAAAAAGUGCUCCCAGUUUGAAUUUUUGUGCGGGUUUUUUCGUGAACAAAAAGUUCAUCAAAACCUAUUAACAUGGGAUCUUGUUUCAAAGCUCUCGAUGUGAGAAAUCCGAUGGUGAAAACAGUUCGAGAUUUGGAUGCACGAUUUAAGAGAUAAAAUGUUUAAAAUAAACAAAUCUAUGAAAAAAAAAAGGGAAACUCCCCGGCUGCCACAAGUGGCGCGCAUGCAGUGCGCCACUUUCUCGCAUCCUGGGGUGGAAGUGAUCUUAGGAAGGUGUACACUUCAAUUAGUGAUUUUGGGUGAUUGAGCGCUCGCACGUUCGGGAGGCUCAUUCGUUCGGGAGCGUCAGUUAGUCGGUUUUCUUCUGUUUUUUGCUUUUCUUUUUCUUCCCUUUUUACAUUAUUUUUUGGUUUUUUGCAGUUUUUUGUAGUUUUUUGUUUUCUUUGCAGUUUCACCGGGUUUCUUCAUUUUUUAAUUGUUUUCCCUGUUCUUUUUUCUAUGAUUUCUUUGGCUAUUUCUUUCUUUUGGGUAUUUUCCUUUUUUUCUUUGGGUUUUUAUUUCUUUUCUGAUUUUCUUCGUCUCUUUGAACGUUUCUACUUGUUCGUUUUUUCUCCUUUCCCCCCUUCAUUUUUAUGUUUCUUUCUCGCAUUUUACAGGUCUUUUGCUUUUCUUUCUCCCUUUUUUCUUCACUGUUCUGUUUCUUCUUUUUCUUUUUCUGUUUUAUGAAUUUUAUUUAUUUCCCUUGGUACAUUUCUAGUAUACAUCAGGAACUUUUAUAUACACAUGAAACAUUUUCUAAAUACUCCCUCCGUUCCAAAAUAUAGUGCUUCCUCUAUUUUUAUGCUUCAAUUUUGAUCAUAAAUUUAACCAACGAGACAGACUGCGGCGGGAGCAAAAGUUACACCAGUGAAUUCGUAUUCAAAAGAAGUUUUCAAUUAUAUAAUUGUUUCUCCCGCUGUAGUCGGUCUCGUUGGUUAAGUUUAUCAUCAAAGUUGAACCUCGGGAAGCACGGAUGCACUAUAUUUUGGAAUGGAGGGAGUACAUGGUUAACAUUUUGGAAAACAUAUUUUUUAUGUCUACUUUUUGCAUAAAAAUGUUUAACAAAUUAUACACAUCAGGAACAUUUUUAACGUGCACAUUUAACAUUUUGCAAAUACAUGAUUAACAAUUUCUCAAACAUAUAUUUUUGGUAUCUACUUUUUUCAUAAACAUAAUCCAUUACUUUGUAUACAUCUAGAACAUUUUUAUUUUCUAAAUACGGGAUUAACAGUUUUUCAAACAUACAUUUAUUAUGCCCACUUCUUUUUAUAUACAUUGUACAUUUUUGUAUACAUCAGGAAUGUUUUAUGUAUACAUGUUUAACAUUUUACAAACACAUUGUGCAUUUUUUUGUAUAAAUAGGGAAUAUUUUUUAUAUACAUGUUUAACAUUUUGCUAAUGCAUGAUUAACAUUUUUAAAACGUAUAGGUUUUGGUGCCCUAUUUUUUAUAUAUACAUUGAACAGUUUUUAUGCAUUUUUAGUAUACAUCAGAAACAUUGUUUUACACAUUUAGCAUUUUUCGAAUGCAUGAUUAACAUUGUCUAAAAAAUAUAUGUAAAUUUGUUUUUUGUAAUACAGUCUGCCAGUCCAAAAAAUUGUCUUUGAUUUAUUACAACUUUGUACCAAUUUAUACUAAAUCAAAUACAUUUAUUUGGGACGAAGUGAGUAUGCAGAUAAUAUUUUGGAAUAAGAAAAAAAAUCUUAAAAGAAAAAAAUGUGAAAUAAAACAGUAAAAAAACAAGCGCUUUUGAAGCAUUUUGCCUCGUGGGCGCUAGGCGCGCCCUUGCAAAACGGAAAGCCUGGCCCAGGGAAGCCUGGUCCAUGCUCUCAGGUUUACUUCAGAGGCCUGGGACGUACAGUAGUACUCGGGAUGUUGUGCUCGGCUCGGGCAUGCAGUCCGUCGAGCGUCUAGGUGCUCUGUACCUAGCACCGCAAUCCACUCAACCCUCUCCGUCGCUCGGCGCCGCGCCGCCUGCCGUGAGCAGGAGCACGCCACGACACGCGACGCCAAAGCUGGCACGCACCUUUCCCAUGGGCCGGUAAGCACGACCGCGAGACGUGGCGUCCCGCCUCCCCGCUGGCACGCAGCUCUCCUCCACGUAGCCGCGCCACGGCGCCACGUACAGCGCCGCGCGCGCUACAAAUACGGUGCCUCAACCUCCAGUUCCCAGCACAGCCACACACAGAGCCAGUGACACAGAGAUAGUUCAACCAUGGCGACCAGAGGCAGAGCAACCAUCCCUCUCCUCUUCCUCCUGGGCACAAGCCUUCUCUUCGCCGCGGCUGUUUCGGCCUCCCAUGACGAGGAGGAGGACAGGCGCGGUGGGCGCUCGCUUCAGCGGUGCGUGCAGCGGUGCCAGCAGGACCGGCCGCGGUACUCUCAUGCCCGGUGCGUGCAGGAGUGCCGGGACGACCAGCAGCAGCACGGAAGGCACGAGCAGGAGGAGCAGGGCCGCGGGCAUGGCCGGCACGGCGAGGGGGAGCGUGAGGAGGAGCAGGGCCGUGGCCGUGGGCGGCGCGGCCAGGGAGAGCGUGAGGAGGAGCAGGGCCGUGGACGUGGGCGGCGCGGCGAGGGAGAGCGUGAUGAGGAGCACGGGGAUGGCCGGCGGCCGUACGUGUUCGGCCCGCGCAGCUUCCGCCGCAUCAUCCGGAGCGACCACGGGUUCGUCAAGGCCCUUCGCCCGUUCGACGAAGUGUCCAGGCUCCUCCGGGGCAUCAGGAACUACCGUGUCGCCAUCAUGGAGGUGAACCCGCGCGCGUUCGUCGUGCCGGGACUCACGGACGCAGACGGCGUCGGCUACGUCGCUCAAGGUACUGUCCAUCUUGUACACGCACUGUUGCAUGCAGCAUGCAUCUGCCAGAGUGCCGAUCGAUGAUAAUUAACGUGCGCAUGCAUGCAUGCAGGCGAGGGGGUGCUGACGGUGAUCGAGAACGGCGAGAAGCGGUCCUACACCGUCAGGCAAGGCGAUGUGAUCGUGGCGCCGGCGGGGUCCAUCAUGCACCUGGCCAACACCGACGGCCGGAGGAAGCUGGUCAUCGCCAAGAUUCUCCACACCAUCUCCGUCCCCGGCAAGUUCCAGGUAAUUAAGAAGUUGAUGCCGCUCGAAUCCCCCAUGUAGAUAUCCUGGCCGACAAUGCACUGACUGGCUGACUGACACGUGGAUACCCCAUGCAGUAUUUCUCGGCCAAGCCUCUCCUCGCUAGUUUGAGCAAACGCGUGCUCACAGCGGCGUUAAAGGUACGUACCAACUUACAUGCAUGCACGAAUUAAUAGAUAAAUUUCUCUUGUUUCUUCACUCAAUCCAUUUACACAAUUACAUCCAUGGACAUGGACGUGAACGUGCAGACCUCGGAUGAGCGGCUGGGUAGUCUCUUGGGCAGCCGCCAAGGCAAGGAGGAGGAGGAGAAGUCCAUCUCCAUCGUCCGCGCGUCAGAGGAGCAGCUCCGCGAGCUGCGUCGCCAGGCGUCCGAGGGUGACCAGGGCCACCACUGGCCUCUCCCCCCGUUCCGCGGCGACUCGCGCGACACCUUCAACCUCCUGGAGCAGCGCCCCAAGAUCGCCAACCGCCAUGGCCGCCUCUACGAGGCCGACGCCCGUAGCUUCCACGCCCUCGCCCAACACGACGUCCGCGUCGCCGUGGCCAACAUCACGCCGGUACGUCACCACGCUUAAUAAUUAGGCUCCUCGUCUCGUCGACCGGCGAUGGCACUUGAUAUCGUGAUUUGUCACUCAACUGUUGCUUACACGCAUGCAUGUGUCGAUCUGCAGGGUUCUAUGACCGCGCCCUACCUGAACACCCAGUCGUUCAAGCUCGCCGUCGUGCUGGAAGGCGAGGGCGAGGUGGAGAUCGUCUGCCCGCACCUCGGCCGCGACAGCGAGCGCCGCGAGCAAGAGCACGGCAAGGGCAGGUGGAGGAGCGAGGAAGAGGAGGACGACCGGCGGCAGCAACGCCGACGCGGGUCCGGCUCCGAGUCGGAGGAGGAGCAGGACCAGCAGAGGUACGAGACGGUCCGCGCGCGGGUGUCGCGCGGCUCGGCGUUCGUGGUGCCCCCCGGCCACCCGGUGGUGGAGAUCGCCUCGUCCCGCGGCAGCAGCAACCUCCAGGUGGUGUGCUUCGAGAUCAACGCCGAGAGGAACGAGCGGGUGUGGCUCGCCGGGAGGAACAACGUGAUCGCCAAGCUGGACGACCCCGCCCAGGAGCUCGCCUUCGGCAGGCCCGCGAGGGAGGUGCAGGAGGUGUUCCGCGCCAAGGAUCAGCAGGACGAGGGCUUCGUCGCCGGACCCGAGCAGCAGCAGGAGCAUGAGCGCGGGGACCGCCGCCGUGGUGACCGCGGGCGCGGCGACGAAGCCGUGGAGGCGUUCCUGAGGAUGGCAACCGCCGCGCUCUGAGGCGGCAAGGCCGCUGUUGUUAAGUGAAUGUGUGAGCUGGAGCCCGUGCCAUUUGAGAGCUGAACUUGUAUGUGUGUGUAAGUUUGUCAGUACGCGGGAGUAGCAUAAAUAAGUCGUGGCACGGGCUCAGUACGAUGAUGUAAGUUGCGUACCUACCUUCUACCAAGGCAUGCAUGCCCAACAUAAAUAAACACAAGGGCGUUGCGCCUCUUUUUCAGUAUUUUCCUGUACUUUAGUUACAUGCAAAUCAUCUGAAAAAUGAAUUUUCCGGCACUUUAGUUACAUGCAAAUCAUCUGAAAAAUGAUUUUUCCUCCACUUAUUUACAUGCAAAUCAUCUGAAAAAUGAAUUUUCCUCCACUUUAGUUACAUGCAAAUCAUCUGAAAGAAGAAUUUGUGUCGUGUCUCUCAGAGAACCAAAAAAAAUUAACUUUCUCUUCCUCGACAGGCAUGGGUUUACUUGUAGUGAGGUAUGGAUUUGGUUUCGCGAGAGGCAUAUUCGUCUCUCUUUCGGAAAAGAGAAAAAAAAAUGACUGUUCAAUUUUUUCGUCAAUUUUUUGUUAAGAAAGUACGUCAAUAGUUUUAAACUAUUAAAGAUCUUGAUGUGAGAAAAGAGAAAAAGAAAAAAUGACUUUUCAAUUUUUUCGUCAAUUUUUUGUUAAGAAAGUACGUCAAUAGUUUUAAACUAUUAAAGAUCUUGAUGUGAGAAAUCGGAAGAUGAAAACGGUGUUUUAAAGAUCUCGACGUUAGGAAUCAAAACGGUCCGGUCCGAAAUUUGACACACGGUUCGAGAGAUUGAACAUCUUAAAUAAAAGUUUUCGGGUAGAUUGAACAUUUUAAAUAAAAGCUUUCGGGUUAUGACAAGGAGCGCACAUGCGCUGUGCUAUUUGUGGCAUUCUGAGAUGCUAUUUGUGGCAUUCUAAGGAGCGCACAUACAGUGUGCUAUUUGUGGCAUUCUGAGAUGUGGGAGAGAACUUUGCAAAGAUUACUUUUUAAUUAGUGCCUAUGGCGAGAAGUGUGUGGGGCGAAGCUAUAUCUCGCUUUUAGCGAGCUGCAUGGGAGCAUAGCCUCAAGCGCGAGAUGGUUAGGGCGGCCCAGGGUCCUUAGUUUUUCUCCUCUGUUUUUUCAUUCAUUUUUUAUAUCUUCCAAAAGAAUCUAAUAUAUAUAUAUAUAUAAUAUAUAUAUAUAUAUAUAUAUAUAUAUAUUACAAAACUAAAGUUUACUUAAAAAUUCAGAACAUUGAAUUUUAAAAUACUAAGUUUUGUAAAUUAUGUUGUUACCGCAGUUUUAGGAAGUGUAGAUAACUUAAGAAAAACUGUCUCUUAUAAUGAAAAAAUGUCCUGUGUUUUAGAAAAAAUGUAUGCGAUAAUUUUUAAAUGUGCAUACAAUGUAAAAAAAUGCGUGCCUAACGUAAAGUCCAGACGGUAUGUAACACUCCAAAGAAAAAAAAUUCUGGCAAUUGAAGGAACGUCCGUGACAAUUAAAAUAAAUGUUUACACAACUGAAAAACAAUUCUCGCAUAGUUCAGAAAAAGUACUUCCAUUAAAAAAAUGUACAUGAUGUUUAUAAUGAAGAAAACCAAAGUAUAAUGAAGAAAGGAAUUAUAACGAAGAAAAAAAGGUUGUAGGUUCUUCUUUGACGCCUGCAGCUCAACCGUUACGAGCACACAGAAGCACCUCUGAAAGAGCACACGAACGCGCCAUCACAUGAAUGAAAAGCAAAGAAAACCGAAGAAAAAGAAGAAAACCAAGAAAAAAACAAAGUAUAUAAUGAAGAAAAAAAGGUUGUGGGUUCUUCGUGGACGCCUACGGUUCAACCGUUAUUAGCACAGAGAAGCACCUCGGAAGAUUCACAUGUACAUGGUGUUUUUAAAAAUAUUCACUAGUUUCCAAAAAAUUGUCCAUGAAAUCUCAAAAUUGUUUAUACAAUGUAAAAGAAUUUUUUGUACAGUUUGAAAAAUGAUUUUGUCAUUCAAAAAAUGCGUAACGUAUUUGUAAAAUGUUACCAUGUAUUGGAAAAAGUGUUCAAACCAUGUAUUUUAAAGAAAUGUAUGUUACUAGCACAGAGAAGCACCUCUGAAAAAGCACAUGAACUCGCCAUGACAUGAUUGCAGACACCCAAACCAGAAGCGAGCAAGCAUGGCAGGCCAGCAGAUGGACAGACAUGGGUGCAUUUCCCUGAGCGAGCGCAUGUUGAUGUUGGCAUGGCACCAACAUACGUACUCUGAUUCAACGGAUCUCAAGAAGCCGGGUAGAACACACACACACACACACACACACACACCAGUACAGAGUACACCACUCAUCACACUGACCAUCAUGACCAGUGCCCCCUCCAUAUCCCCCUCAUCCAUGCAGCUACGCUACCCGGACAGGGGCACGCACGCAUCCACACACGGCCCCGGCCGUGGCCGGAGACCGGAUGGCACAUGCCAAUAUGCCAUCAUCCGUCCCUUACGUGGGUACGUACACGCAUGGCGCGUCCCAUCGAUCUCGCCCACUCGAGCUCGAUCGAUUCUCCUAGCUAGCUAGCUUCCCGCGCGCUCGAUUUCGACCGGGGCAUGCAGAUGCCCGAGCUGACCAAAACCAUCAUGCGGGCGCCUUUUGCCUGAGGCGCUCGUCAAUCAUGUCGCUCCGGCGUCGGCCUCGGCCACCGCCCCGAGAAGGGAGAAAAGCCGCGGUAGCCUCUCCCGUCGUCAUCACGAGCCGUGCCCCUGCCGGCUGCCGUGCGCGGUCACCCCCGACCCCGAGCGCCCUGCCUACACAACAGCUUACUAAUUCUCUCUGACCACGGGCGGCCCCGGCGAUCAGUGUCGGCACGACCGACACAGUGGUACGGAGAAACUAAUAAAACUGCUAUCCCUAGUAGUACUAGAAAAGGACUUGAGAGAAGACUUGCGCGCGUGGUUUGACCUUGGGACAAAGGAGCAAACAACAAUACGUUGGCUUCACUGCUGCUGAGUGCUGACUUGCAUAUGCUCAGGCUGGCACACAGCGCAGUAGCAUGUGUUUGGCCUGCCAAAACGCAGGACUAUCAGGCUAUCAGCUAGUAAUCCAUUCGGUUCCGUCUGUUUACAGGCAUAUGCAUGCUACUGUACAUGCAGCUAUGAUCUGUCACAGAAUUAUCGAUCGACGAUGGCAGAGCCGCAGAGGACGACGGUAGCGCCGGGCUGCCUGUGCACAUUUUAAACGGCAGCUGUUGGGAAUUCACCUUCUGCAUGCAAACUCCACAAACGGUCCUGGUUAACUCUUUGCAUUGUUUUCGUCUAGAUAGAUAGGUUAGGCCUAAGUUGAGAUUCGGAGCGAUCUAUUCGCCCUGCACCAACAUGUUGGAGAUGCCUAUGCAUGCACCCUAUGGCGACAGUGACAACGCUAUCAUUCAUGCCACCUUUGCAAAACUGAAACGUGCAUGGAUAUUUUCCAUACGUGACAGCAACACUGAUAUUUUCCAACUCCCCGUACACGCAUACCUUUACCACGAGUCACAGCGCGGACAAAGAACGAAGAUGUAAACUGAAAAGAACUAGACAACUAGUGGUACGCUAAUUGCACGUCGAGAACCACUGCUCGAUCACCAUCGGUCUAUCUUGUUCGAUCACAGUGGUAAAUCUGACAACUCCAUCCCACAAAGACUUUCUCGACCCUUAACGGAAAUCAAGUCAUCAGCUGUUGUGCGCAGGCAGGACGAUGUGGCCGAUCGGUUUCCCGUCGAUCAAACAGUGUGAUGUGAUAGUGGUGGUGGUGCUGCAGGGGCGCUUGUCCCUCGACACGGCGAGUUCCACGGAGUGAGCGUGAUGAUGGUCUCGACAUGGAAGAACAUGCAUGCAUUGCGCUCGAUUUGACGCGCGUGCUGGAGCUGAUGCGAGGAAUUUUUUUUUCAAAACUAUGACGCAUUUUAUAGCAAAUUCGGAAACUAUAGCAAAGAGUGGAGAAAAAUAAAAACUAGCACCCUGUCGGCCACGCGUGGGCUGAAAAGAGUGUUUUCGGCCUCCCUUUGGCUGAAAUGGACUUUUCGGCCUUGCCUCGGUCGAAAAGGUGCGUACCUAGGCCGAAAAGACCUUUUUGGUCAGGUGUAGGCCGAAAAGUCCCUUGGACCCACCUUUUCACGUUAAUGGUUGACCGAAGUAGCAUGGCUUCACCAUUGCCCAUCUUAGACAUUGAAAAAAUAUAUUUUCGUGCAACCCUUUCCCCUCAAUAUUUUCCCGCCAACUCUUUCCCGCCACCCGUUUCCCGCCAACCCCUUCCCGUCAUAUGUUCCUGCCACCUGUUUCCCGCCAACCCCUUCUCGCCAUAUGCUUCCGCCAACCCUUUCCCGCCAUACCACAGUAUACCAUUAAAUAAAUUCUUCAUAUUUUAAAAAAAAUCAUGUUUCUCAAAAUCUUUUCACUUUUUUUAAAUGUCUUCACAAUUCAGAAAAACAUUAACCAUAUAUCACAAAAAUAUUCAAUGUGUCUUCAGAAAAUUUUCAGCUUAUACUACAAAAAUGCUCGGUGUAUAUUUAUAAAUUGUUCAUCACUUAAAAAAUCAAUAAAUGUUUGGAAUUCUAAAAUUUUGUUCAUGUGUUCAAUAAAUUUUCACGUUUUAAAAGUUUGUUCGUAUUUCAGAAAAUUCUAUUUUAAAUAAUUAUUUAAAUUGCUAAAGUAAAAUUGUUCACCUUUUUUGAAAACCUUGAUUUUUAUAAAGAAAGGGAUCGGUUGUUGUACAUUAGCCAGAUGCUAUCCUAUUUGGCUGGUAACACACAUACCCAGCGUGAGGUCAGGUUUUUGACUCCAUCGCUUGCGCUUUUAUCCCAUUUUUUUUAAAUAUGAAGAAUUUAUUUAAUGGUAUACUGUGGUAUGGCGGGAAAGGGUUGGCGGAAAUAUAUGGCGGGAGGGGUUGGCGGGAAACGGGUGGCAGGAACAUAUGGCGGGAAGGGGUUGGCGGGAAACGGAUGGCGAAAAAUAGUUGACGGAAAAAUAUUGAGGGGAAAGGGUUGCGCGAAAAUAUAUAUUUCAGUGUCUAAGAUGGACAAUGGUUGCACAAUAUUUAUAUACCAAAAUAAAAAAAUCACUUCGGCCUAACACAAGCCGAAGAGUGGAGCCAUGCAACUUCGGUCAACCAUUAACGUGAAAAGGUGGGCCCAAAGGACUUUUCGGCCUACUCCUGAUCAAAAAGGACUUUUCGGCCUACUCAUGACAAAAAGAACUUUUCGGCCUACUCCUGACCAAAAAGGUCUUUUCGGCCCAGGUGCGCACAUUUUCGGCCAAGGCAAGGCCGAAAAGUCCAUUUCGUCCAAAGGGAGGCCGAAAACACCCUUCUCGGCCCACGCGUGGCCGACGGGGUGCUACUUUUGAUUUUUCUUCACUCUUUGCUAUACUUUCCGAAUUUGCUAUAAAAUACGUCAUAGUUUUGAAAAAAAAUCAUGCGAGGAGUCUGCUAGCUCAUUAAGCAGCGUGCUGCUCAUGUUCUCCAGUCACUUCCAUCAAGUGAUGCAAUGGAACGUGACUGGUUAAAUAUAGAGUGCGUGUGUUUGUUCAUUUCAGAUUGAAGGUGUGAUCCUCUGCGAUCGUUCCGUGGUUUAGAUUGCCCGCUGUUUCGUGAUAAUCUCACAAGCUUAAUUAGACCUACCCCUUGGUUGAUAGAUCACAGUACAUUGCUCUUGUCCAGGAGAUCUCUGCUAUGAUGAGAGGGGACAGACAGAUUAAGGUUAAGGCGAUAAAGAGGGAGUGUAAUCUUGUUAGCCAUGAACUAGCUAAGAUUGGGAGGGUUGAGGUUAAGACGGCCGUCUGGUUACGGUCGGGUCUUGGGAGGGUUGUAAAACUGUGUGCACUGGAUCAUACUGAUCCGAGUUAAUUAAUACAGAACCCUUUCCCCCCGCAAAAAAAAAAAAAUAGACCACACAAGACCAUUAAUGUUUCUCGCGACUACGAAAGGUUUGUGUAUCUUAUUUAUAGAUAGAAGAGAAUGACAAUCACAGAGAGGACAGGGAGAGGAAUACACCAGAACACACACUUGUCUAGUCUAAACUCAAGCUAGGGAAGGCAAGGAGACGAGACCCAGAGCGGCUAGGCCGCGUCACGACAACUGGGGUCCUCGGCCCGGCCCACCUGGUCGGGAGUCGACAUGGUAAGUACCCCUAUUUCCAGGACACUGACAGCGUGUGUGUGUGUGUGCGCGCUCAUUGUGUUAGUUGCGUGUAUUUUUCUUUUCCCCAAGGGUAUGUGUAUGGAUAGAAACAAGCGGGCGGGUGAUUAGAUUUGGGCAUGAAUAUGGAGGAUCACUUAUUUGGCCAAAGUGGUCAUAUUCCCUUGUUUACCAGGUAAUGAUGCCUUGUAGCAUGUACCUUAGAAAAUAGGAAGAAAGGAAAAUCCAAUGAAAGCUUAGGAAAAAAUGCAUAAACAACAUUUGCAAAUAUAGAAAAGGGAUAACACAAUAGUAAUUCAAAAUAAUAAUUUAAAACCAAACAUAAUAAGCAACAAUUAUAGAAAUUGAGAAAACCCACCAAUAAUUUGUAAACAUUUAAAAUGUAUGAGCAUUCAUGAUUUGAAAGUUCAUAAACCAUUGUAAGUUCACAAACAAGCAGUAGGGCAGGCCUAGGCGGGCCAAUAUGAAGAAGAUGGCACAAAAAAAUUGCCCUAACGGCCUUGUUUGACCCACAAUCUACACAAUUUUCUACCUGAGUUAAGCGAGCCAUGACCAGGUUUUGUCCAUGUGUACCUCCACCACAGCUGGGGCAUGCACACAUAGAGCUUAUGGAGUACACUAGAAACCGACUUAUGUAACUAUAUACUUACAUAGGUGUGCACUCACAUACUCCUUCCGUCUCAAAAUAAGUGCAAAGUUAGUACAAACUUAAGUCACUUAUUUUGGGACGCAUGAGUACAUUGUUGUGUCAUAAUGCCACCUAGCUAGUUUGGUCAUGGUCCGACAUUGCUUGAACCCCUUAUCUUUUAAGAAUAUGUCUAAAUUUGAAUUAUGUUUUGUCAUCGACCGUUUUGGUUUUAUAUUUACCUUUCAUGAUUAUAUUUUUAGUUUUUUUGCUACCUAGUCUAUAGCAUGGGUAAAACCAUCCCCACAUCAUGGACCAUACCACCUGACUCGGCUCAUCUUGAAAUGUCAAGGGUCAAACUUGCAUCAUUUGGAUUUUUGGAUCAAAACUAAACCAAGUAACAGUUGAGGGUCCAAGAGCUUUUUUUUAAGUUUUGGGCAACAAUGACUAUCUGCAUGAUAGAAUAUGUAAAUUCUCAUGUUUUAGUUUUUUGAUAUAAAAAAUAGGAUGCACUUAUGAUGCGGAUCCAAGAGGCAAUAAAUCUUUCAUUUUUUUAAUGAAAAAUGGUGUGUUGCCUUUAAAAUGCAGUGCACAUGAUGUAAGCUAAUCUCUAGCUAGCUACUCCCACGGUCCCAUAAUGUAAGACGUACGCAGGGAGUACUGCUAGGAUAUAGUCAGAAAUAUUACAUCACGCAUGCUUUACAAUUUAUGCUUUUUAAGGAAGCACUUGCUGAGCCGGAGACUUCCUGUUAAGCAAUUCGUCGUACGUGCCCAAUGUAGUCAUGCUUACCAGAUCAUCAAUAUGCAAACCACGUAUGAUAUAUCUUGUCAGCUCUUAAUUUGAACAAAGUUUUUGAUUUGCCAAGGUCACCGUUGAGUAUUAGUAGUAGCUAGUAGUGGUUUGUAACGAGUGGAAGCCUACAAAGGCAACCAACACUACUAGCUAAUUGGGCAGCUACAACUAAUAGGAUAUGGGCCUGAUGUCUUUUACACUUUUAAUGAUUAGAUUACGAGAAGUUUAUGCAAAGCACCAACCAAUUUGGGCCGCUCUACCCGAGCUUGGUCUGCUUUACCCCAGAGGCAUGAGUAUAUGACGCCUUUUGCAGGCCAAAUUGAGAAUAAUUUAUAGGAAAUAUAUUACUUCCUCUGUUCACUUUUAUAAGGCCUUAAAGAUAUUUUAAACAAUGUGCAAAACAGCCCAUUUUUAGUUGUCUGAAACGACUUACAAAAAUGAACGGAGGGAGUAAUUAAGAUAUGUUACGUACAACAUAAGAAUGGCCAAGAGGAACUACUAGUUUUUAGUUUUUUCCUACGAAAACAAAUGUGUAGAAUGAAAACAAAGUUUGCAUUUCAGUUCCAUCGCUGAUGCGGAUAAUUCUUGUUUCUCAAACAUUCGAAGCAUCAAAUCAGUAACCUAUCUCUCCUCCACUCCUCACAAUCAGUCAUCAUGCCUGUGAUACCAGUGGCCUUGUGGCACAACAGAGUUUCCGUCUAGUUGCCGGGCCUACACCUAUCAAUCAUGUUUGCAUGCAGUGCAGCACAUCACAACAACUUGGCCAUACUUGUCAUCCUUGUGUUGCCCAAGAUUCUCUAUGCAUGCAUGGACAUGCAUGCGAGGUAGAUGAGUCGGGCAGGUUGCUCAGAAGAACUCAGCCCUAGCUUAUAGUGCAUGGCUCUCCUGGAACAAGCAAUUAAAGACCAGUUAGUCCAUGGUGCAUGAUAAAUGGUAAUCAGACGAGCAAUGAUGGAAUUGAGAAAGGAACGAGCAACGUGAUGCUUACUCUGCAGCAGAAACAGAAAGCGAGUGGCAACCAGAAGGAGCCCACAGUUUGACCUAAGGACACCUGAAGGAAGUCCCACUUCCAAAUAUAUGAACCUCCCGAGUGAUGCUCCUACCACUCGAGUGAAUUCUCUUUUUCCUAAUAUACUGAGUAUGCAUGGCAUGGCCAGUGCAUAUGUGACAUAUGUCACACAAAAAUACUGUCACAACAGUAGAUUCCACGACCCUCGGGCGGUCACCCGGUGGACCUCGUGCGGCCGUGCAACCAAAGCCGAUCCGGUUGAUGCAUGCACGAACGGACCACAUCAAAGGCGUGCGCGCACUCGCGAACGUGCAAAGACAUCUCCAAUGGGGGUGUACUACGUGGAUGGUCCAAGGUGUUUCAAAAUGCACACUCGUGAGUGAGAUGAACCCCACAGAUGAACCCCACAUCUAGGUACACCGUAGGGCCCUCCUCUCCUCUUGGGGUGAGUGGAAGCUUCACUAGAACACAUAAUACAUACAGGUGUGCAAUGCAUCUGCUGUUGCAAUGUUGUUGUAGCCCCAGCUCGAUCUAUGUUGCGCAAUGUUGCUACAAUAUGUGUAUACAUGGGGUGCCUUUGGUCCCCUUGUUUGUGGGUUGAGCCACUGGUAGCUUGUUUAGUAUAGUUCAUCCUGAUCAUGCGCUUGCUUACUUUGCGCCUCGCCAUGCAAUGUAAUGCGGCUCUUGAGAAAGAGCCGAUGGUUCCUUCACAUUCGUUCGUUGGCGCCCUCUGCAAUUUUCUGAUGGGUCGCCGGCCGUGCGCCGAACUGCCCGUUCUAGUGCGCCGAUCGACGAGCGACGACGGAGUGGGCUGGCGCGGUACGCGAGGUGGACGGCCGCACGUACGGCGCGCCGGUACUGAUGCGAGGCGUUUUGCGCAUUAGUUUAGUCGUUGGUUUUUGUAAAGAUGACAGCGCAACGGAUAGCAACGACGACGUAAGGUUGUGAGUUGUGACACGGAUGGCCAGCAUGCAUGUUUGCAGCGGCUCGUGGGAUGGGGUCGUGCGUACGUAGACGGUAGACCUGCACAACGUGUCGAGGUUCCGUGCCAUCCCCGACCGGGACGGAUACCACAGGGUGGCAACAGCAUGCUGAUCGGCCACUAGCUAGACUCUGUGAAACGCGUGUGACCACUCAUCCUUAAGUUCCGUCGUUACGUACAAUGCAAACCUGCGGCCGGCCGGCCGGCCAGAUCACAGGGCCUGCCCAGAGCACAGAGUGAACCUUGUAUAACACUCCUGUACUAAAGAAGGUGAUAUGUUGUGUAGGGCUGCUGAUCUGUAAGGUUGGGGCAGCGAUGCCACCGUCAGCCGCUGUCCCGGGAAACGUCGGCAGCCGAGCAUGGCCGCACCGCGCGCGUGUGCUCGGGGGGAAACAUUCCGUGGCCAUGUAGGUCGGGGUCUGCGCGUAUGCACUAUGCAGUGGUGGUAGUAGGAGCAGUGUUGAGGAUCAGGAGGUGGCGAUCCCAAGAAGGCACUGCUGAGUUGCUGCGAGUUGAGAGUUGCGAGGCCACCAUGUUUGGCUUCCUCGAUCGAAUCUCAAAACAAGGAAAAAAGGGAGCAAGAGAAGAUUUGCAGAUAGCGGCUCGUGGGCUGCGCCUAAGGCCUAUCUACACUACACUAGACUAGAGGGAGAUCCGAUUACUACUUGCGUCAAACUUGCGGGUGGGAGGGUAGGAGUACUUGGGAGAUCCUGGAUGAAAGUAAAGCGGCCAAAAAAAAGAGGAUCCUUCCAUUCUUUCCACCAAAGUCUCACUACAAGAGGUGUUUGACAGCGAAAGCAACAAUGACAAUCGCUAGUGGCACCAUGCAACUUGUGCGCCUACCUAUAAAAUUUUUUCUCCCGUCGCAGUUGGUCUCAUUGGUUAAAUUUAUGGUCAAAGUUGGACAUUGGGAAACGCGGGCGCACUAUAUUUUAGAAUGGAGGGAGUACAUUUCAACCACUAUUUGAACUAAACGAAUGUAAUUUAUACAAACAAGGCGAAAUUCAUUUAAGUUUGGUCAUAAUUUACACAAAAAGGUUAAUAUUUCGACCAUUUAACUAAAAAACUAGAAAAAUAAACUAAACCCUAUAACGGACGACCACCUCGUAGGCGUGGCCGCCCUGCCCUGUCGCACCGCCGUCGCCAUCCGUGUCGUUGUCGUCGUUGUCCCUCGAGUGGCGGAACAAUGCCGGAGGGUCGGGACAGCCUUGUCCGCCUGCCUACCGCACGUGGAGGAGCCGCUCCGCCUCCUGGUGCAGAAGGCCGCCGCGGCCUCUGCCGAUGUAGCCUUCGGAGCCCGGGCGACGACCAAUGUCACGACUGGCGCUGGCGAAGCAUUUGCUAAGUGAUAACCAACAAGUAUAGGGGAUCGCAACAGUUUUCGAGGGUAGAGUAUUCAACCCAAAUUUGUUGAUUCGACACAAGGGGAGCCAAAGAAUAUUCUCAAGUAUUAGCGGCUGAGUUGUCAAUUCAACCACACCUGGAAACUUAGUAUCUGCAGCAAAGUGUUUAGUAGCAAAGUAAUAUGAUAGUGGUGGUAACGGUAACAAAGUAAAGACAACAAAAGUAAUGUUUUUGGUAUUUUUGUGAUGAUUGUAACAGUAGCAACGGAAAAGUGAAUAAGCGUAAACCAGUAUAUGGAAAACUCGUAGGCACCGGAUCAAUGAUGGAUAAUUAUGCCGGGUAUGGUUCAUUAUGUACCAGUCAUAACAUAGAGUGACACAGAACUAACUCCAGUUCAUCAAUAUAAUGUAGGCAUGUAUUCCGUAAAUAGUCAUACGUGCUUAUGGAAAAGAACUUGCAUGACAUCUUUUGCCCUACCUUCCCGUGGCAGUGGGGUCCUAUUAGAAACUAAGGGAUAUUAAGGCCUCCUUUUAAUAGAGAACCGGAACAAAGCAUUAACACAUAGUGAAUACAUGAACUCCUCAAACUAUGGUCAUCACCGGGAGUGGUUCCGAUUAUUGUCACUUCGGGGCUGCCGGAUCAUAACACAUAGUAAGUGACUAUAGACUUGCAAGAUAGGAUCUAGAACUCACAUAUAUUCAUGAAAACACAAUAGGUUCAGAUCUGAGAUCAUGGCACUCGGGCCCUAGUGACAAGCAUUAAGCAUAGCAAAGUCAUAGCAACAUCAAUCUCAGAACAUAGUGGAUACUAGGGAUCAAACCCUAACAAAACUAACUCGAUUACAUGAUAAAUUUCAUCCAACCCAUCACCGUCCAGCAAGCCUACGAUGCAAUUACUCACGCACGGCGGUGAGCAUCAUGAAAUUGGUGAUGGAGGAUGGUUGAUGAUGACGACGACGAUGAAUCCUCCUCUCCGGAGCUCUGAACGGACUCCAGAUCAGCCCUCCCAAGAGAUAUUAGGGCUUGGCGGCGGCUCCGUAUCGUAAAACGCGAUGAAAUUUUUUUCUUCUGAUUUUUUUCUCCUCGAAAGCCAAUAUAUGGAGUUGGAGUUGGCGUCGGAGGGCCACCAGGGGCCCAUGAGGUAGGGGGCGCGCCCAGGGGUGGGGGGCGCGCCCCCCACCCUCGUGGACAGGGUGUGGGCCCCCUGGUCUUCAUCUUUGGCGAUGAUUUUUUUUAUUUAUUCUAAGAUAUUCCGUGGAGUUUCAGGUCAUUCCGAGAACUUUUGUUUUCUGCACAUAAAACAACACCAUGGCAAUUCUGCUGAAAACAGCGUUAGUCCGGGUUAGUUCCAUUCAAAUCAUACAAGUUAGAGUCCAAAACAAGGGCAAAAGUGUUUGGAAAAGUAGAUAUGACGGAGACGUAUCAACUCCCCCAAGUUUAAACCCUUGCUUGUCCUCAAGCAAUUCAGUUGACAAACUGAAAGAGAAAAAGAAAAACUUUUACAAACUCUGUUUGCUCUUGUUGUUGUAAACAUGAAAAGCCAGCAUUCAAGUUUCAGCAAUUAUUAUGAACUAACCAUACUCACAAUAACACGUAGGUCUCAUAAUUACUCAUAUCAAUAGCAUAAUCAGCUAGCGAGCCAUAAUAAUAAAACUCGGAUGACAACACUUUCUCAAAAUAAUCAUAACAUGAUACAACAAAAUGGUAUCUCGCUAGCCCUUUCUGAGACCGCAAAACAUAAAUGCAGAGCACCUUUAAAGAUCAAGGACUGACUAAACAUUGUAAUUCAUGGUAAAAGAGAUCCAGUCAAGUCAUACUCAAUAUAAACCAAUCAUAAUGAAUGCAAACAACAGUGUGCUCUCCAGCGGGUGCUUUUUAAUAAGAAGGGUGAUGACUCAACAUAAAAGUAAAUAGAUAGGCCCUUCGCAGAGGGAAGCAGAGAUUGAUAGAGGUGCCAAAGCUCGAUUUUUCAAAUAGAGAUAAAUAAUAUUUUGAGCGGCAUACUUUCACUGUCAACGCAACAACUAUGAGAUGGCUGUAUCUUCCAUACUACAUGCAUUAUAGGAAGUUCUCAAACAGAAUGGUAAAGGUUUAUACUCCCCCUCUUCCACAAGCAUCAAUCCAUGGCUUGCUCGAAACAACGAGUGCCUCCAACAUUCAACGGGUCCCAGGGGGAGUUUUGUUUAAUUAUUUUGAUUUGCUUUGAUCUUUUUGGAUCAUGGGACUGGGCAUCCCGGUUACCGGCCCUUUCUCGUGAAUGAGGAGCGGAGUCCACUCCUCUUGAGAAUAACCCACCUAGCAUGGAAGAUAUAGGCAGCCAUAGUUGCACAUGAGCUGCUCGAGCAUACAAAACAGAAUUUCAUUGAAAGGUUUGGAGUUUGGCACAUACAAAUUUACUUGGAACGGCAGAUAGAUACCGCAUAUAGGAAGGUAUAGUGGACUCAUAUGGAACAACUUUGGGGUUUAAGGAGUUUGGAUGCACAAGCAGUAUUCCCGCUUAGUACAGGUGAAGGCUAGCAAAAGAUUGGGAAGCGACCAACUGAGAGAGCGACAACAGUCGUAAACAUGCAUUAAAAUUAAUUCACACCGAAUAUAAGCAUGAGUAGGAUAUAAUCCACCAUGAACAUAAAUAUCAUGAAGGCUAUGUUAAUUUGAUUCAACUACAUGCGUGAACAUGUGCCAAGUCGAGUCACUCAAUUCAUUUAAAGGAGGAUACCAUCCUAUCAUACCACAUCAUAAUCGUCUCAAUAGCAUGUUGGCACGCAAGGUUAACCAUUAUAACUUAUAGCUAAUCAAGCAUGGCACAAGCAACUAUAUUCUCUAAAUGUCAUUGCAAAUAUGUUUACUUCAUAAUAGCUGAAUCAGGAACGAUGAAUCAUCAUAUUUACAAAAACAAGAGAGGUCGAGUUCAUACCAGCUUUUCUCAUCCCAAUGAGUCCAUCAUAUAUCAUCAUUAUUGCCUUUCACUUGCACGACCGAACGGUGUGUAUAAUAAUAGGAGUGCACGUGCAUUGGACUAAGCUGGAAUCUGCAAGUAUUCAACUCAAAAGAGAAGACAAGUAAUAUGGGCUCUAAGUUAAAUAAACAAUCAUGCAUAUAAGAGCCACUAAGCAUUUUCAAUAUAGUCUUCUCGACCCCCAAAGAAAGGAAAAGAAAAAUAAAAACUAUUUACAUGGGAAAGCUCCUAACAAGCAAAAGAAGGACGGGAAAUAUUUUUGGGUUUUCUUUUAAAUUCUACUACAAGCAUGGAAAGUAGACUAACACUAUUUUUUUUGUUUUUCUUAAGGUUUAUUAAACACACAAGAAGAAAGCAGGAAAAAAGGAAAAUAAACUAGCAUGGAUAUUACAAUGAAAGAGUAUGAGCACCGACAUCUAGCAAUGAGUGUGUGCGAACAUGAAUGUAAUGUCGGUGGGAAAUAUGUACUCCCCCAAGCUUAGGCUUUUGGACUAAGUUGGUCUAUUGCCAGGGAUAACCUGGCUGAUAUCCGUAGGUGAAGCUGGGGUCGUACUGCGAUGCAGCGGCUACCGUCUGCUGAGCAGCAGCACGGCGUCGGGCUGCUUCCACUCCCCUCUCGUACUCAUCUGCCUCCUCUCUGGUAAUAAUAUAUCUUCCUCUCGCCAAGGAACAAUCUCCCCAAACAGUUUUGCGAGAGGUGUUUUGAGCAAGAAGAUCGAAAAUCACAGCAAAAGUUGCUGGAACACGAGCUUGAGUUGGUUUUUCGGGUUUGUGCGAGACAAGGAAGAAGAUGGGUGCAGGAAUAAGUGGAGGAGGGCCACCGUGGGCCCACGAGGCAGGGGGGUGCGCCCAGGGGGGUAGGGCGCGCCCUCCACCCUCGUGACCAGGUGGCAGCUCCCCCCGCGGUAAUUUUUGCAUUAUAAAUCCUUAAAUAUUCCCAAAAAAAAUCAUAUUAAAUUGGCAUGGCAUUCUGAGGACUUUUAUUUUCGGGAUAUUUUUAUAUUGCACGGAUAGGUCAGGAAACAGACAGAAAAAUACUAUUUUACUUUAUUUCUACUAAAGAACAGAAAAUAUAAAGAGGGUACAGAAGGUUGUGCUUCUAGUUUCAUCCAUCUCAUGCUCAUCAAAAGAAUCCACUAACAAGGUUGAUCAAGUCUUGUUAACAAACUCAUUCCGAUAAUCAUGGAACCGGAGAAAUUUCGAAUAACACUAUGUUACCUCAACGAGGAUAUGGACAUCCCCAACAAUAAGUGUAUCAUAUUUCUUUUUGACAGUAGGAAGAGGAAAUUCAAAACCUCCAAAUAUAAUCGAUGGAAUUUUUCCAAUAGAGUUGAUACUAUAAACUUGAGGUUGUUUCCUCGGAAAGUGCACCGUAUGCUCAUUACCAUUAACAUAAAAAGUGACAUUGCCUUUGUUGAAUCAAUAACAGCCCCUGCAGUAUUAAGGAAAGGUCUUCCAAGAAUAAUAGACAUACUAUCAUCCUCGGGAAUAUCAAGAAUAACAAAGUUCGUUAAAAUAGUAACGUUUGCAACCACAACAGGUACAUCCUCACAAAUACCGACAGGUAUAGCAGUUGAUUUAUCAGCCAUUUGCAAAGAUAUUUCAGUAGGUGUCAACUUAUUCAAGUCAAGUCUACGAUAUAAAGAAAGAGGCAUAACACUAACACCGGCUCCAAGAUCACAUAAAGCAGUUUUAACAUAAUUUCUUUUAAUGGAGCAUGGUAUAGUACGUAUUCCUGGAUCUCCUAGUUUCUUUGGUAUUGCACCCUUAAAAGUGUAAUUAGCAAGCAUGGUGGAAAUUUCAGCCUCCGGUAUCUUUCUUUUAUCAGUAAUGAUAUCCUUCAUAUACUUAGCAUAAGGAUUUGUUUUGAGCACAUCAGUCAAUCGCAUACGCAAAAAGAUAGGUCUAAUCAUUUUAGCAAAGCGCUCAAAAUCCUCAUCAUCCUUUUUUUUGGAUGGUUUCGGAGGAAAAGGCAUGGGUUUCUGAACCCAUGGUUCUCUUUCUUUACCAUGUUUCCUAGCAACGAAGUCUCUUUUAUCAUAACGUUGAUUCUUUGAUUGUGGGUUAUCAAGAUCAACAACAGGUUCAACUUCUACAUCAUUAUCAUUACUAGGUUGAGCAUCAUCAUUAACAUUUUCACUAGGUUCAUGUUCAUUACCAGAUUGUGUUUCAGCAUCAGGCAUAGAGAUAUCAUUUGGAUUAUCAGGUGGUUCAGCAAUAGGUUCACUAGAAGUUUGCACAGUUCUAUCAUUUUCUUUUUCUUCCUUUUAGAAGAGCUAGGUGCAUCAAUAUUAUUUCUUUGAGAAUCUUGCUCGAUUCUCUUAGGGUGGCCUUCAGGAUACAAAGGUUCCUGAGUCAUUCUACCAGUUCUAGUAGCCACUCUAACAGCAUAAUCAUUUUUCUUGCUAUUCAUUUCAUCAAGCAUUUCUUCUGAGCUUUAAGUACUUGUUCUACUUGAGUGGUAACCAUAGAAGCAUAUUUGCUAACAAGUUUAAGUUCACCUUUAAUAUUAUCCAUAUAACCACUCAAGCGUUUAAUCAUAAAGGUAUUCUGCUUUAAUUGUCUACCAAAAUAAGCAUUAAAGUCAUCUUGCUUAAACAUAAAGUCAUCAAACUCAUCCAAGCACUGACUAGCAAUUUUAGUAGGAGGGACUUCAACUUUAUCAUAUCUAUAGAGAGAAUUUACCUUUACUACCUGUGUCAGGAUAUCGGGAGGUUGUUCAGUAAAUAAGUAAUUGAGAUCAUAUACUUCUUCAACAGACGGUAAAUUAAAGCCAUGUAUUUCUUCAAUAGAAGGUAAAUUCUUAACAUCUUCAGCUUUAAUACAUUUUUCUUUCAUAGAUUUCUUUGCCUCUUGCAUAUCUUCGGGACUGAGAAAUAGAACACCUCUCUUCUUCGGAGUUGGUUUAGGAAUAGGCUCAGUAAUUGGCUCAGGAGCUGGCUCAGGAGUUGGCUCGGAAGGUGGCUCAGGAGGUGCCCAAUUAUUUUCAUUUGCCAACAUAUUAUUCAAUAAAAUUUCAGCGUCAUCCGGUGUUCUUUCCCUGAAAAGAGAACCAGCACAACUAUCCAGGUAAUCUCUGAAAGCACCAGUUAGUCCAUUAUAAAAGAUAUCAAAUAUUUCAGGUUUCUUAAGAGGAUGAUCAGGCAAAGCAUUAAGUAACUUGAGAAGCCUCCCCCAAGCUUGUGGGAGACUCUCUUCUUCAAUUUGCACAAAAUUGUAUAUUUCACUCAAAGCAGCUUGUUUCUUAUGAGCAGGGAAAUAUUUAGCAGAGAAGUAAUAAAUCAUAUCCUGAGGACUUUGCACACAGGCAGGAUCAAGAGAAUUAAACCAUUUCUUAGCAUCACCCUUUAAUGAGAACGGAAAUAUUUUGAGUAUAUAAAAGUGGCGCGAUCUCAGAUUAUUAGUAAACAGGGCAGCUAUUUCAUCUAACUUACAAAGAUGUGCCACAACAGUUUCAGAUUCAUAGCCAUAAAAAGGAUCAGAUUCAACCAAAGUAAUUAUAUCUGGAUCAACAGUAAUAUCAUAAUAAUCCUGAUUAGGAACACAGAUAGGUGAAGUAGCAAAAGCAGGGUCGGGUCUCAUCCUACCUCUAAAAGAUUCCUUACUCCACUUAAUUAGUAACCUCUUACGUUCAGGUUUAUCCGGACAAGCAAGAAUAGCUUCAUAAGAUUCAUUAUUAAAAAGAUAACCCUCAGGAAUAACAGGCAUAGGUUCAUCAUCACUAACAUCAUCGUGUUCAGGUUCACUAAUUUCUCUUUCUCUAGACUUAGAUAUUUGCUCAUCUAGAAAUUCACCAAGUGGCACAGUAGUAUCAAGCAUAGAAGUAGUUUCAUCAUAAGUAUCAUGCAUAGCAGAAGUGGCAUCAUCAAUAACAUGCGACAUAUCAAAAUUAAUAGCAGUAGUAGGUUUAGGUGUCGCUAGCUUACUCAUAACAGCAGGUGAAUCAAGUGCAGAGCUAGAUGGCAGUUCCUUACCUCCCAUCGUAGUUGAGGGAUAAAUUUUUGUCUUAGCGUCUUUCAAGUUCUUCAUAGUGUCCAGCAGAUAUAAAUCCCAAGUGACUUAAAGAAUAGAGCUAUGCUUCCCGGCAACGGCGCCAGAAAAAGGUCUUGAUAACCCACAAGUAUAGGGGAUCGCAACAGUUUUCGAGGGUAGAGUAUUCAACCCAAAUUUGUUGAUUCGACACAAGGGGAGCCAAAGAAUAUUCUCAAGUAUUAGCGGUUGAGUUGUCAAUUCAACCACACCUGGAAACUUAGUAUCUGCAGCAAAGUGUUUAGUAGCAAAGUAAUAUGACAGUGGUGGUAACGGUAACAAAGUAAAGACAGCAAAAGUAAUGUUUUUGGUAUUUUUGUGAUGAUUGUAACAGUAGCAACGGAAAAGUGAAUAAGCGUAAACCAGUAUAUGGAAAACUCGUAGGCACCGGAUUAAUGAUGGAUAAUUAUGCCGGAUGUGGUUCAUCAUGUAACAGUCAUAACAUAGGGUGACACAGAACUAGCUCCAGUUCAUCAAUAUAAUGUAGGCAUGUAUUCCGUAAAUAGUCAUACGUGCUUAUGAAAAAGAACUUGCAUGACAUCUUUUGUCCUACCCUCCCGUGGCAGCGGGGUCCUAUUGGAAACUAAGGGAUAUUAAGGCCUCCUUUUAAUAGAGAACCGGAACAAAGCAUUAACACAUAGUGAAUACAUGAACUCCUCAAACUAUGGUCAUCACCAGGAGUGGUCCCGAUUAUUGUCACUUCGGGGUUGCCGGAUCAUAACACAUAGUAGGUGACUAUAGACUUGCAAGAUAGGAUCUAGAACUCACAUAUAUUCAUGAAAACAUAAUAGGUUCAGAUUUGAAAUCAUGGCACUCGGGCCCUAGUGACAAGCAUUAAGCAUAGCAAAGUCAUAGCAACAUCAAUCUCAGAACAUAGUGGAUACUAGGGAUCAAACCCUAACAAAACUAACUCAAUUACAUGAUAGAUCUCUUCCAACCCAUCACCGUCCAGCAAGCCUACGAUGCAAUUACUCACGCACGGCGGUGAGCAUCAUGAAAUUGGUGAUGGAGGAUGGUUGAUGAUGACGACGACGAUGAAUCCCCCUCUCUGGAGCCCCGAACGGACUCCAGAUCAGCCCUCCCGAGAGAGAUUAGGGCUUGGCGGCGGCUCCGUAUCGUAAAACGCGAUGAAACUUUUUUUUUCUGAUUUUUCUCUCCUUGAAAGCCAAUAUAUGGAGUUGGAGUUGGCGUCGGAGGGCCACCAGGGGGCCCAUGAGGUAGGGGGGCGCGCCCAAGGGGGAGGGGCGCCCCCCCCACCCUCGUGGACAGGGUGUGGGCCCCCUGGUCUUCAUCUUUGGCGAGGAUUUUUUAUUAUUUAUUCUAAGAUAUUCCGUGGACUUUCAGGUCAUUCCGAGAACUUUUGUUUUCUGCAUAUAAAACAACACCAUGGCAAUUCUGCUGAAAACAGCGUCAGUCCGGAUUAGUUCCAUUCAAAUCAUACAAGUUAGAGUCCAAAAUAAGGGCAAAAGUGUUUGGAAAAGUAGAUACGACGGAGACGUAUCACUAAGCAACCACUCCUCUCUGAUCUUGGCGAGCUCACCAUCAAGGCAGCGGCGCAUGGUGGCCGUCUCUACGGUGGUGACUAGGUGAACGUGGGCCCACACGGUAGCGAGAUUGGAGAGGACGACCCUGGAGCCCGAGGGACCACCGUCGCCGCAUAGGAGAUAGUGAAGGACGCGGCCCCGCGCCUUCGUGGUCACAGGCAGUAGCUUCCUUGACGACGCAACGGUGGCGGCGGGGCGGCGAGGCAGGCCCGUCGUUGUGGGCAUACCGGUUGCGCAAGGCAACGCCGGCUCGUUCUUGACCCGAUGUCUGAUCUGGACGUCACGAUUGGGCUGAGGCGACGUCGGCUCAUCCAUGAUGUGACGUCCGAUCUGGAUGCGGUGGUGGCGGCGGGGCGACGAGGCCCCUCGUUUCGGGCGUACCGGCUGUAUGGGACCGACGCCGGCUCGUCCUUGACCCGCCGGAGCGGGGACACCAGCUCAUACUUCACGUGAUGCCGCGACGGGGACGACUGCUUCUUCUUGACGCACACCGACGAUGGUGGCGACGGGCCCAUGUGUCGGAGCGAACACUCCGUCAUUAACUCGACCUGAUGGAUGAAUUCUUCGUCCAUCACAAUGACCUCCGAGAGGAGACGGGGCCUUUGAACUGACGGAGGGAGAGUGUGGCUCUAUGCAUGUCGUUGGUUCGUGUCGGUUGACUUUAUUUAUUUAUUUUUGGAUGUGUGCCUCAUAAAUGUCUAUAUUAGGACUUGAUAUUGUGUUGUUGCAAAGCACAUAUGCAAUUGGUAUCGUCUUGGUAUUAAUAAAUUACAUUGUGUCGGGAAAAAAGAAAUGGGCGUGUCUAUGAUGCGGAGCCAGGAGGCAAUAAAUCUUUAAUUUUCUUAAAGGAAAAUGGUAUGGUUGCUUCUAAAAGUGCAGUGCAGAUUGUGUAAGCUAAGCUCUAACUAGCUAGGAUAAUGUCAGAUUAAUCAAGUGAAAUACUACAUCACACAUGCUUUACAAUUUAUGCUUCUUAAGGAAGCUAUUGUUGAGGCAGAGACCUCCUAUUAAGCAAUUGGUGGUGCCCAGUGUAGUAAUGCUUACCAGAUUAUCAAUAUGCAAACCACGUACGAUAUACCAUAUCAGCUCUGAAUUUUGCACAAAGCUUUCGCUUUGCCGAGUGCACCAGUGAGAGUAUUAGUACUUCCUCUGUUCCGAAUUACUUGUCUUAGAUUUGUCUAGAUACGGAGGUAUCUAGCACUAAAAUAAGUCUAGAUACAUCCGUAUCUAGACAAAUCCAAGACAAGUAAUUUGGACGGAGGGAGUAGCUAGUAGUGGUGUUUUAUAUCAAGUGGAAACCUAGAAAAGCAAACCAACACUACUAGGAGAUAGUGAAGGAUGCGGCCCCGUACCUUCGUGAUCACGGGCAGCAGGUUCCUUGAUGAUGCGACGGUGGUGGUGGGGCGGCGAGGCAGGCCUGUCGUUGUGGGCAUACCGGCUGCGCAUGGCGCCGCCGGCUCGUCCUUGACCCGAUGUAUGAUCUGGACGUCGCGAUUGGGCUGAGGCAACGUCGGCUCGUCCAUGACGCGACGUCCGAUCUAGAUGUGGCGGUGGCGGCGGGGCGACGAGGCAUGCCCCUCGUUUCGGGCGUACCAGCUGUACGGGACCGAGGCCGGCUCGUCCUUGACCCGCCAGAGCGGGGACACCGGCUCAUACUUCACGCGCCGGUGGUGACGGGCCCAUGUGACGGAGCGAACGCUCCAUCAUUAACUCGAUCUGAUGGAUGAAUUCUUCGUCCGUCACAAUGGCCUCCGAGAGGAGACAUGGCCUUUUGACCGACAGAGGGAUAGUGUGGCUCUAUGCGCCGGCGCACGGCUUAAAUAGCCGCGGCCAGGGAAGGGGCGGUCAUCCCGCUUCAGUGUUGCGCUUUGGUUGAAGUCGGUUUCUCGGGACGUGGCGCCUACAUUGAAGCGGCAAACGUCCGAGAGGUCACGUUCGUCAGCGCCACCCUCUCAUCCGGUCAAAUCGCGGGCAUCAAUGAUGGCUGCUGCAUGCUCUAAGGCUGACAUGAAUGCGACAAGGCAAGCGGCGCGGGCGUUUGUUCAAAAGCGCGCGAAAGGAGGGUGGGGGUUUGUAGUAAGACAGGGCAGUCAGACGUGGGCGUGGCAGCGGUCCGAACGCCUACAAACUCGCCGUCUUUUUUGCGGGGGAAAACCAGACGAGUACAAAUCCGAGUUGGAUGGCGGUUCAGAUGUAUGCUGAUGGUUUAAGACUCAGCGUUGAAGAUGCCCUUGAUACUAGUAGAGGAAGCCGACCCUACCAACAACUCUAUAAUAAAUCAGAGCCCGAAGGAAUAGUAUGAGAGAAAAAGGAAGAUGCCCAUGUUCUGAGCUUCGUGUUGCUCGCUUUUCUAAGCUGGAAUCCACGGACUAUUCCCUCGUUCUGUCGGACGCAUAGUCGGGGAUUCUCUUCUGUCGUCCUCGUCGAUGAAACAUGAAUGCAUUACAGAGUGUGAUGUACUAAUUAUGUUCCAGCAGCCUCGAUUAGCGCUUGAUUUCGACACCAAACCGCGCGCCUUUAAUGCAACAAUGGUAGUACUCCACUCGUGCAAACAUGAUGCGGACGCGAGGUCUGAUCCACAUCUCUUGUCGACGUUACGUAGCACUAGAUCAUGGGGCUGCAGGAGACGGGAGUGGGCAGCAUCCCGCUAUUUGGUCUCCGUCCAGCGAAAGAAAGCUUCCCGGCGAGGCGGUUAUACGUCGUCGUCGCGACUUUCUUGUGAGCGCUAAUUGCCAUCACGAGGUUUGUUUAUUUGUGUGACCUGCAAAUAUUUUCAUAAUUUUUGAAGACAAAAUAUUUGCAGGCACACAUCUAUGUUUCAUGUACAACCUUUUUAAUUUCAGCUUCUAAUUCAAACUACACUUAGAAAACCAAAAAAGAAAAAUCAUGUGUGAAUAGUGUCAAACACUAUUCAUCCAAAGCUGACGCUAUUCAUAAUGGAAAUUGUCCUUUUAGAAUCUUGAACUGUACACCGAAUUUUGUGCUGGAUCUCUUUUUUUUUUUUUGAGUUGUAGACAUACCCCACAGGUAUGUUGUAAAAAAAUCUUAAACUUUCGGAUUGUCUAAAUAUGAAAUUUCGACGCUGAUUCUACGAUCUCUCACCUAAAGGGCCCCGAUCCUAUACUAGUCUCCCCCGGAGUAGGAGAUAUGUCAAAUAGUUCGUCUACUCUACUGCACGGCUCAAACGCAGCAUGACAUGAUUACAAACCAAAACCGGCCGGAAGCGAGUAAGCAGGCCAGCAGAUCGACAGGCAUUGGUGCAUUUCCCUGAGCGCAUAUUGGCACCAACGACUCGACGGAUCUCAACUUCUCAAGAGGCUGGGUAGAAUAGCACACCACACACAAGUACACCACUCAUGACACUAACCAUCACGAGUCCCCUCCAUAUCCUCCCGUCAUCCGUGAAGCUACGUAUCUCCCAGUGGCAGCAUCCACACACGGGCACGGCCCCGGCCGGAGACCCGACGGCACAUGAAAUGCCAUCAUGCAUUCAUGCGUCCCUUACGUAGGUACGUACGCGCAUGGCGUGUCCCAUCGAUCUCGCCUCACUCAUAAGCCAGCCAGCUGCUCGAGCUCCAUCGAUCAUCCUCGGCCUCGGUCGGGGCGCGCGGAUGCCGCCCGGCGCACGCGGCGGAGCCGAGCAGACUAAAACCGGCCGGCGAGAUCGCCAUCAUCAGUGCACCUUUUGCGCGCCGGCCGCUGCUAGGCUCGUCAAUCAUGUCCCUCCGCUCUCGCCGUCUCGGCCGACGCUCCUCACCCCAAAAGUUGGCGGUAGCUUUUGUCUUUGCGAGCCCCUCUCUCUCCCGUCGUCAUCACCAGCCGUGCCCCUGCCGUGCGCGACCUACACCAGCAACAGCUCCACUCUCUCCGAGACUCCGGCCACGGGCGGGACCGGCGCCAUGCAUGCAUGCGCUCGGCUCGAUUAGUGUCUCUACGACCGACGCAGUGGUAGGGAUAAUUCCUAGUAGAAAAGGACUUGAGAGAAGCAGGGCAGGGUAGGGUAGGGCGGGCGCAUAUACACCAUGGAUGGUUUGACCUUGGACAAAGGAGCAAACAACAAUGCGUUUGUCUCACCGCAGCUGCCGCCUCACAUAUGCUCAGCCUGGGCCUGGCACACAGUAGCAUGUGUUACUUUGGCCUGUCAAAACGCCGGAGUAUCAGCUAGUAAUCCAUGUGGCUCCGUCUGUUUACUGGCAUAAACUACUGUGCAUACAGCCAUGCUCUGUCAGAGACUUAUCUCGAUCGAUAGCAGUAGCAGAGGACGAGGCACCCCGGCUGCUGCUCUGCACAUUUGAACGGUAGCCCUUCUGCAUGCAAACUGACACCAAACGGUCCUGGUUAACCCUUGCAUAGUUUUCGGCUAGAGAGAUAGGUUAAAGAAAUAGACACGUACUGUACUACGUUAACUGCACAUCAAGAACCAGUGCUUCGAUCACCAUCGAUCUAUCUUGUUCGUUCACAGUGGUAAAUCUGACAUUUCGACCUUGGAUCAACCCGUCCACUCUAAUCGAAAUCAGGUCAUCAGCUGUUGUGUGGCCUAAGCCAUCCACAUCAUGGUGCCGGCCGGGCUUCAACUUGAAGGUCAGAUUGGACGGUGCCAUCAAUCGGUCAUCGGAUGGCUGUUCCUGAUCACCCGUUUCGCUACGUCCCUAUUCGACGGCUGAGAUUCUGGUACAUCCCAAUGAUGCCGAUGAAUCUACAAAUCAUUGCCCGUCGUGUUCGUGGUGUACCUGAGAUGGACCGAAUCAUCAUGUGCUUACAGAGAAAACUUUUCUGCAAGUUCGUGGGGUCAUAUCAGAUCGGAGAUAAACAAAGAAGGAAGACCACAUGGACAUGGACACGAGUUGGAUGGAAUGCAACGUUGUGCGCAGGGCAGGACGAUCGAUGUGGCCGGUCGGUUUCCCGUCGAUCAGACAGUGUGAUGUGGUAGUGGUGGUGGUGCAGGGACGCGCGCUUGUCCCUCGACACGGCGAGUUCCAUCCACGGGGUGCAUGCGGGUGAUGAUGGUCUCGACAUGGAAGAACAUGCAUUGUGCUUGACUUGACGUGCGUGCUGGAGCUGAUGCGAAUAGUCUGCUAAUUAAGCAGUGUGCUAGCUGCUCGUGUUCUUGGGCCAGUUCCAUCAACGCCAUGGAAUGCACUGUGACUGGCUAAGUAUACUAAGGCGAAGAGGAGGCACCUCUUAAAAUGAAAUAAGGUUGUUUUCGCCUAGCCCAGUCCAGCGGUGGCUCUGUGUGGUCGGAAGGCGUGUGAAGGUGUCUCUCCGGUGAAUCUUACGGGAUUCGGUUAGUGUUUGGACCUGCUUGGUUCUGAUCUUUGUUCGCCUACGUCCGUGUGUCUAGCUGUUGGAUUUUUUUUCGAUCUACGUUUCCCAUCAUCGACGAUGGUAGUUGUUCUUGUGCGCUGGUUCUUUUGGGCCUCAGCACGAUAACUUCCUUGUUGUAUACUACGACAUGGUUUGCCCCGACUCCAAUGAGGGAGGGGUGAUGACGAUGGGACGUCAUCGGCUCGCUUCAGUGCUUGUAGUCGUUGAUAGGUGGUCUAUGCACUUAGACAUAACUUCGGGUCCUUCUAUUGUAAUUUGUACUGUCAUGAUGUUUGAUGAAUAGAUAAAGAAAAUAUUGGAAAAUAGUCAACUAGGGUCGUUUAGAAUUUUGAGAUUAAAACUAAACUAGAAUAAAUGAGGGUCCCAGAGUUUUUCUUAAGUUUUGGGACGACUAUGACUAUAUGCAUGAUCGAACUGGUAAAAUUUAUGUUUGUUUUGUUAUACACAACUGCAAGGAUUGCUUGGCAAUAUUUCUUUUAACGAAGGCAAAAGUUUUACCUCAUCCAUUAAUUAGGAAGUACUUACAUAGUUAAUGAGUGAAAAACCGGGCAAAAACCAUCACAAUGGCAACACGGGGCAACCACGAGCAACCUGCUUACCCACAUGUAUACACACACACCCUCAAGAAGAAAGCACUGUCAAGAUUGCCAUCAAGCGUCAUAGUUAUAUCUCCUUCACGAGCCAGCGACUCCGAUUUCACCGUAGACAACCACCAACGGAGCGCUCACCACAACAGACGUCAAAAUCCAUGCCUGUCCAUGAUAACCAGACGGCCACCCACGCAAUCGACCAGACAACUCUAAAACGGGCAACGAACCUUGUAGAGAAAAGCCCCAAGCUUGUGCCAACAGGGCCUUUGCAACCGAACCCAUGUGUCUUGUGUCACCGUCACCGCUGAGGCGGCUUCUCUGCACUUCCAACUCUACAAAGACACUACGAGGCAAAGGAACCCCUCAAACAUGCUGAAAUAUAAUGCUUCAAUGUGGAGCAUGUCACUUUAGGAGUACAUGUCUUUAGAGGUCCAUAACUCUCUCCGGAUUAUUUAUUCAUACUAGAUGAUGCCUCGCGUGUUGUCGCGGGUACCGUGUUAAAAGAAAUGUAUAAAUAGUUGCUAAAAAUAACUAUUUUAAUGGAAAACCAAUGUGAACUUAAUAAAAACAUAAAAAAACAUACGAGUAUCUAAAAGAGGAAAAAACUUUCGAGUUGCAGCCAAAAGAAUAUUAUUUCUCACAAAAAUAUGAAGGUUGAACUACAUAGGUAUGUUGCAAUCGCCCAACACAUGUAUUGUCCAUCAGAAUACAAAAGCUAAUGGAAGAAAUUUCUUAUGUCUAAGAUGCAUGAAUUGAUGAUGUGGUAGUGUUGCAUGCAUAGACUAAUGCCAAAAAUAUAUUAUUCAUGACUUAAAUGCAAGGUUUGCUUAUGUGACAUGAUUGCAUGGCUAUGAAAAAUAUGGCAUAGUUGCAUGGCUAGAACAAAUAGGUAGUGGUUUGUAGCUAGGAAUAGAGGAUUGGUGCCAAUGUGGUCUUUUUAGGCUAUUUGGUUGUGCCAAGAUGACUAGUGUUUGACAACAAAAAACCAUCCUUUUUAUGUAGGUUAUAUGCUUUUGUGUAUCACCCAGUUGUGAUCGUGAGCGUUUAUGACAAGAUUAGUCGUAUUGGUUGUCUUUAUUUUUAUUUUAUAAUUUUGGUUGUGUGCAUCAUCGUCUUUAUAUUAAAAUAUUAUCCUUUGUCAGAAAAAAAAUUGGAACGUGUGUAUGAUGCAGAGCCAGGAGGCAAUCAAUCUUUCAUUUUCUUAAAUGGAAAUGGUAUGGUCGCCUCUAAAAAAUGCAGUGCAGAUUGUGUAAGCUAAGCUCUAGCUAGGUGGGAUAAUAUCAGAUUAAUCAAGUGAAAUACUACAUCACACAUGCUUUACAAUUUAUGCUUUUUAAGGAAGCUAUUGUUGACACAGAGACCUCUUAUUAAGCAAUUGGUGGUGCCCAAUGUAGUAAUGCUUACCAAAUCAUCAAUAUGAAAACCACGUACGAUAUAUCAUAUCCGUUCUGAAUUUUGAAGAAAGUUUUCACUUUGCCGAGCUCAUCAGCGAGGAUUAGUAGCCAGUAGUGUUUUGUAUCGAGUGGAAGCCUAGAAAAGCAAACCAACACUACUAGCUAAUUGCGCUGCUAUGGGACUAAUAGGAUAUGGACCUGGUGCCUUUUACACUUUUAAUGAUUAGAUUACGAGAAGUUUAUGUAAAGCACGAACCGAUUUGCGCCGCUCUGCCCCUAGCUUACUCUGCUUUACCCCACAAGCGUGAGUAUAUGAUGCCUUUUGCAAGCCAAAUAGCUAACUAUUUAUAGGAGAUGGUUAAGAUAUGCACAACAUAAGAAUGGCCAACAUAAGAAACAAGAUAAGAAUGGCCAAGAAAAACUGCUAAUUUCCCCCCUAAGGAAACAGAUUAAGGUGCAUUCAUGUCGAAGAAAACUUGCGUUUUGGUUCCAUCACUGAUUUCGGAUGAUUCUUGCUCAAACAUUCGAAGCUUCAAAUCAGGAGUCUCUCUCUCCUCCACUCCUUGCAAUCAUCGUGCGUGUGAUGCCGGUGUGGCACAACAGAGCUUUCAUACACCCAUCAAUCAUGUUUGCAGCACAGCACAACAAGUUGCCUAUGCUUUUCACCCUUGUGUUUCAACCUUGUGCUGGACAAGAUUCUCUAUGCACGCAUCGUACGCCCUCUGUAAGGGAGUAGAUGAGUCGGGCUGGUUUCUCAUAACAACUCAGCCUAGCUAGUGCGUGGCUCUCCUAGAAUAUACAGACAAUUAGGAGCAGAGAGUUCAUGCUGCACAAUUAAUGGUUAAUCAGACGAGCAAUGAUGAAAGAACAAAUAUAUCAAGAGAGUGACGAGCAAUGUUGAAGCUUACUCUGCAGCAGAAACGGAAAGCAAGUGCCAACCAGAAGGAGCCCACAGUUUGACCUGAGGACACCUGAAGGAAGUCCCACUUCCAAAUAUAUGAACCUCCCGAGUGAUGCUNNNNNNNNNNNNNNNNNNNNNNNNNNNNNNNNNNNNNNNNNNNNNNNNNNNNNNNNNNNNNNNNNNNNNNNNNNNNNNNNNNNNNNNNNNNNNNNNNNNNNNNNNNNNNNNNNNNNNNNNNNNNNNNNNNNNNNNNNNNNNNNNNNNNNNNNNNNNNNNNNNNNNNNNNNNNNNNNNNNNNNNNNNNNNNNNNNNNNNNNNNNNNNNNNNNNNNNNNNNNNNNNNNNNNNNNNNNNNNNNNNNNNNNNNNNNNNNNNNNNNNNNNNNNNNNNNNNNNNNNNNNNNNNNNNNNNNNNNNNNNNNNNNNNNNNNNNNNNNNNNNNNNNNNNNNNNNNNNNNNNNNNNNNNNNNNNNNNNNNNNNNNNNNNNNNNNNNNNNNNNNNNNNNNNNNNNNNNNNNNNNNNNNNNNNNNNNNNNNNNNNNNNNNNNNNNNNNNNNNNNNNNNNNNNNNNNNNNNNNNNNNNNNNNNNNNNNNCGAGUGAUCGAAUUCCUUUUUUCCUACCAGUAAGGGAGUAGAUGAGUCGGGCUGGUUUCUCAUAACAACUCAGCCUAGCUAGUGCGUGGCUCUCCUAGAAUAUACAGACAAUUAGGAGCAGAGAGUUCAUGCUGCACAAUUAAUGGUUAAUCAGACGAGCAAUGAUGAAAGAACAAAUAUAUCAAGAAAGUGACGAGCAAUGUUGAAGCUUACUCUGCAGCAGAAACGGAAAGCAAGUGCCAACCAGAAGGAGCCCACAGUUUGACCUGAGGACACCUGAAGGAAGUCCCACUUCCAAAUAUAUGAACCUCCCGAGUGAUGCUCCUACCACUCGAGUGAUCGAAUUCCUUUUUUCCUACCAGUGCAUGGGCGGUGAGUAUGCAUGCAUGGGUAUAUCCCACAAUCUCGUGCAACCGAUGGAAGCCGAUCCGGUUGAUGCAUGCACGCACGAAACAAAUCACCUGAGGACGUGCCAAGGUGUUGCUAAGUGCACACUCAUGAACCCCCACAAAAGGCACCCACCUCCUCCUCUUGGGUUGAGUGGAAGCUUCACUACAACACACACAUAAUACAGGUGCCCCGGUCCGACGGAGGCACUCCCCUCGAGUCGUUGCGGGAAGGGCUUGAGCGUGGCCUCGCCUUCAAGCGUUGGGCUCGAGGAAGAUGCUACCGUUGCCUUGUGCGUGGCCACCAAGUGAGUGGAUGCCAUGGACCAUUCAGAUGCAUUCGUUGUCGUCGCCCUGGUCAUAGGGAGAGAUUCUGUUGUGCUCGCUCUCCGGUUGCUCCAGAUCGCUCUCCGGUUGCUCGAGAUUGCUCUCCAGUCGCUCGCGUUGGCUCUUCGGUCACUCGCGCUCCAUGCCAGCCGAGCCGCUCCCCGUCCGUCCAGGCUUGUACUUCGCUGACUAGGAGUUGGGCAGAGGUCGUGGGCCGUUCGUCGUUGCGUGUGUCGGUGCCGCCAAGGUCCCAAUCUGGGUGUUGUAAGGAUUCCAAUGUCAGUGUCUUUUUGGACUCUACUUUUGAAUCCCAGCUUGCCUUGCUUCGCACGGAGCUCCUUCAAAAGAUUGAGUUGUUUCGCACUGAGCUUCACGACGCACUUGCCAAACUUGAGGUUGUGUCGGUUGUGCCUUUGUUGCCUGAGCUCUCGAUUGGUUCCAUUGAGGAGGCUGAAUGCCUCUUCGGAGAUUUUUCUCCUCGUGCUCUACAUGUGACGCCGUCUUCCCCGGUGAGUGGGGUCACCUCCGAGGUUGUGGCUCCAAUUAUGCAGAUUAUGCCUGAGUUGCAGGAGCUUUGUGGGGAAUCAUCUAUGGUGUUACCGAUGGAGCUGGGCUCAUUGGAGUCCUUGGUGGUGGCCAUGACACCCUCGCUACCUCAAUCGCCCGCCUUUGUGAACAAUGGAGACUUGGUUGGUUCUAUCACUGCCUCAUCUAUGGCCAUUGGGCAUGUGGCGUCUUUCAGUGGAGAGGUUGAUGAGACAUGUGUGUUGGCACCUAACUCUGAGCAAGUGGAGACGCCUGAGUCCAUCGUGUCAGUGAUACCUGUGACUGAUGAUGUUGAGGCGGUUGGUACAUUGGCGUCCGAUCCUUCUGAGCCCAACCAACAGCUCGCCCGUGUGGAGCGUGGAGGCUCCGAUGUUACGGGCACCCACUCGCACGUGAUUGUUGGGCAGGUUUCUAUGCGUGACAAGGUCAAUGAGAUUCUCUUUCAGAUAGAGCUUCACAGCUUGCUCAAACGUUUGGAGAGGAUGAGCCCUGGAUCUGGCAAGGCGAUUGUGGAGGAGGCUCUCACGAGCAAAGGAAAGAAGAGUGGCGUCAUAGAAAAGGCGUCCGCAACUAAUUGAUGGAUGGUUAUCAGUCUAUUGGGUUGUCCUUAUGGCUUGACUUGUCUUCGUUGAUUUGGGUGUGCCCGUGGUCUUCGGCCGAGUUACUCUUGUUAGGGUGUCUUUGCGAUGUAUUGGUGGUCGUUAGGUGUGGUUGGCCUGUAUCGGUUUUCGCCUGGUUUUCCAUUAAUUAACUGGGCAAUUCUCCUCUGCUUAAUUAAUCGAUGAGGCAAAUCUUUUGCCGACGUUUCGAAAAAAAUAAUAAUACAGGUGAUGCGUGCGUGUGUGGCCGUGCUGUUGCAACGCUGUUGUAGCCCCAGCUCAAUCCAUCAAUUUUCCAAUACCAAACGCUGUUAUUACAAUAGAUAUAUGUGCUUGCCUUGGGUCCCUUUGGUCCCUUGUUUUGGGGUUGAGCCGCUAGCUCUCCUUGUUGAGCCCCACUGCUACUCUCGAGAAAGAGCUCAUCAUUCCUUCGUUCGUGGCCUCUACAACAACUUUGAUGGGUAGCCGUGCACCGAACUGCGCUUGUGCAUCUAUUCUAGUGUGCCGACGGCGACGAAGAACGGCGACUGGCGCGGUGCACGAGGAGGACGGACGGCGGUUGCGGCGUCUUGGUUUGACCGGCCGGCGAGAGGGGGGCCGUGUACGUACGUGUCACGGGAUAAUAGACGAGAUGGGCUCGACGGCUCGGCGUCGGCGGAGACAUGCCCAGGAAUCGCCGGGGUGGCCGCCCUCUUGUCCCGCUAAAGGAAGAUGCGUUUCGUGUAUACUGUGCUACUUUGCACAUUAGUUUAGUCGUUUCAUUCAAUCAACACGUACGGUGAAGAAUAAGACCAAUGCAAGCUGGAAAUUGUUCCUUUUUCUCCGUGUCUGUGCGCGGAGAAGACAAAGAAAAGAGAGGGAAGAUGGACAGCAACGAGUAGACGACAUGAAGUUGUGGCACCUACAGUGUCCUAAGUGAGUGGCACCUCCAGCAAGCAGCGCAGGGACACGGAUGCCCAGCAUGUUUGCAGCACCGGCUCUCGGGAUCGCUCCCUGACGAGGAAAAGAUAUCCCCGACCGAUAUCAUAUCACAGAGUGGCAACAGCAGGCUGAUCGGCCACUAGACUGCGAAACGCGUGUGAUCACCAGGCCGGUUCUGUCCGUCGGUACGUACAAUACAAGUACUCUACAACCUGCGGCCGGCCGGCCAGAUCACAGGGCCUGCCCACAACAGGACUAGUAAUAAUUAAACACCGGUGAUGGGUUGUGCAGGGCUACCGAGCAUGCUCCUACUAUUAUCCUACUGAAUUUUUCAGAAUUUUCUGUAUCACGUACAUUUGAAUUUUGUGACAUGGUAACACGUAUCACAGGAUGUUUUUCCUCUCCUACUCCUAGUAGGAUGCGUCGUCUCAACACUGACUAGUCUGAACAUACUCCCUCGACAGAUGCAGCACUCGCUCGCUGAUUCCGUAUCCAUGUAGACGUAGGAGUAGGUCAGGCUAUGCCUAUGCAGAGCUAGUGCAGUGUCGAGGAAUGAGAGAUUGGUUCAUGGCGAUCCCAAGAAGGCACUGCUGAGAUGCGACGCGAGUUGCGAGGCCACUUGUUUCGGUUGCUCGCUCGAAUCUCAAAGGAAGCAAGAGAAGAUCUGUAUGGGGCUGCUAGGCUAUGGCUUCUCUACAUGCACUAGCGGGAGAUCCAUUUGUUACUUUACUUGCGUCAAACUUGGAUGGAAGGGGAGUCCAUAUUUGGGAGAUCCGCAAAGUAAUAAAGCGGCCAAAAACAAAAGAGGAUCCUUCCAUUCUUUCCACCAAAAUAUCACUCACUACAUGUAGAGGAAGAGGUCUGAUCCCGAUCCCUUGUCGAUGUUACGCAGCACCAGACAGAUCAUGGGGCUACAGGAGACGCGAGUGGCCGGCAUCCCGCCAUUUGUUCUCCGUCCAGCGAAAGCUUCCCGGCGAGGCGAGGCGAUUAUACGUCGCCGUCGCGACUUUCUCGUGAGCGCUAUUCGCCAUCACGAGGUUCGUUUGUUCAUGUGACAAGUCACGGGGGCGGAAGCAGAUGUUUCACAACGAGAUCCUUUACGGUACACUGACUGUAAUGGAUGUAAUCACAAUGGAUUGGCUGUCACCGUGCAGUGAGAAAGAUGAGAGAUGAUGGAUCGGAGAUUUUUGUCGCAAAAAAUGCUUUACGCGUACGUCCGCUCAACAGGGAUGAGCUGGUUGUGGUGUGCCGGCACGGGUGAGACGUGCGAAUGCGGACAGCGGCAGUGGCAUGGCAUGGCAUGGGCCUCCUCCUCCCAUGCCGGCCGGCAAACAUGCAUGCAUACACGGCGUACGCGCGAGCGCGCGCACGGACACGCUAUCUGUUGGGCGGCUGCUGGUCACCACCGGCGAGCGCCGAAAGCGUGCGAGCAGUACAAUACGACUGCCCUCCAAUGGCAUGGCGCGCUGUGCGGCUGUGCCCUCCCGUGUGGUACGACGCCGCGCGGGUCCGGCUGAUGACUGCUUUGCGCUGCCUCUACGGCUAUGGGCCGGCGCGUACCACCUAGUUUGGCUCCGUCCUCAGAUUGGCUCCUGGAUAUGACGCUGAAAUGCCCGCCGCAGCGUACUAGUUGUGGCGGGGAGUACUACCAUCUCUCUAUCCUUUUCUCAAGAAAUGUGUACUGGGUACUGACCGUCCCUUAUUCGGCGCAUAGGUGCUUUGCCUAUCAAGUGUAGUACUCCCGCCGUUUCUAAAUAUAAGUUUUUUUUUCUAAAGAUUCCAAUGCCGGCUACGUAUGGAGCAAAAUAAGUGAAUCUACGCUUUACAAUAUAUCUAUAUACAUUCGUAUGUAGCGAAAAUACAAAGGUGAACAUGGUCUCACGCGCACCCACGUGAAUAGUAAAUUCAUAAAAAAAAUACUCAAAAAGUUUUUAAAAAUUCUGAGAUUUUAUAGUAUGAAACUUAGUCGAACAUUCUGCUCGCGCGUGAAGAUUCGUGGUGUAUUGACACUCAUGGUAUUCUUAGUGAAGAAAAAUACAAUUGUGACCAUAUUAUUCAUCAAAUAGUGUUUUUUAAUAUACCUUCUAUUUUGUUAUGUUUGCCUGGUUUACCACGGAUGUGAUUGCUUCAUGAAUCUUCAUACGCGGGUAUACCGGUUGACUGUAUAUUACAAAAAUAAAAUUUGAUUUUUUUAGCAUUUUUUCAAAUUUACUAUUCGGAAGGGGUGCGUGUGGAACCAUGUUCACCAAAUCUGCAACACGUAUCUAGUCCGUAUUGAAAUCUUUUAAAAAGUCUUAUAUUUAGAAACAGAGGGAGUAGUAACUGGAUUUUGGCUUUUGCCAGUCAGGGAAUCGAAUCAUUUGGAUGAGAAAUAAUUACGGUUCUAUCUAAUUCCUACACCACUAGGUUUUACAUGGAGAUUCAUAGGGAUUCUUUUCUUUUAUUUCUUUGUAUGGUUAAUCAAGUAGUGUAGGAGUUAGACGAGACUUUGUUAAUUCUCGUCUAGAUGAGAAUUAGCAAAUCCGAAUAAUUACAAACAUGAUGAAAAUCACCAAAGAGAACAAAAGUAAGAAAAAUUGAUCUACCGGAUAGCAAUAGUUAAUGGAACAUGAUCACUAUUAAUAAGCUGACUGGAAACAUAUUCCUUCCUAUCAAAUAAUGUUUCAUGCCUGAAAUAUGUGACCCGUCGAACAAAGUUUUGCAUUACAUUCCACAUUAUAUCACAUGCAAGCUCAACCCUUGCAAAGGAGGAACAUUACCAUGGUCGGUCGUUUAUCACAUCACCCCGCUCGUGGUACCCUUUGAUAUGUUGAGCAGUGUCAACAAGAUUGAGCUUCCUUUUCUCUCGUCGGCAAAAGAUAAAACAACCGGUGCAACAUUUGAAGUCAACUGGGAGGCUGUUUCCGCCCCACCCACCUCGGUGGGCCUGGGAUACUCGAUACAUCCUAAACAUAUCAACUUUUCGAAACAUUUUUGCUCUUAUUUUGGUCUCUAAUUUGCAUGACUUUAGUUAAACUAACCCUGACUGACGUUGUUUUUAGUAUAAUUACCAUAGUGUUUGAUACGUCUCCGUCGUAUCUACUUUUUCAAGCAUUUUUGCCCUUGUUUUGGACUCUAACUUGCAUGAUUUGAAUGGAACUAACCCGGACUGACACUGUUUUCAGCAGAAUUGCAAUGGUGUUAUUUAUAUGCAGAAACAAAAGUUCUUGGAAUGACCUGAAACUUCACGGAACAUAUAUUCAGAAAUAAUAAAAAAUCCUUGCAAAAGAUGAAGACCAGGGGGCCCACCACCUGUCCACGAGGGUGGGGGGCACGCCCCCCUACCUCGUGGGCCCCCUGGAGCUCCUCCGACCUCAACUCCAACUCUAUAUAUUUGGUUUCGGAGAGAAAAAAUCAGAGAGAAGAAUUCAUCGCGUUUUACGAUACGGAGCCGCCGCCAAGCCCUAAAACCUCUCGGGAGGUGAUGUCUACUACACAACCUUCUUCUUGUAGACGUUGUUGGGCCUCCAAGUGCAGAGGUUUGUAGGACAGUAGCAAAUUUCCCUCAAGUGGAUGACCUAAGGUUUAUCAAUCCGUAAGAGGCGUAGGAUGAAGAUGGUCUCUCUCAAGCAACCCUGCAACCAAAUAACAAAGAGUCUCUUGUGUCCCCAACACACCCAAUACAAUGGUAAAUUAUAUAUGUGCACUAGUUCGGUGAAGAGAUGGUGAUACAAGUGCAAUAUGGAUGGUAGAUAAAGGUAUUUGUAAUCUGAAAAUAUAAAAACAGCAAGGUAACUAAUGAUAAAAGUGAGCGUAAACGAUAUUGCAAUGAUAGGAAAUAAGGCCUAGGGUUCAUACUUUCACUAGUGUAAGUCCUCUCAACAAUACUAACAUAAUUGGAUCAUAAAAUUAUUCCUCAACAUGCAACAAAGAGUCACUCCAAAGUCACUAAUAGCGGAGAGCGAACGAAGAGAUUAUGGUAGGGUACGAAACCACCUCAAAGUUAUUCUUUCCAAUCAAUCCGUUGGGCUAUUCCUAUAAGUGUCACAAACAGCCUUAAAGUUCGUACUAGAAUAACACCUUAAGAUAUAAAUUAACCAAAACCCUAAUGUCACCUAGAUACUUCAAUGUCACCUCAAGUAUCCGUGGGCAUGAUUAUACAAUAUGCAUCACACAAUCUCAAUUCAUCUAUUCAACCAACACAAAGAACCUCAAAGAGUGCCCCAAAGUUUCUACCGGAGAAUCACGACGAAAACGUGUGCCAACCCCUAUGCAUAGGUUCUCAAUGUCACGAAAACCCGCAAGUUGGUCACCAAAACGUACAUCAAGUGGCACGUGGUAUCCCAUUGUCACCACAGAUAUCCACGGCAAGACAUACAUCAAGUGUUCUCAAGUCUUUAAAGACUCAAUCCGAUAAAAUUACUUCAAAGGGGAAACUCGAUUCAUUACAAGAAAGAAGAGGGGGGAAGAAACAUCAUAGGAUCCAAAUAUAAUAGCAAAGCUCGCGAUACAUCAAGAUCGUAUCAUCUCAAGAACACGAGAGAGAGAGAGAGAGAGAGAGAGAGAGAUCAAACACAUAGCUACUGGUACAUACCCUCAGCCCCGAGGGAGAACUACUCCCUCCUCGUCAUGGAGAGCACCGGGAUGAUGAAGAUGGCCAUCGGAGAAGGAUUGCCCCCUCCGGCAGGGUGCUGGAACGGGUCUAGAUUGAGUUUCGGUGGCUACGGAGGCUUCUGGUGGCGGAAUUAGGUUUUUUGCUCCGUCCUUGGUCUAAUGGUGGUACGUAGGUAUAUAUAGGAGGAAGGAGCACGUCGGUGGAGCUCCGAGGGGCCCACGAGGCAGGGGGCGCGCCCAGGGGGGCGCCCUCCACCCUCGUGACCUCCCCGGAAACUUCUCGGAGUAGGGUCCAAGUCUCCUGGAUCACGUUCGGUGAGAAGAUCACGUUCCCGAAGGUUUCAUUCCGUUUGGACUCGUUUGAUAUUCUGUUUCCUCGAAAUACUGAAAUAGGCAAAAAACAACA
RNAcentral lists this long non-coding RNA (179435 nucleotides) under Triticum aestivum (bread wheat). RNAcentral describes it as "long non-coding RNA (TAES_LNC002030)". The stretch from base 163993 to 164126 matches the Rfam family "MIR1120/MIR1122 microRNA precursor family". The record is from RNAcentral. Lineage: Eukaryota; Viridiplantae; Streptophyta; Magnoliopsida; Poales; Poaceae.